UUAUUAAAUCUAUAAAAAUAAAUAACACAUUUAAAUUUUAAUAUUAAAGAAUCAUUAAGUGACUCAAAUGAAAUGAAUUAAAAGAUUAGAUAGCAAAAUUCAAACUUUCAAAGAUUAAAUAGCUAAAUCAAAAUAGGUGAUAUUUAACUUAAAUUUUAUAAUUUUAUUUAUUGUUAACAACUAGUAUUUUUAUUUAUUGUUAAAAGGCAUAAUCCUAUCCAUUACCUGGGCCCACGCCGAAAAAAGCCAUUUUUAAAUAGUCACAACAAUGAGAUUUAUCUCAAACCACGUAAAAUAAAAAAGUAUUCGACCAGAAAACUUCUUUUUUUUUUUGAGAAAUAGAUAAUACGCUAUCCACUUUAUUCAUUGAAAUGAUGAAUUAGGCUACAUGGAUGAGGCAACGUCGGCCUCGGGUUGGAGCGAAAAAAAAAAAAAGAAGAUUCGUCAACUAUUAACCAUUACUGUUAGCCUGACAAAAUUUGGUCCCAAAUCUUCAUCAAUUGUUUAAUCUUGUGGACUGCUUGGAUGGGGUCCGAUUGGGUCUUCCUAAAAUCACACCAUUCCUAAUCUCCCAAAUAAUCCAUCAGCAAACUAUCAAUCUGGAUAUUGUAGUACACGACCGCUGUGAUCCCUUCGUUGUCAUCCGUAUAAUUAUUUCUGCUGCACUUAUUAGUAGAAAUGUAUUUUUAUUUUUCUUUUAGAUAGGUGUGCAGUUGUUCAAAACACACCUUUAAAAUAUAUAUAUAUAUAUAUAUAUAUAUAUAUAUAUAUAUAUAUAUAUGUUGUUUGAAAUGCGGAAAGAGUUAGUUAUUGUGAAGGAUCCAAAAUAUCGAGAAUUCAAGUAACUCUCAACUUUUCGAAUUAAUAUAGAAAAGUAUUUUCUGAGAAAAUUUGUCCAAUAAAGAGGUCCACAAACACUCAAAAAAAAAAAAAAAAAAAAAAAAAAAAAAAAAAUAAGAAGCUCCGUCCCUCUCACUUUACAGCUAUUCUCUCUCUCAGGGGAAAAAAAAAAUUAAAAUUUUUUUUUUAAAAAAAAGUAAAAAAACCAAAGGAAAACUUUACAACUCAACACCCAUAUCCCCUUGGCACACGAGUAGAUCGAAAAGCUCUUUCUUUGUCAAAGUCCUAGCUUUAAAUUUACAGGAGGAAAAAUGCUUAAAAAAAAUUAUGGCCUUGAUAUUAUCUCCUGUUUUUCACUUCUUGAUAAUAUAUAAAAGCUAAAUUUAAAACUUUUAUUUUAUACUUAAGUAGUAAGCCGAAUUUUUGACUUGGGAUAAUUUUAUUUAAAUAUUAUUAUUAUUUGUAAUUAAAAAUUUAACUAUUCUCAAAAUUAAAAAUAGAAAAAAAAAUUGGUUAUGCAAUCAGUGUACUUAGACCUAAUAAGUUUAAUAUAUAAUAUUCUCCAAUCUUAAUUGAAAAAAAAAUACUAAAAAUAAUUAGAUUUUUUUUGAAUUUGUAUGAAUAAUAUUUCUCUUGAAAAUAUUUUAUUGUUAAAAAAUAAACUUUUAAAAACAUCCGUAUGCAAAUGCACCGAUUAAUGACUAGCUUCUCAAUAUAGAAAAUCACCCAACGUUAAAUCAUCAAACAUAAUAAUAAUAAUAAUAAUAAUAAUAAUAAAACGGUAUGGAAAGAUUUAUGUUAUUUAUCUUUGAUCAUAACAAAUACUAUUCUACCAAUAACAAUAUUUUUCUAAUAAAUUACAUUACCCAUCUAAUGAAAAUAUUUUACCUUGACAUAUCAGUAAUUAUUUUAUUUUAAAUUAAUGAGUAUCCGAAUUGGAUUGAGUCACGUUUGAAGCGGCGGAAGUUAUAAUUAAAACUCGAGGAUGCUGUUUGUCUAUACAUUUUAAGUAAAUUGAUUGUCUUUUUAUAAUAACUCGGACUUUUAAAAUUACUGAUUAGUGCCAAUAAUUCGACGGUAAUUAAACUGUCAAAAAAUUGAUAAAUAUUAGAUAAUUAAUAAUAAUAAUACUAAUAAUAAUGGUUGAAUAAUUGAUACUAAUCAUUAAUUCUAAAAAUUUGAGUUAUUAAAAAUAUACAAUCAAUUCAUUUAAGUGUACAAAUACAACGUUUACAGGUCUCGAUUGUGAUUCGACCUAAUUAGUAUUACGCCACUUCGAAUAUAAUUCGAUCCAAUUCAGUCUCAUGCAAUUUCAAAUGUGACUCAGUUCAAUCUGACCUUUCGUCAAAAAGAGCAGAAUGCUGAUCAAUUUAAGCUAAUAAUAAUAUAAAUCAUGAGUCAAUGGUUUUUUUUUUUCGCCCAGUUCGAGAUCUGUGUUGUCUCACUUUCGUAACUUAAUUCACUUUUUCAAUAAAUAAGAUGGUAGCAUGCUAUCUUUUUCUAAAAAAUAAUAAUAUAAAUGGAAGUACAUAAUUAGACAGCGCGAGAUUGUUGACAAAUUCGUGUGGUAGUCACGCAGAUAUCGUCGCUAUUCCUAUCUCGACGCUGUGAGAGGGGGAGGGAGAGUAUUAAUGCUUCUGUUUGUGAUAAGGAUGGUCCCCUCUCACUCUGCAGCAGCACACGUGUCCCAGAAUAUAUAUAUAUAUAUAUAUAUAUACACACGAAGUAGCAGCAGCAGCAGUAGCAGAAGUGGUCGUUAGUUUUGAUAAGAUGAAAAUGCCAACUCCAUCGCUUUCGCAUGAAACCUUUCUCCUCUUAUAUCCGUCGCGUCCCCAUCCCUGGGUGGGGACGCGAGCCUCGUUUGCCCCUAUCUGUUUGUUGUGUGCAUCUUAUCCCCAUGAGGAUCCCAAAGGAAGCACUUGGAUAAGGCCCCCUUUUUUUUUUUUUUUUGAUAAAAAUAAAUUGAAAAAUUUAAGGAAUUACAGAAAUUUUGAUUCCAUUGUCUGAUCUUUUUAAAUUUUUUUUUUUGAAAGAUAGUAACACGCUACCACUUCAUUAUUUUUAUUAGAAAUAAACUUACUGGAAAUGUGAAUCAACUAGGAUUCGAACUUGGGUCUGGUACCAACCACCAGCUUUUGCCACUUGCUCUAGGGACGGUCGUGAUCUUUAAAAAUGUUAAUCUAAUACUUAAUUAAUUUAAAUAAUUUGAUUGUCGGGAUGUGAGCGCAUACUAUUAAUUCUAUAGGCUGCGUUUGAUUCGGGUAUAAUAAGAAUGCUAGUCUAGGGAUAGGUACAAGUUCAGGUAUAAGGAAACUAGACCAAAUUUUGCGUUUGAUGAAAAUUAGGUUGUUCCUAGAAUAAAACAAAUAGUGUUUGGAUGGUUAGAUUGGAACAAGAGGAAUAAGAGUUAUAAUUUGAACUUAAAAUUAUAUUAUGUAAUUAAUAGUAAUAAAAAUAUUACUUAAAAAUAAUAAGAAAUUAAUUAUUAAUAAUUAAUUAUAAAUAAUAAUUAUUUUAAAUAAUUAAUUAUAAUAAUAAAUUAAUAAUAUGGAUGAUCUAAUUAAUUAUUAUUAUAUUAUUAUUAAUUAUUAAUAAAUAAUAAUAUUAUUAAUUAUUCUUAUUAAUUAAUUAUAAAUGAUAAAUAAUAAAUAUAUUGAUUAUCUAAUUAUUAAUAAUAAUUUAAUAUUAAUAUUUAUUAAUAAAUAAUAAUAAUAUUUAUAAUUAAUUAUAAAUAAUAAAAUAAUAAUAAUAAUAUCCAUUAUCUAAUUAUUAAGAAUAAGAAUUAAUAUUAAUUAUUAUAAAUAUUAUUAUUAUUAAUUAUAAAUUAAUAAAUUAAUAAGAAUACAAUUAUCUAAUUAUUAAAUAAAAAUUUUAUAAUUAUUUAAUAAAUAAUAAUUAUUAUUAAUUAUAAAUAAUAAAUUAAUAAUAAUAUCGAUUAUCUAAUUAUAAGAAUAAAAUUACUAUAAUUAAUAAUAAAUAAUAUAAUUAUUAAUUAUUAAGAAUUUAUAAUAAUAAAUUAAAAAUAAUAUCUAUUGUCAUUAAGAAUAAAUAAUAAUUAUUAAUAAAAAAAUAAUGAAUAUUAUUAAUUAUUUAUAAUUAAUUAUAAAUAAUAAAUUAAUAAUAAUAAUUAUCUAAUUAUUAAUAUUUAAUUAUAAAUAAUAAAUUAUUUAAAUUAUUUAAUUAUUAAAGUAAUAAAUAAUGAUUUAAAUAUAUUAAUUAGAUUAAUUAAUAAUUUAUUGCCAUUAAAAUUAAAUUUAGAUUUUAAUUAAUCUUGUUCUCAUCCAGGAGCAAGCUUGUUCCAGGAAACGGGUGGAACAGCAGUUCCAGCCUUAUACCAGCUAGUUCCAGAUUUCCGGGAACUACUGUUCUCGGGAACCAAACGUUGCGUUCGGGAAUAAAGGGGGGAACAAGGGCUUAUUCCCCCCCUUGUUCCCGAACCAAACACUACCUAAAAGUUUUAGCCGUUAGGAAUACACAAUCAACUAAUUUAAAACGUACAGAUAUAACGCACACGAAUCUCGGUUGUGAUUCCGCCCUUCGAACAUGAUUCGGUCCAACCUGACCUCCGGUCAUAGGGUAGGAUGUUGGUCCAUUUAAGCCAACAUUGGUGACUUUUUAAAUACAAAAUUUAAUUAAAUCUGUAAAGAUAAACGACGCAUUCAAAUUCUAAAGUUAGAAAUUACUAAUCAACUCAAAUCAAAUAAUUUAAAAAAUUAUACAGUAAAAUUAAAAUUUUUAAAAGAUAGAUAGCUAAAUAGAAAUGGGCGUUAGUUGAGAUAAGUUUUAUACUCCUUUACCCCUUUUUUUGAGCUAGAAUUUUAUUUGUAUUAGAUAUAGCGGUUGAUUGAAGCAUAAAGGGUCUCCUUAUAAAGCCUUUGGGCUACUUUAAUUUAGACACACGCCAGUGGAUUUUUAGACGCUUGCCAAGAAAAAGAUGUAUGCGAAAAUUUUUUGGGAUGUUUUUAAUUAAUGUUGUUGGAUAACGCACUAAAAUAAGACGUAUUAGCUAAGAUCUUUGUAUUGGAAUAUUGCAUCAGUACAUAUCCAUUCUCUUUUGUGCACUCCAUGUAUAAAUAAAACAAACAAAAUCAUAUUAAAAAUUUAUUUUAUUAUUCCUAAAUAAUAUUUACAACUUACGUAGGAUUGGAGGAUAAUUAUUAUUAAAUACAUUAAAAUAAUUAAUGCGGACGCACUCAUACAGCGCAUGCACGUACACGUAAAACUCCACUCUUGUGUUCACUACUGAAUAUUGGCGAUCUCAUUACCUCUGUAGUUGCUUUCUUUCUUUUUCUCACUGAUUCCCAAAUCCAUACGUAACAAUUUUCUAAUCAAACUCCACAUAAAUCGCACUCGUACAUUUCUUCAUUUCAUAAAUUAUCAACAAUGGUGGGGAGUAAACAGGCUCAAAAAUAUGAACAACGCAAAUUAGUCCUUUUAUUUGUUUUAAUAUAAUAUUAAUCAGGCAUAAUAAAGGAAACAAAAUAAAAAAUAAAGAAGAUUAAAAGAGGGAAACUUUCACACAAAAAUGAAGCUUUAAGAUUCGGACACGAAGUGGAUCUUAGGACUGGCUAAACUGACUCAGUGGAGAUCUCAUUUGAUGCCCUUAUAAAAUGAUUACGGAUUCGCAUGCGCAUUGUUGGUCAAGGAUAUAUGAAAUUUUUCGGACGAAACAUGGACCGACCCGGCCCGCUAUGUAGGCCUAAUUAGAGCCCAAAUCUAGGCCCGAUAUGGCCUGCAAUAUAAGCCCAUUUAGGGCUAGUCAAAGGAGGUUAGGACUUGGGCUUAAAUUUCAAUCCCAAGCCGAUAUCGGAUUUGAGCUCAAACGGGUCGAGUAAAUCCAAUAAAGAAGAUCACAAACGGGUCGAGUAAAUCCAAUAAAGAAGAUCACGUGCACGUAUUUAGGAUAUUGUGGUAGAUUGAACAUUCUAGUGUAGAAGUUCUACGAGAAUUUUCAAACCUACUAGACUCAUUAUAAUUCAGUUUCAAAUUUAUGACAAAAUAUAUUUAAACAUAAUUACUUAAUUUAUAAGGCGCAUGGUUAAUCACAUGAGUUCACAAAUUAAAGACCAAAUACGUGAUGGGGUAAAAUUUUUUAUUUAGUGUUCCCAUCUGAAGCUUCUUUCGGCAUUAAAAUUUAAAAACAAUAAGACUCACAACUCAAACUUCAAAAAAAAACACUGCAAUAAUGAUGUAAUUAGGAACUGUUGAAGUUGGACGUGCGCAUGUAAUUUCAAUUACAAAAGUUUAUAUAUUCAAAUAUAUCUAAAUAAAAUACUAAAUUUGAAUCCAAAUAGCUUCUAUUUUAUUUGUAGUACUUGACAUAAACCACGUGCGAGGAGUUCUCCACCUUCCUAAGCGUGCCAAGCACCGGCGCCAACCAACACCUCCCUUCCUCCUCCCAAUACGCGAACCCCUCGCACGUGCAACGCACGCGACACCUCCUCCUACACUCCUCCACGCCCACUCUCCCCUCCCCUCCCAUGUACGCACUCACAAAGCUCUCCACCCCCACCACCUCAUAGUAAUCCGCCGCCGCCGCGGCACCACUGUGGCACCGCCUCGGCGGCGGUGGUGGCGCGCAUUUCUUGCUCCACCCCAUUAGCCCUCCCGUGGAUGGGCACGCGACGCACAUCUCGUCCUCGCAAACGCCGAAUUCACCGCACUUUUGCGGCAAUGCACAUGUGCUCAGCAACCCUAUCGAAUACAAAAUAUUAAAAAUAUCGUUCUCUGCCAGUAAUUCAAGUAAUUAGUAAUUCCAUAUAAUAUUGAAAAAUAUAUAUUGAAAUAUUGUUUUCUAGUAGCUUAAACUUUUAUUAGAGUACUCCGUUGUUUCGAUACCUAUCUCAUCGGAGAACAAUGCGAACGUCUUCUCCCACGCCCGGUAAUCCACCGGGUCGUAGUACGUGUACGCCGCCAAGUUCCCGUCUAUCUCCAACCGCAAGAAGGAUAGUUUCGCAUCGUACUUUGGCCUCGCGAGGAUGAUCGUUCCUUGCCCCGUUGCUAGCCUUAGCUCGUACGCGAACGCGUCCUCCGUCUCGGGCCCGCACUCGAACGUGACCGAGUUCGAAGAGAAGCUCAGCAAGCCAUCCGAGUAGUUGUAAUACGUGAGGUUGUCGUUCAUGAACAACGUUAGGCCACCGGAGCUCAAAACGAGACUAUACGUUCCGAAGGAACCGUCGGCGGUCGAUCUCCGGCUAACGAGCUUCUUCGGCCCCGCGACGAGGUUGAGUGAUUGGCCGACGAGAAGCGUGUCGGUUGGGUGAUCGAAACUCUGCCAUACGAAUCGGUUUUUCGCGUCGUAGAGCACGACAUUGCCGCCGGGGACGAUUUUGAGCCCGACAACACCGCGGUGUGCGGUGUCUGUGGACCACACGAUGCGUCGGUCGGCGUCGGAGAGGACGAGGUUUCCAUCGGGAAGGAGAGAGAAGGUGGCGUUGUCGCGGACGGGGCGGCCGCGGUUGGCUUCCCAGACCCAGCGGAAGACGGACUCGGAUCGGACGGUGCCCAUGCGGAGGGCGAGGUAGAAUUCGCCCGGGGUGGUGUUGUAGAAGGCGAGCUGGAAGGGAGAGGCCGCCACGGGGAGGACGCGGUAGUCGGCGCCGUAUUCGGACACAUAGGGGCCGAAUUCGCCGUUGUUUACGUAGGUAAAGGUUUGGACUUUGGAUUGGGACGAGGCGAUAGAGGAGAGUCGGAUAGUUAAGAGAAGUGUCAAUAGCAGUGUAGUGGCCAUGGACGAAGAAAUUGGAGCAAACGAUCUAGAUCGCGAUGGAAUGGAUGGGAUAAGAAAUUUUGAUUUAUAUAAUAUGCAGUAUAUAUGAAUCCUCAAUUUUGGAACAGGUGGCGGCGAGCGCGGAGGCGCGGGCGGGGGUGAGCGCGAGCGCAGGGCGCUGGCAGGCGGGGGCGCUUGGCGGGGCGCCGCGUGGCGCGGGCGCGCGGGGCGUGGGCAGGCGGGCGCGCGGGGCGGGCAGCGGGGAGGCGCGGGUUGGCAGGCGGGCGCGCGUGACGCGACUCUCUCUCUCUCUCUCUCUCCGUCUACCUCUCCCCCCUCGAGGGGCCCCCCCCCUCUCUCUCUCUCUCUCUCUCGCGGCCCCUCUCUCUCCCCCCUCUCUCUCUCAGUGUAAAUUUAAAAUGAUAAAAUUUNUUAAAAUAUAAACUUUUGAAGUUUAAAAUUUAAAUCUUAAAAUUUGAAAUUGAAAUUUUAAUAUUUUAAAUUUAAUAUUUGAAUUUUUUAAUUCAAUUUAUAAUUUAAUAUUUAAAAAUAUUAAAAUUUGAAAUUUAAAAGUUAAAACUUAAAAUUUAAAAAUUUUAUAUUUUAUCUUAAUUACUAAAACUAAAAUUUAAAAUAUUCAAACUUUAAAGAUUUAAAAUUUUUAAAUUCAAUUUAUAAUUUAAUAUUUAAAUAUUACAAUUUGAAAUUUAAAAUUUAAAACUUACAAUUUAAAAAUUUUAUAUUUUCUCUUAAUUACUAAAACUAAAAUUUUCAAUUUUACAUAUUUUAACUUUAAAUUUCAAUUCCUAAAUUUUAAAUUUUACAUUCUAUAUUCAAAUUUUGAAUUUUAAAAUUUAAAAUACAAAAUCUAAUAUUUGAAACUUAAAAUUUUAAAUUUGAUAUUUGAUAUUUGAUAUUUAAAAGUUAAAAAUAAUAUUUAAAAUUUAUGUCCGAAAGAUGUUUAUUUGAAAUUUAUCAAUUUAGAAUUUUAAAUCUGAAUGAUAGUUUAAAAUUCUACUCUAAAAUUAAAAUUUAAAUUUAAAUUUUAAAUUAAAAAUUAAAAAUUAAACUGAGAUUUUAUGUUGUCGAUGUUGAUCCGCCGCGAAACGCGGGCCCUAACUAGUAAAGGAUAUUAUUUAUCAUAUAUGACAUAAUUUUUAUUUUAUUUUUUAUAUAUGAAUUUUGAUUCCAUGACUAGUUUUGUCAAACAUGGUGAGCAGGAGUCAAUAAUAAUUGUCGGCUGUGCGAAACUAAUUACCAGCACCCAGUGCGCCACGUCAUCAGUACACCGUAAACUUUGAGCCCUUCAUUUGUUUCCGUGAUCCCAUCCUCCACUUUGAUCUCCGUCCAUUUUAAAAGUCGAAGGUAUUUUACUGGUUCAUGGUUGGUGGACCAGGCUGUGGAUGAUGCCUUUGGGCGUUGGUCCAUUUUGACUGCUGACGGUCAAAGCCAUUCUAUGCUUUAAACUUUCUAUUUCUCGUAUCUGACAAUCCAAUCCAACGGUCAAGAUGGAAUCGUAUAAAAUAUUCAUUUUAUCACUAAAUGCCUUCUUAUCAUCAAUGAUGAUAUGCACGAAAAAGUACAAAAAAAGAAAAAAAAAAAGAAGGUAGGAACGAUUUUCGACGUGAGAUUAUCUUGUUCACUAUUUUAUUUUGAACUUACAUAAUAUCUAUUUUUAAUAUAAAACUACUUUAUUAAUUAUUUAUGCAGAUAUAAAAUCUAUAUUAUUUUUGUACCAAGAAAGUCUCAUUAACAAAAUUUAUUAAAAAAUAACUUUUCUUUAUUUAUGUACCAAGAAAGUCUCAUUAACAAAGUCUCAUUAACAAAAUUUAUAUUACUUUGUUGCUCUCUAUUAUAUCAAACAAAUUUAUUAAAAAAUAAAUUGCACCAAAAUUUUUAAUGUCCCAACGUGUUUCAUGAGCUCAUUGGCGCAUAAUAUAAAUUUUUUUAUACACAUAAUAACUUCUCUUUAUUUAUAGACGCUUUAUAGUGUUAUAAUAAGCGGCCAUGUAUACUAGGCGAACCUUUCACUAAACUUUUGUUUUUUUUUUUUUGAAAGAUAGUUAAAAUACUAUCUGCUUCAUUUAUUUUAUUUAAAAAUAAAUUUAGCUGAAAAUAUAAAUCAAUUAAGAUUCGAAUAUAAAAUCUCGGAUACCAAUCAUCAAGUGUUUUGCCAUUUGCGCUAGGAACGGUGGGUUCCACUAAACUUUUGUUGGAUACAACGCAUGACACUCAAACAUGUCAUGAGUUACUCUACUGCCCAAGUGUGGAUAAGGUUAACUCGUGAGACAUGUCGGUGUCUCAGCAAAAUUUCUCCACAAAAGCCAACACAAGCUACUGUUACAACACCAUCCACCCUUUCACACAGGAGCCACGUAACAUGUCUUUAAUUAUUAGAUAGACCUUUAAACUUCCACAACUAGCUAGGAUUUAUUAUUCAAUAACAUCAGAUGCAUCUCGAAAUGUCUAAUAUAAUUUUUUUGAGAGUUAAAAGCAUGCGCGUAUGUGAUAAAGCAAACUACAAUAUGUUUUUUAAUAUUAUUUUUUUAUAAUAUUUGGAAGAUUAUGUGCGUGAUUAAAUAUCUAAAAGUGAAAUAACAUAUUCCGCCUUUAAAUGUUUAUUCAAAAUCGGGCUUUAGUGCCAUGGGCUUGUUCACAAUGGACCGAACAGGCCCAUAAAAUGGAUGGGCCUGAGCCUAUAGUGGACUAAACUGUGUGGAAUAGCUUUUAUAUUAAUUUGAUUUUUUUUUGAAACCAAAUAUAUAUAUAUAUACACCUGUUUCUUAGUGCAGUAGUACAAGUGAGUGAAUGUAAAGUGGUGGUAGGAUUGGUGUAUUAAUUCGAAUUGGUUCCUGCGAUUGUACAUAAUAUGAUGUAUGAAGGAAUAUUAAUAAUAGCACAUUAAAUUAUAUUAUUAUUAGUGUACAAUUUUCUUAGGCAAUUUAUUAUUUUUUUUGAGAGAUAGGUAGCACGCUACUCUCUUCGUUUAUUUUAUUUAAAAAUAAACUUAGUUAGAAAUGUGAAUCAACUAGAAUUCGAACUUAGGUCUCGGGUACCAACCAUCAAAUCUUUUGCCACUUGUUUUAGGGACGGCCGGUUCUUGCGCAAUUUGUUAGGUGCAUAUCAUUGAUGGCAGUGUAAACAUUUAUCAUCGACCUUAACAGGAUUUCCAGCUGAAGUACACCACUGACAUAAAUCAUCAUGUGAUUGCAUGUGAUUCAUUAAUCUGACCAUGAUGUUCUUCUAGCCUUGCUAAUUAAUUAGCUGAGUAGUUGCCUACAUAUAAAUAUAUACGUAUAAGUGUAAAUAUAUUCUUCACAAAUAUGAAUACUCACACGCUCGCACGCACGCACGCACGCAUGUACUAAAUGCGAAAGAGUAACUUCCUCUCUUUGCUUAAACUUUUUUCGAUUGAUCUGGAUUUUUAAUUUAACACAAUCGAAAAAAAGAUUAUCAUAUAGCCAAUUCCAUAGUAGUAAUCAGUACUUCUAUACUUAUACAUUAUUUUUCUUAAAUUUGUUGCAUGGCAAUGUUUCUUUCAUUGUUGAGUGCGCACUCUAUCUCGAAUCGGUUCAAGUCCUUCAUGUAUAUAUAUAUAUAUAUAUAUAUUUUGCUUAAAUCAAAUUGAAUUGUUUUUUUUUAUUUGAACCGCACUGAUCAUUGUUGAGUGUGAGCUAGCACUCUCCCAAACUUGCUCAAGUUUUUUACAUGUUUCCUUAUUUUUUUGUUUAAACUGAAUCUAGUUUUCCUUUUUCUUUACUUGAACCGAACCGGAUUGAUCAACCUGUUGCAUUGAGCCGAACCAGCCAAACUACUCCACAUGUUUCCAUCUUUGAAACGAAAUUUUCUCUUUUUACCUUGAACCGAGCCAAUUAAUGUCUUGUGUGAACUACAACUUGAAUCGGCUCAAAUUUUUCUUCUUUUUACUUGAAUCGAACAAAUUUUUUUUUUUUUUUGCUUAAACCAAUCCAGGUCACUACUCCAUUAGGCAUAAUUGUUUCUCUUCCUCUUCCUUCUGCUGUUAUAUUUCUUCAUCGACAAGAUGAAUUCCACCCUUCAUUAUCGAUUCUUUUAUUGCUGUUUUCUCUUUCUUUGUCGUCGUUUUUUAUUUUUUUUAAAUUAUCGCAUCGCAUGGAUUACUACACUAAUAAAUAUGAAAUUAAGGAGUUGGGUUAGAAUACUAUUGAUAGCAAAAGGCUCUUUUUAUUAUCAAGUUUUUAGCUUUUGAAUUAAUUUCUUUCAUCAUUUCUAACCAUUAGAUUAAAUAUUAUAACCCAGUGGGAACCACUCAAUCCUAGAGGGACCACUCAACUUUAAGGACCUAAUAUCAUCAUAACUUUACAAUUUUAAUCUAAAGGUUAAAAAUUUGAUAGUAAAAAGAAUUUUUUACUAUCAAUAGUAUUGCAGCACAACUCGAAAUUAAGAAUCCUCACUUAACAAUAGUUCCGUACAAAUUUGGAAGGAAAAAAAAAAGGGAUUACCUUGCUAGCUAACUACGUACUUACAUCAUCUUCCUUGGCUUAUAUAGAAAAUGGUUAAUUAACAUCAAAAUUGUGGACCCUGAUGCAGGAAAAGAGAAAAUUGGCACACAACUUUUUAUUUAUUCAAGGCUCAUGAGUGUGACACAAUAGUUCAUGUUACGUAUAAUGUAGCUUGGCACAUAGUAGAGAUAGUUGCUCAACAACUUUGCCUAAAAAUAGACUUAGAAUCUACUCAACCUUAGUUAUAUAUGUAACGAAGAAAUAUUAAAUACAUGAGAUUUUACGUUGAAUAAGUGACUUCUAAGGCAAGGUUUGGUAAGCACUAGAAGAAGGUUUGGAGCAAUGAGGCUCCCCAAUUCCUGUCUCAUUUGUCGGUGUAGAGUGAACGCACUCGGUGCAUCCGUACAUUUUUAUUCUGAUGAUCUAAUCUUUGUAUAGAGAAAAAUAUCAUAACUUAUUGUACGAUAAAGAUUAAAAUAUAUGAAGGUGAAACAACAAUGUGUAGAUUAUUUGCACGGAUGUAAGGAUGCAACAGGUUUGCGCAAUGAUUCUUUUUUUAGUGACCUGAUGAGUUGAUAUUUCCCAUUAACUCGGAUCUGUUGCUUUCGAACCGAUCCGAAUAUGAACAUAUGCGAUCGAUUGGAUGGUUUGGAUCUCGCGAGAUUAUCUCAUGAUGAUACCCUGGACUCUUCGAAGAUCGCAAGGAUAUGCAUACUGGACGCAACUUGAAGUGGAAACAUAUAUCAAUCUGUGCAAUAGGAUUCGAACCAUAUGGCGAAACACUGUAGUACAAAUACACAGGUUGAUAUUUUUCUGAGUAUCAAAUAUGAGAUUAUUAUUUAUAACAAUUGGUGCAUUAAAUUUAGGUAAAUAUAUAGAAUAGAUUAAGUUGUCAUUGACUCUAGGGAAUCGCUAGCUAAGUAAUGGAAGGAUUUCUAGCGGACUGUCAUAAUUUACAUUAGCUAGUAAUUAUUUUUUUAUUUUUUUUAUUUUUUUUUAAUUGGAUCUUGUUUGGAAUGUUUAUGAUUCUCGGAGCUAGUUGUCCCACUUUUGUAGUUCAGUUUAUGUUCGCUAUGAAUGAAGCAGAUAGCAAGUCUAUCUUUCUCUCAAAAAAAUAUAUUUUUUUUAUUUUUUAUUACUCCACACUCAAAAGCAGUGAUGGAGUAUUUUGAACUCAUAGCAGCUUCCAGGAGAAGUUGAUCAUAAAAGAGUUUUUGCUCCAAAAAAAAAAAUUUAUUGUGCCACACUUGUAAUACAUCAUCAGUAAUAAAUAUAUUUUUUUUUUUGAAAGAAAAGUAUAAUAAAAAUAAUUUUCUAUUAAUUAUGAUAGAAUGGGUGAAUUCAAAUAAAACAAUUUUAUUAGUUAAGAACGUCAUGUCGGUAAUAUAACUUGUGCAUUCUAGACAAUUCCGUUCCAGGAAAUAGCACGUAAUUAAGUGCAAGGACAAAGAUAAGAGAUAAUCUAUCUAUACUUUGAAUUGAGAACCCGAAGACGGUACAGCAAGGGCUCUUCGCGAAACGCGCGAGCCGGCGCGAGCCGGGGCGGGCGAGCGGGCGCGGGAGCGAGCCGGCGCGCGUGCGGAGCGGGCGGGUGAGGGUAGCGGCGCGGACACUGCUAGCAGCGGCAAUCCGUUCGCUCCGCGCGCGAGCGCGGGCGAGCGGCGCGCGCGGGCGCGCGGGCACGAGGGAGCGCACGUGCGCCGGCGGGGGCGCGCGAGCGCGAGCCGGCACGGAGGCCGGCGCGAGGCGGGGGUUUUUUUUUUUGUUUUUUCCUGUAGAUCCACUCCUCUCUCUCUCUCUCUCUCUCUUCUCUCUCUCUCUCCUUCCUAACUUCCACUCCUCUCUCUCUCUCUCUCUCUUUUCUUUCUUUUUUUUCCUUUUCUAACUUCCACUCCUCUCUCUCUCUCUCUCUCUCUCUCCUCUCUUCUUUUUUUUUCUUUCUAACUUUUUUUUUCCUUAUUUUGUAGUAUUGUGACUCACAUACAAAAAAUAAAAAUUUAAAUUUAAAUUUUAAAUAUGAAUUAAAAUUAAAAUUUUAAAUUGAAUCGCUUAUUUUGAUGGAUUGCGGCGUGCGAGCGGGCACGAGCCGGCGCGGAGCGGGCUUUUUUUUUAUACUUUUUUCCUGUGGGACCCACAAAAUUUAAAAAAAUUUAAAUAUAAAUUUAAGUCACAUACAAAAAAUAAAAAUUAAAAUUAAAAUUUUAAAUGUAAAUUAAAAUUUAAAUUUAAAUUUUAAAUCGAAUCUCUUAUUUUGAUGGAUUGCGAGCGGGCGAGCGGGAGCUGGUGCGAGCCGGCACGGAGCGAGCUUUUUUUUUUUUGCUUUUUUCCUGUGAAACCCACAAAAUUUAAAAAAAUUUAAAUAUAAAUUUAAAUUUUAAACUGAAUCUCUUCUUAACAGAAAUUAAAAUUUUGUAGUUAAUUUAAAGUUUAAAUUUUAAAAAAAUUUUAAAUUUAAAUUUAAAAUAUAAAUUUAUUUCUAUAUAUCCUUUGAAUCGAAAAUCCUAAGCGGGUACGGCCGGGCUCUCCACGUUUCAAAUUUUAAACAACUCAGAUAAAGAAGACAACUCAAAAGAAUUAUCAUUUAAUUCUAUUAAUAUGAUAUAUAAUAAUUUACUGUUGUAUUGUCUUCCCGCCGCAUUGCGCGGGUCCGUACUUAGUAAUGAAUUAAAAUGUAACCCCUUCAAUUAAAUAAUAAUGUGUUUAAAAAAAGGUUUAGAUCCGCCAUUAAAGCUGAGCAAGUGCACAAAACGUUCCACCACUACGCUUUAGAGUCAACUAUCUUAGUUUGUUAACUAAAUUUUUAUUUAAAAAUUAAUAUAAUAUUAAUAUAAUUAAAUUAAUAAAUCAUACAGGGAUAUAUUCUAUAACGUAUGUAGCUUCGUAAAACGUUACAUGCAGGAAAUGACAAAAUAAACACAUGGGUACAUGUACCAACGGUGGCCAUUAAAUAGCUAGCACAUGUAAUCUACUCAUGCUGUGUUCUAUUGUGGGGAAAUAAUACUAGGAACUAUUUACCUAUCUAGCCUCUUUACAAAAAAAUAUUUCCUAUCUAGCCUUCUUUUGAAAAAUAUUCCCCAUCUAACCUUAUUUUCAAAGAUUAGAGAAAAAAAGAAAAAUUAAUACCUUUAAUAUAUAUUAAGGAGUUAAGUGGGGGAGAUUAUCUUUUUCUCUCUCCUCUCCUAUUUCCCGAGAUCCCUUCUCAUUCUCUAAUUUUUGCGUAUAAUUUAUCUCAUAUCGAUUUAUUUCAAAAUAGAAAAUUUUUAUAUAGCGCAUCAACCAAUUCCAAUUUUUUUAUAUUUUGAUGGAAAUAUUAUGCAUGGUUCGGAAGGAGUUGAUUAUAAUGGUCCUGAUUCAAAACUAUUUGGAUUUCUCGUACUUUAGGUUUUAAUACAUUAAAACAUAAAAUUUAUAGGCCGAAUGGGAUCAAGAUUAUUUUGAUAUAAAAAUUAAUGGGAGAGGAGAGAGAAAAAGAUAAUUUCCCCCACUUAACCCCUUAAUAUAUAUUAAAGGAAUUAAUUUCUCUUUUUUUCUCUAAUCUUUGAAGAUGAGGCUAGAUNGAAAUGAAGGGAAAAAAAGAAAAAAUAGGAAAAAAAAAGAAGAAGAGUCUCAAAAGUGCAUCGGAGAAAGAAGAGAAUAAAAGAAGAGAGAGAGAGAGAGAGAGAGAGAGAGAGAGAGAGAGAGAGAGAGAGAGAGAGAGGGGGUUCUCUUUUUGUAUGAGACAUCACAUUUGAGUUUAAUUUUAGUAAAAUUUGAAUGACUUAUAUGUUAAUACCAUAUGAAAUAAUUAUUUAUCUUUAAAAAUUAAAUUAUUAAUUAAAUAAAAGUAAUUUUAAAAUUUAUGUUCAACCCUGAAGCCUGAUUGCUUGAAUGGGCCCAACAUAUUCCUCAAAUGAUAAUGUGGGACUAAUUAACUAAUUACUAUGAAACAACCGUUAUACUCUAAUAAAAACUUAAGUCCUUCUCACGUUUAGGCUCGAGACUUUUUUUAAGCUCAUGACAUAUACUUGAAUUAAACGGGAGAAAAUUAAUAAUGCUAGGAGCUGGCGUAACUCGAACUCAGAACCUUCUGCUUUGAUACUAUGUGAAACAACUAUUAUACUCUAAAAGUUUAAACUAUUAAAAAAUAGUAUUUAUAUAUUUUUAUAUUUAAAGCAACAUCUCACCUCAUAACUACCGGUGUCAGGCAUCUUCCCUACUUACGUUUAUAUGCAGGUGGUGAUGGAAAAAAAUUUAAAAAUAUAAUUAAAACCAAUUAAGAAGGCUAAUCUAAAAAAAAAGAAAAAAGAAAAGAAAAAGAAAGUUUGAAAUAUUAUGUAUAUGGUUAUAUGUUUAUGUAUCAAGUAAAUAUCAUAUCCUGAAAAAUAUUAUGAUCUACCCAUAAUUCCUGAUAUGGUGGGUUAAUUAUUUUUUUUUUGAAAGAUAGGUAGCACGCUACCUGCUUCGUUUAUUUCAUUUAGAAAUAAACUUAGCUAGAAAUGUGAAUUAAUUAUGAUUCGAACUUGGGUCUCGGGUACCAACCACCAAACCCUUUGCCACUUGCUCUAGGGACGGUCGGUGUGUAUUAAUUAUUUUAAUGAAGCUUAAUUUUAGUUUGGAGUAAACUGUGUGAUUAGUUAACUAUUCCAAUAAUUGCAACGUAGCAAGAAUAGCCUCAUGAUGACCAUUAUAUGUUGCUAGCUAGCUAGCUAGUGCAAUUGACAAAAACAAAUUUGACACCUUAUGCAUGCAAUAGAUCGUGUUAGUCGAUCACCUUUAUUAAGUUAUAUAAUUCAAUCAUACUAAGAAAAUUUAAAAAUAUAUAUAACUAGUUCAUGUAAAUUUGAUUAUUUGCACUUUAGUGAUAAAGCGUUUAUAUGUAGGAGGAAGGAAAAAAAAGCAGUCAACAGAGAGCUGUGGUGAGCAGUCCUGAUCGAGGAGGCUGCCAAAAUAUUCACGAUCUCAUUCUCAUAGUCGUGGAUUCUUUGCGGGACGAAAGUCUGGUGGACUGCUGCAGCAACAGUUGGAGAGAUGUGUGAUAAAUGGAAGCCUCCAUCUCCUUCCCCAUAGUUCAUAUAUAUUUGAUAAUUUACAUUUUAGUCAAUUCAAUCAUGUUUAUAUAUCCUAUAUACAGUAUUUCAAAUCUUAGGAAUAUCAUAUUUCUUUUUCUUUUAAAUCCUAGCGUUUUAGUCAGGCUCAAGCAUACUUACAAAUAGCCGGAGAUGUGGGAAUUAUCUCAUUAGUUUUAGCAGACCUUAUGAAGAGUCGCGCUCUACCCAUAAUAAUUGUUAGUCAGGGAGUUGCGAUCUACUUGCUGUAUGAUUCUAACUCAACUGAGACUCAUAUCACACUUCCAGCUAAUUAUUGACUCUGAUACUAACUGUGACGCCACGCUUCUCAGAGCGAGGGUCAGCCAUCCUAUAGCUACUCUAGCCCAACACUUUUAACCCUUUUAACAUCUUGGAUCCAGCCAGUGUCCAAAAUACUGCAACCUAUGUAUAAAAUUAUUUCGAAAUCAAUAAUCAUCUAUACAUAGGAUAUACCAAAAUACUAUAGCCGGAUUAAGAACUAAGCCUAUAAGACUCGUCUGGUUAGUCUUAGCUGAUCUUUUGGAGUUUUCAAUUGUUGACACAACUCCUACUGUUAUGUACAUUAAUUUUGGUAAAAAAGUUGUAACAUACCAAUGAUCUCCUAGCAACGGACCAAAAAAGUUGAGAAAAAAAUCACACAUUUUACGCGAAAAAAAAAAAUCAUUUUGCUGCAAAGGAAGUAUCUACUGGUUGACUGUUUAAAUAUUUUGGCAAUACCAAAUAAUAAUUAACAAAUCAUUUUGCGUGAACAUAAUCGUAGACAUUUUAUAUGAACGUGGAUCAGCUUCAUUUAUUCUUCAAUAAAAUCGAAUGUCAAUGCCUAUUUAUUAUUCCUUUUGAUAAAUAAGCAACUAUUGCCUUCAAAAUUUCCAUUAUGUCACAAAUAUUGUGUUGUUAAUUUUGUAAUGUGGGCAUAUGCUUAAUCAUUAGAUUAAUGGUUGUUAUUUAAUGUCCUUCAUAUUCCCUAGUAUACACACAAUAUCAUAGGAAUUUCAUUAAUUAACAAGGCCCACAUUUUCAGACAAUAAAUGUUACACUUUUCUUAUUAGGUAAAAUAAUCCCAAAAACUUUAGAUAAAAAACUUUAUUGGAGCUACUACACAACUCCGAUAAUAAUUACAAAGUAUUUAAUCGUCACACAACCACAACUUAUUGUAAUUUUCUAUAAUGGAGGCAAAAAAAUAAUUUACCCCCACCCUCAUAAAUAAGGAGCUGUCACACCCGUAUCUAGUAACCAACAACAAAUGAAACAUUUAAUAAUUAUUAUUACCCUGUUUAUUGCAUUAAUAAAUGAAGCAUUUAAUAAUUACCCUAUUUAUCGAGCCAGUAAUUAAAGCUUAGAAUCUUUCAUUGUGGGGGGAAGGGCUCUGUGGUCAUUUCACUUUGGUUAAAUGUACGAAAACACCCUCGAGUAUGCGCAGAGGCGUUGUUUCAGAAUAACCUAUAGUUGAGGGGAUCAACUUAUAUUUUCCCUUUUAUUUUGUUAAAUUUAUCUAAAUUUGUACGGAUCACUCUAAAAUAGCUCCCUCACUUUAAUUAUUUUUAAUUGACACUCUUUUAACUUUCAAAACUUUUUAAUCUAAACUUUCCCACUAUGUUAAUUUUUAAAAUUUAAUAGUUUCACUAGUAAUUAGUUAUUAUCUCUUUAAUGUUAUUUACUAAAAAUAAUCAAAAUUUAAAAAUUGCCAAUAUAAUAAGCCACUCAUGAGUUUAAUAAAUUUUUUUAAUUAAAUCGAUAAAAAUAAUCAUAAAUAAAUUAAAAACUAAGAAAUAUGAAUUGAAAAAAAAAUGUUACUUGUAUGCUUUAUAAUAAAACCUGUAUAUAUCUUACCUUAUACUCCAUAAUUCUAGAAUUUUAAAAUUGUAUAUUAAAAAAAUAUUAAUAAGACACGCGAGUAAAUCCUAUGCUGAGAAGUUAAGAAUAUAAACUUUACACAUAUAAACUAGAUAUAUAUAGAAUGUUGCUCGUCUUAAAAAUAAAGUAAUAUAAAAAUGUAUGUAAAUUUUACACUCUUUUUAUCUAAAGAUUAAAAAUUGACUUUUGUCUUGUCAAUUUUUUUAUAAAUAUAAAAAAAAUUUAAAAAAUUUUAUGACUCGCUUGGAUGAAAAAUGGUGUUCGUGUAAAUCAUAAACUAGCUUUUCAGAUAUACAAGGAGCAAUUUACUAAAAAAAAAAACUUCAAAUAACACUCUCGUGGUUUUAUACUUUCGCACUUUAGUACCCUAUAGUUUAAAGUGUAUUAAGUUAGUAUCCUAUGGUUUCAUUUUUCUCGUUUUGUUAGCACUUUCGUUAAUAUUUUAUUAAAUUAUAUACAAAAAAUUUCAGAUACCCCAUCUAGGUUUAUAAAAUACUUACUUUAGAACUUUUUAGUUUUAACUUUGUCACUGGUUUAACGAAAAAAAUUAGUAGAACGGAUAAUAAAAAAAGAAAAAUGAAACCAAAGAGUACUAAAUUGAUACAAUUUAAACCACAGGGCACUAAAGUGAGAAAGUGCGAAGCGUGGUAUUUGAAGUUUUCCCAAAAAAAAAAAAAACAAUUAAAGUUGAAGGGGCCAUUUCAGAAUUCUAUAUAGUUGGGGGGCAUCUCCAAACAAUUUUUAUUUUUAUUUUAUUAUUAUUAUUUUUUAAUUUUUCGUCCUUUCUCCUGUAAUAAGCGAUGAUAGUGCUUUUGCAACCUUUCGUUGUUGUGGCUGCUGCUGCAGUUGUUGUUGUGGUUGUGGGAGCGUGUAGAAAGGAUGCAAGUGUGUGGUGUGGCGGUGCCUUGCGAACACGGCAACGCGUGACGCCCCAAAUCCCCGGCGCCUCCCUUCGACAACGAUACUCCCAGACUCUGGAGAGUGACCCAAAAGUGAGAAAAAACAAAAAAGCUCACAUAGUGCGGCGCUCUCGCGCUCGUGCGGAGGUUGCGCCAUCGCCGUCGCCAUCGCCGUCGACGUCGACGUCGUCGUCUUCGGCCGAGUCUUCUUCCUAUAACAGCGCGGGCCUCCGCCAUGAGAGCCCCGGCGCGAGCUCUCGGCCCAUCCGGAUCGCGAUCGGCGUCUCCUCGAGCUCCGCGGUGAGGGGGAGAGGGGAAGGGGGAAGAUGCCUCUGGUGCGGUUCGAGGUGCGGAACGAGUACGGGUUGGGAGAUCGGGAGCUCUACAGAGGGGCCGCGAAGCGGGAGGAGCCAAAAGCGCUUCUCGAUGGGGUCGCCGUCGCGGGGCUCGUCGGGAUCUUGCGCCAGCUCGGGGAUCUCGCCGAGUACGUGAUCCUCUUUUCGUUUUCUUUAUUUGCUCGGAGUGGAAUUGGGAUUAGCGGUUAAUUUUCUUCCUUUUUACGCUGGAUUUUUUGUUGAAUUUGAGUUUCGGAUUAGAUUUUUCAGCUGCGUGCUUCAGCAAUUCUCUUAAUUAACUGGAAUUUGUGUAAUAAUUGAGGGAUUUGGAAUUUUGGCUUCAACUGUGGAGCUAGAUGGGAUAGAAGAUCGGUGAUUAUGUGGAAAUUUCGGCUUUUAACAGUCGAGUUGGAUGGUGUAGCUUUUGUAUGUGUAGAUCCUCCUUGCUGUGGACUGAAAUUUAUGGAGGAUUUCUACAUAUGCGGUUUCCUUUCGAGAAUUUCUAGUAGUAGGAAUGCUUGAGAUGCAUUUAGAAAUGUGCUCAACCGGAGUGGCGGUAGUGACCAAGACAGAAGAUAUUUGUACUUGGUUAUGUAGGUGCAGCAGAUCUUCGGGAUUCAGUGACGUAAACGUUAGUGGCUUGAAUUUUAUCUGCAUGAAAGCAUUUAUUAUUGGGUGGAAAGAAACGGCUUAUGGCGUAGAAAUGGUGAUUUUAUUGAGGUAGCAUCGAGACAUCCCUACCAUUAUAGGGCCAAUUAUCUGACUAGAAAGACAGUCUGUUCGAUUGGCCAAUGAACUGGUCUGUAGAGAGUUUAGGCUUCUGGAAAGAUCGAGAAGAGAGGUCGAUCAGUUUGGCAUUACCAUCAACCGGCUCAAAGCAUUUCAUUUCCUAACUAAGAUGUUUUAAUUUGGUGUGGAGUCAUUUUUUAAAUAAGCAUUGGGGAGACUGAUUUUUUUGUCAAAAUGUCUUUCCUGGUAUGGCCUGCCGAAAAUGGUAAACUAAAAUAGGACGACAUUAACUAGAGGAGCAAAAGAUGGAGUUUUAGGACAUUGUUGUGGCGGUUGUGAAGAUAGGUUGGCACAUGGUAGAAAGUGGAGAUUGGACGUGCAAUGUUGAAGGAGGUAACGCCUUUUGUUCAGGGAAAAUACAGCUGAAGAACUGAAACGAAUGACAUAAAAGUGAAGUAUCAAAAGUUUCGUUCUGAACAAAUGUGAGAAGUUGUUGAUUACAACGAUAUUGGUGGAUAUUUGAAAUGUUGUGUCAUGUCUAUAAACUCGGAAGUUGUUAGCGGCACAGGUGUAUAAUAUUAUAAGCUUACUAUAGUCUUUUUUGAUCCAAUUUGACUUUCUAGAAAACCAUCUUAAGAUUUUAUUUUACAUUUGUCAGUUGCGUGACAUCCAUGUAAUUCUUCAUAUGAAGGAGCCAAUAUUUAGUUGUUGGAGAACCAGAAAGGAAGAUAAUUAUGCUGAUCAAAGUGUUUACCGUUGAACAAAUAAACUUCACGAUGAAAAAAAAAGAAAAAAAGAAAAAAAGGAAAUACAAGACUGGGAAUCUGACCAUUAGUAGUAAUCAAGCCUCUUCAUGGGCCAUUGACCUUGCACUGACGAUUUAUUUGUCUACAUGGUGCCCUUUAUCUAAAGUUAACUUCUAGAUUUUACUAGUUCUUUUUAAAUUUGAUUUCCUUGGUAGUGGACUUCAAAUCAUGAUUCAAUUGACCUCUUUUAUCUUGUGGGUAUGUAGCUGAUUAUGUCAGUAUUGAGACAAAAUUUUGGCAACUUACUAGGUUUGCUGCGGAUGUUUUCCAUGACCUUCAUGAGCAAAUGACAGCAACAGCUGCAAGGGGGCGCAAAGUGUUGCGUCGAGUGCAGAACAUCGAAGCAGCACUUCCAACUCUCGAGAAGGCCAUUCAGGGACAGAAGAGCCAUAUUCAUUUUGCAUAUGUUGCAGGUAUCUUUUUUCGAUAGGAUUUUUAUUUAUAAAUGCUGCCGAAGUAUGUAGCAACCAAGGUUAAAAGUAGGGUCAAGCAUUUCUUAUGGAUUUCCAGUUAGUCAACUUCCUUUAUUAAAUUUGAAAUUUCGUGGCUGGAUAUGAUCUUUUGAACUAUCGAUUCUCAAAGCGUAGAUAAGAAAAAGAAGUGGAGAUGUAAUUUACAUUUGGUAUGCUACAACAUGCAGUGAAGUAUGUAGUAUGAGAAUAAGUGCGAAAGUUUCUUUCAAGAUGACAUAAUGAAAUUUGCUAAUUGGAGAUGGAUUAAUUUUGAGUAUCAAGCCUUAAAAAAGGUUGCCUUUGUUUUGUUGGUUCUACUAAUGUCCUCCCUUUUUUUUGGUACAAAUCUGUGAGGAUACCUGUUAUCACUGUCAUCUUAUUUAUCCCAUAUAAUUCAUAUGAUGUACCGAAGAAGACAGUAUAUGUUAUCACUAUCAUCUUAUUUGUUCCAUACUUCCAUGUUAUAAUUCAUAUGAUGUACUGAAGAAGACAAUGCCUGGCCUAAUCGCUUUCUCCUGUAUGUUGAGAUUGUUUGGCUUCUUGAUGUAAUAUUUUAAACCAGGUUCUGAUUGGCACGCCCAUAUUCGGAACGAGCAAAGCCACCUAUUAUCCACUGAACUGCCACGCUUUAUGAUGGAUUCAUAUGAAGAAUGUCGUGAUCCACCACGUCUCUACUUGCUUGAUAAGUAAGAUUUGGAUAGUUGUAAGUUCGCUGUUCACUGGCUUUUUCCCUGGGUCUUAUUACUUUGGUUCUGCCUGUCAGAUUUGAUAGUGCUGGUGGUGGAGCUUGUCAGAAGAGAUAUUCAGAUCCAUCCUACUUUAGAAGGGCGUGGAGUAUGUCAAAAAUGGGAAAAGCUGAAAGCUUCCAAAAAGAGAAGAAAAUUCAUAAAACUAAGGUACAUGUUGCAUUUGUUCUCUUCAAUUUCUAAGUUAUGUAAAACAUUCCAAAAUUUCUACGUUCAUUGGCAAAACCCUGAAAAUUUUUGUGUAAUAUAUAAAUUGUACAGAGGAAGGUCUCACGGCUUAGGAGUGGUGAACUACUUCAACAUGUUCUGGGUGCUUCUGGAUACAAUAGCAGGUAUUGCCCCUAUAACCUACUGAUUCUAUUAAAAUCAAUCAAAUCUCUUAACUAGACCAUGUGCUAUUUUAGGCUUUAAUUAUAUAAAGAUUUAUAUAUUUAUUCAAGCAAAUUUGCUAGCAGACCGCGCUUUACAUCUCCAAGCACCGAUGGGCAAUUCUUUUCAGAACACAGGACUAAUGGAACUCAUUUUGCAUCUUCAAGCACAGAUGGACAAAGCUUUACAGAGAAUAGAUCUACACCUGAUAUGAGAUACAAUCUGGAAGUUGCUAGUAGGUCUACUUCUUUUAGUUCAAAACCAAGGUUGAGUUUUGUUGAGCAAGUAGUAGAUACUGAGAUUGAUUAUGAUAUUCUAUCGGAUGCUAAGCUUCAUGACAAACAUAGUGAUGCCUCUCCUUCAGUUCUUCAUGAUGAACUGAAUGGAGAUGGCUCGAAUGAUGAUUGUUACCAAAAUGGUUCUGGGAUAGGGCAAGAUGUUGCUACAUCAUCUUAUGUUACAUGGGAGGAAAAAACUGAAAUAAUUAAGCCUUCAAGUUCCUUAUCUUGUGAUGAUGUAAUUAUCGCUGAGGUUGAAAAUUUGGAGACCGCACAUAUGAACUUUGAACAGCCCGACAUUGACCAUUCUGACAAAGGAAUCCAAGACAUUGACCAUUCCGACAAAGGAAUCUUGGAUCAACAAGGGGUAUUACCUGAAAUUGCUAAAGCGCCAGUAUCAUCAUCUGCUCCUACCCACUUCGAAGAAAUUACAAGUGAGACAGACAACUAUAUGGAUGCGCUUAACACAUUGGAAUCUGAAACAGAAGCAGAAGCUGAAUGCCAAACGAAACGAGAGGUUAAUUUACUAUCUAAUCCCAGUUCUGAAGGAAUUCAAGUCGGGACUGAAAAGAUGCAAGUCCAGGAUUUGCAGCCUCCUGAUAUAUCUGGUAGUGAAGCUAUUAAUACAUCUCAUAGUAUGUUGAACGAGCAUGACUCCGGAAAUUCAUCAAAAACGGUCCCUUCAGAUAGUUUAGAACAGUUGUUGCCCCCUCAUAAUAUUCUAAAUGAAAUUUCUGGAAGUAACGAUCAUGAUGGUGCCACAAUGACUACUGAUGAAUGCGUUGGUGAUAAUCUGUCUUCUGUAACUGGUGUUUGUAGUAUAGUUGAAUCUCAAACUAUUCCUACUGUUAAUAUUUCUGGUUUAUCUUCGACCAAACUUUGGACUAAUGCUGGCCUUUUUGGACUUGAACCUUCAAAACCUCCAGACUUUGGUGCUCUGAAUGUUGUACAGGAUAACCCCAUACCUGAAUCUUCAGAUUCUGCACAUGACCUUUCAAGUGAUAGGGUAAAGCUUAAAUUAGAGGCGGUAGACAUACCCAAUGGAAAUAUGUCAACGGAAUCCAACUUUGUAGGGAGAAUGGAUGAGAAUAAACCUGGAAAGCAGAAUUUGGCAAGUGAGAUUGAUGAGCCUAUUGGUGAACCAGCAAAUAGCAUUCAUGCUUAUUCUAGUGGAACUGAUCUGGUAAGAAAGAAAGAUGUUUCUCCGAUAGCUGAUUUGCCAGUGGCUUGCAAUAUAACUCCAGAACACAAUGAUUCAGGCGGGGGAACAAAGAACAUUUCAUCCAGCUUUUCUGACCUUGCACAAAGAUUUCUUGCUAAUACUCUUCAAAGAAGAGCUUCUCUUACCUAUGCCUCUGUGCCAUCUGGAACAGUGAAUUCCGAUGUUGGAAACCACAAGGUAGAGUCAAAUGGAGUCAUAUCUCAAGGUUCUUUCCACCAAACUAAGGAAAAAGUUUCACAUAAGAUAUCGAAAAUGUCAAUUUCUCCUCGCUCUCAUUAUUCUGGGCAAUCAUCUCCACCUCUCGAGCAUAUGAAAUUCUCUUUUCUUCCCAUGAAUGGUUCGGAAACCUCAAAACUGAAAUUGGAGUUUCCUAAUGGAAAUCUUCAUGAAAGUGCUGAUGAUUUGAUGUUUCCGACGUUUCAGUUGCUACCAAGAUCUGAUUUUCGUUCAGCGGAAAAUGGUUGUGAAUCGGAUGAUGACACCUUUUGUAGAUCUUGCCCAUAUUCUUCAGAGGAUAUUGUGAGCCCUCGUUCGUAUUCGAGCUCUGAACUGUGGGAGCAAGAAGAGAAUUCCGAAUUUGAAGACCAUAAUAAAAAUGAGGCAAAUAAUGGGGCUUUACCCUUUGAUUCUUCUUCAGCAAUGGAUCUUCCAGGUAUUGACUCUGUUAUGCCCUUAAACAACCAACAGAAUGGAAACCAUGAUCCCAUGUAUAAUUCGGUAAGUAUGGCAACGCAAAACCAAGAUGAGAUGCCACCACCGCCCCCUCUCCCUCCAGUGCAAUGGAGGUUGAUGAAACCAUCAGUUGAUUCAGGAGAAGACAAGAAUGCUAAAACUGAGGAAAGGUUUAUCCAGUCAGAUUUUCCUCAAUCUCCAAGUCUUACUUCUGCACAGCAGGAAGGGCGACUUGCACCAAUAGCACCUUUUUUUCCCGAGCCCUUGCCGCCACAGCAAUUGAAGAAUAUGGUAUAGUACAAAUUUGUCAAGUUUGUUCUAAAGAAAUCAAUUAUGAAGUAGAUUAGAGUUGUUUUUGUCUAAUACAUGGUAAUUCUUUUUUUCGGUUUUUUUUUUUUUUUGUGGUAGCAUGAUGUGGAGAAGCUAAAUGGGCACUUAGAAAGAAAUCAUGCUGCAGGUAGCAAGGAAGUGAAAGUAAGGGAGGAGCUGCUUCACCAAAUAAGGAAUAAGGUGGGCAUUACUCCUCCAGUAUGAUUUGUUAGCUUUUCUGAUAUCUUCGCAUAACAUUUCCUAGAAGAAUGUCAUUCUUUGGACUGAGAAUAUGCAGAUUGCCUAUAGUAUGCACACUGAGAAGCAUCACCUGCAUAAUGGACAGCUUAGAGCUUCUGACUGUCAUUGUUAAGGGGAGGGGGAAGAAAAGCAAUUGACCAUUUCAUCUGUUCUCAGAAUAUUUAACUCUUUACACUGUGUAGUCGCUAUUAUCAUCACCAGGGUGAUGAUUGUGUAGGCGGUCAUGGAAUAACUUAGUCCUCAAUGGGUUUCUCGCUUUUAUGUUGUAACCAUGAUUUCAAACUGUGGAUCAUGUUAGUUCAUGAUUAUCUCUACUUUUAUUUUAUUCUGUUGAAUGUUCUGGGACAAUUGAAUUUGAAGGUUUUGGUAAUAUGUUAUUCGGAACCUGAUUUUUUUUUUUUAUUGUCAUAUUGCAGGACCAAUAUCUGCAACAUGAUCAGCAAAGGCUGAAUGGGCACGAAAUGCCAAGAAGUUAUAGCUUCAAUACCAAGAAUUUUGAUGAAAGGGAUGAGUUGCUUCAUCAGAUCAGGAAUAAGGUAUCUAAAGUAACUUACAGAAUAUCAGAGCCUUUUUUUGCGUAAAACUCUUGUUAGUCAGAUCUCCUUUGUUUACUCGAGUGCAUUUCGUAAUUUGUUCACAAGGUGGAUAAGAGGAUGUAUGCAAGAACAUAAAAUAUACAGCCUCUAUGUCAAAUUUUUUUUUUUCUUUUUCAGAAUAUAUGACUCUGAGAUUCAAAGAAAUUGUUGUUGGCAAGUCAAAGCUUGUUACUUAAACAUAAAAUGCUUAUGUGCUAUUCUGCAGGCAUUUAACCUGAGGCGCACCACCACAUCAAAACCGAGUAUCACAUCAGAGACUGCACCCAAUGCCAGUGUUUCUGCCAUCUUGGAGAAAGCAAAUGCUAUCCGCCAGGUUUCUUUUGUCUUUAUUAUUUGUUAUUUGUUUUUUUUUCUAUUUUCCUAUGAUCUCCGAAGUUUGCAUUAUUUAUAAUCGGUUUAAUUCUUAGCAGGCAUUUGUGGGUAGCGACGAGGGAGGUGAUGAUGAUAACUGGAGUGAUAUGUGACCCCUCGACCGAACUGGCCAAAAGACUGUGAAUAGCAUGCUGUUCCCUUUAAUGUAAUUAUAUUUUGCAGGUCUCUUCUCUCUUCCUAGUAUAUUUUCUUAUUUAAUUGCUUGUAAGAUUCAUAUUAUUGUAAAAACGUUGGUUCGUCUAUUCCUGUUGUAAAUCUGUUUCAGUUAUUUAUUAGUGAGAAAAGCUGAUAAAGUAGGCAUGCUAAGUUGCCCUUCUGCUGUAUUACAAAAGUUGGAUUAUCUCUUUGAAUGCUAAUCACUGUUGAUAAGGUAGCUAGUUUUUCAUUUGAGUUCUUCAAAAAGAAAAAUGAACUGAUGCUCUUAGGUUGGGGAUAGCAAUAUGGCAGCGUCUGAUGCCUGUUUUGCUUCGUAAUGUUUCAAUUUCGAGUAAUCUGCAUCGACAAAUGGAUAUUGUUAUAUUGUGGAAUAAAAAGACCAUGCAAAGUGUACUAGUCCCAAAUAAGUUGCUACUUUUCGCUUCUUGUUUUUGCGUAUGCAUUUGUGUUUGCGUUGUCCUACAGAUAGUUGGAUGGGACUACAGCAUUAACUGCCUAUUUUCAGCCUUCUUAAAGAACCAUUUUGUUUAUUUUCGGUGUACAUAUUUCAGAUUCAUCGCGCUGCGUAUUCACCGCAGAGUUGCUCUGUGCGCAGGUAUUUUUUGUAUUCAGGCCUGAAGAGAGUUUGAACUCGAUUGAUACAGCCUUUGAAAUAUUCUAUCUUCUCUAUCUCGAGAGUUGUGGGAGCCUCAUCUAUUUACCUUUCGUCUUUAAAUUUAAUUGCACGAUUUCUUUUGCAUGUCUUUUUUUUUUUUUGUUUUAAUCAAGUAUUUGUUGACUAUUUCGCUUCAUCAUACAUAGUGAGCUCUACAACUCUAGUAUAUUGUAUAAUCAAAUCAUAUCAUACAAUAACCUGAUCCUGUAUAGUAUAUGUUUUCGGCAAAGAAAAUCUGAAGGCCAGUUUUGUUAACCAGGUUUAUUGCAUUGAAAUAUGCUGAAGGAAUGUACAUUUUAUAUCGAAAGAUUAGAGAAUUGAAAUUUUUUUUGGAUUUUAUAAAAUAAAAAAAUAGACUAGUGGGUUAAUAAGGACUACAAAAAAUCGAUGGGUGUAACUCUUGUAAAUUUUACAUCUAUAAGCAGAGUGUGCCAAUAGUAUACUGCUCUAUUGCACCUUAGGUUCGUAAAUUAUGUGAAUCCCUACUAAACAAGGUUUUUCAAACCCCAGUUUAUUGCGCGAACAUUGUUUUUGCUUUCUUUUUUUUUCCUCCAAAUCCACAAAGAAAAAGAAAAUAUUGACUUUUUAAAAAAAAUUUAGAGAUGCUACUGAAAUUUAAUUGGUGAUAUAGUCUCUGCAGUCAGAUGGUCAAACUACUUGAAAACCAAGUCAAAUGAAUGCAUCUCAAAGUAAUACAAGUACUGAAUUUGCUGGUCUCCAACUGUUUUUCUUAAAUUUAAGUUUUAACCUUCACAGGAGCUGCAAUUCAACAUGAAGAAUGAUGGCUAAUUUAUCCACCAAACGAAAAAAGUAAAAAAAAAAAAAAAGAAGAAAAAGAAAAACAAUGAUGAUUCAUUUAAAAAAGCCAAUGAAAAAAAUUGCCAAUAAUUGUCACCUAGUCACGUUCAUGCGUCGCCACGAGGCACGCUUGAGUAAAUAUCUUAUCUAAAUUAAUGUCACUGGGACCCAAUUAUUGUCCCAUUAGACGACACGCGUGGACAUAAUUUUUUAACGUUUUAUAAAAUAGUUGUCUGAUAAUAAUAAUAAUAAUUGGUCGAAAGUUAUUACACGUAGACAAAUGCACAUGCAAUUGCGACUUGCGAGUUUGGUGCCAUACAUGCAUGUGGCGGACACUUUUUCUUUUUUGAUCUUCCUUUUUUUAAAAAUUUUCCAACUUCAAAUCCACUUGUCAUGUUAUAUUAAUUAUUUUAAUUAAUUAUUUUACCUUGCGAACAUAGAAAAAUAGAUCUGCAUUAAAAAUUUUGAUAAAAGAGAUUCAGUAGAAAAUUCGUUGAUCCGAAUGAUUUGAGGCUUAACCAUUUCAUAAUCUCCGAUUUCAGUGUCGCAUGUGACAAAAUAAUAAGUUAUGCAAGAGUACGUAAGUAAAUUAUGAUUAUUAUUUCGAGCUGAAAUUGCAUUGGCAUCGGUGUAUAUAUGCCAAAUAAAGAGGGAACUUCUCAAUGUAACUAAUAUCUAAGAUUUUAAUGAUUAAAAAAUAAAGAUUGGAGGGGUCAAAAAAUUUGCACAAAUUAAAUAAGAUGAUUGUUUUAAAUUGUUUUGCUAAAAUGUUAAUGGCUACGAAACAUAUUUUAUUUAGUGCUAUCUUAAUCUAUAGUGUUGUUUAAGAAAAUGCUAUCUUAUUAGUGCUAUUAGAAAAAAAUAUAUAUAUAUAAUGAAAUCCUUUACUAGCUUUUGUAGUAAAAUCAAAAUAUUAAAUUAGAGUUUCUGUUUCUAAGACUCUAAAUUUCAUAUUUGCCCAAAAGUUGCGGAGAUUUUUUUUUCUUAAUUAUUCUACUAAAUACUAUUACGAAUGUUGCUGAAAGCUAAAGCAAUAACGGUGCAUUUUUUAUAAGCUUAUGGACACAGAAUGUACUAUAUUUUAAUUUAGGGUUAUUUGCAUCCACGUUCCUGCAAACAUAGUGAAUUGCAGAAAUAUUCCUACAAAACGAAAAUUUCAUAAGUUGUCCCUACAAAAGUCCUAAGUUAUGCAGAUAUGUCCCUCUGGUUAAAAUCCGUUAGUGAACUGUUUAUUUUUUAACAGUUUUCUUGUGAAAUGAUUGUUUUGCCCUCACAAAUAUAUCCCUCCAAAAGUAUCCUCUUCCCCUUCUCUUUCUCUUCCUCUUCGGGCCGUCGAAGCGGACAACGGCGACGACGCAGGGUCGGAUUCGCCGGCGACGAAGAGGAGGGAAGAGAAAGAAGGAGAGGAAGAAGAAGUGGGAAGAGGAAGAAGGAGAGGAAGAAGGAGAGGAAAAAGGGAAGAGGAAGAUGGAGAGGGUUUGCUGCCGCCGCCGCCGCCGCCGCCGUAUCUCCUCCCUUGCCGGCGACGAGGAAGAGGGAAGAGAAAAAGGGAGAGGAAGAAGAAGGGCUAAGAGAAAGAGGGAGAGGAAAAGGGAGAGGGCUCGCCGCCGCCGUCGCAUCUUCUUCCUCGCCGGCGACGAAGAAGAGGGAGAGGAAGAAGCAAGGGGAAGAGGAAGAGGAAAGAGGAAGAGGGAGAGGAAGAAUAAGGGGGAAGAGGAAGAGGGAGAGGGUUCGCUGACGUCGUCGCCGCCGCUGCUGCAUCUCUUCGCAGGCGAUGAAGAAGAGGGAAAAGGAAGAGAAGGAUGAGGAAGAAGGGUAGAACCGUAAAUUCACACUAUUAACUAAUCGUGGUUAAGUAGUUUAACUGUGGUUAACUAAAUUUCUCUAACAGACUCUAACAGCAGGGACAUAUCUGCAUAACUUAUGACUUUUGCAGGGACAACUUAUGGAAUUUUCGUUUUGCAGGGAUAUUUCUCCAAUUUACUAUAUUUGCAGGGACGUGUAUGCAAAUAACCCUUUAAUUUAUUUAGUUACAUUUUUUUUUUACUUUAAUAUAUAUAUAUAUAUAUAUAUAUAUAUANAUUGAGCUUCAAUGCUUUUAAAAAUAUAAAGUCAUUGAUGCUUGUAGGUUUGCAGUUAUUGAAUUAAAAGGUGUGCGGUUAGGAUGAUAGUGAUUUCCUAAAGUUAAGUGGGUGAGUGGUUGAAUAGUAUGAUUUAAUCGGUGGGUGAGUGGUUGAAUAGUAUGGUCUAAUCGGUGAAAAUGAUCCAAGUGAUUGAGCUAACAGCGGAAAACGUACAAGCACCAAGUGUCAAUGCUCCCACCCACUCAGCCUUAGGAUACCAAUAUUAUCCCAACCGCACAUCUUUUAAUUUAAUGACCGAAAACCACAAGUAUCAAUCAAUUGAUACUUUCAAAAGUAUGGGAGUUUAAUUCUCUCUCUCUCUCUCUCUCUCUCUCUCUCUCUCUCUCUAAGCUAGAGUUAGUAUAUUUUGAUGAGUAGAAACUUUUUUUGUACUUAUAGGGUUGAGUGGGUGGUUGGUUGAGUUGUAUGAUCUAACAUGUAAAAAUUGUCAAAGAAGUAGAUCUAAUGGUCGAAAAUUUAUAAGUAUAAAUAAAAUCUAUACUCAUAAGAAUAUAGUAGCCGAACUCUCUCUCACUCUCUCUCUUUCUCUCUCCACACAAACACACACACACACACACACACACACACAUAUAGUUGAGGUGGAAUGCUGUCGAUAACAAACGUGCUCCGUUGCCACCAAUUUAUUUUCGAUAAUAGAGCAUUCAAAUCGAACCUUUGAACAUUAUCUAUACCAUUUGAAAUAUCUAAAAACCAAAUUUUAAAUCUUUUCGAUAUCAUUAACCUAAUAAUCAAAGGGUUUCAAAAUUUGUAAUUUUAAUUGUGGAUAGGAAGCGUUUUCUUGUUUAACGAUGUAGUGAUAUUCAAAUCAAUUGAAUUUUGGUUAGAAAAUUUUUUAAACUAUUUAGAACAAGAUCUAUACUCUCGACCUUGAUUAUAAAAUUCCUAUCAUCACUUUUUAGAGAUAAUCAUUUUUAGCUGUUUAUUUUUACGCCCACUUGAUGGACAAGAGAACAAUAUCGAAAAAGAAUGAAAUUUGAUUUCUAGAUAAUUCAAGUGGUAUAGAUCAUUUUCAACGGUGCCAAUCGUCGAUUUGGAGGCUUCAUCAUUGAAAACAAAUGGAUGACAACGAAACCUGUUUGCUACCGAUAGUAUUCCAGUUCAACUCUCUCUUUCUCUCUUUCUAUAUAUAUAAAUAUAUAGAACUAGGUUAGAAUACUAUCAAUAGCGCCAAGCUAUUGACGCUAUUAGUUUUUUAGCUAUUGGAUUGAAAAAUAUGUGGUUAGGAUGAUAUAGGCCUCUUAAGGUUGAGUGAGUGGUUGAUUUAAUAGUAUAAUCUAACGGAUAAAAAUAAUCAAAUAAUUAAAUCUAACAGUAAAAAACUCUAUAGCACAAAAUCCUUAGUCCUAUUAAUAGUAUCCCUUUUCGACUUUCUCUCUCUCUCUCUCUCUCUCUCUCUCUCUCUCUCUAAGCUAGAGUUAGUAUAUUUUGAUGAGUAGAAACUUUUUUUGUACUUAUAGGGUUGAGUGGGUGGUUGGUUGAGUUGUAUGAUCUAACAUGUAAAAAUUGUCAAAGAAGUAGAUCUAAUGGUCGAAAAUUUAUAAGUAUAAAUAAAAUCUAUACUCAUAAGAAUAUAGUAGCCGAACUCUCUCUCACUCUCUCUCUUUCUCUCUCCACACAAACACACACACACACACACACACACACACAUAUAGUUGAGGUGGAAUGCUGUCGAUAACAAACGUGCUCCGUUGCCACCAAUUUAUUUUCGAUAAUAGAGCAUUCAAAUCGAACCUUUGAACAUUAUCUAUACCAUUUGAAAUAUCUAAAAACCAAAUUUUAAAUCUUUUCGAUAUCAUUAACCUAAUAAUCAAAGGGUUUCAAAAUUUGUAAUUUUAAUUGUGGAUAGGAAGCGUUUUCUUGUUUAACGAUGUAGUGAUAUUCAAAUCAAUUGAAUUUUGGUUAGAAAAUUUUUUAAACUAUUUAGAACAAGAUCUAUACUCUCGACCUUGAUUAUAAAAUUCCUAUCAUCACUUUUUAGAGAUAANUAAUAAUAUGACAUUAAAAUUUUAAAUCAAAGAUAUUGAUCUUGUUUUAUAUAGUAUAAAGAAUUUUCUAUCAAAAUUUCACGUGAUUUGGAUAUUUCUACACCGUUAAACUUGCAAACGGCUCACUACGACCAUUGAAAUUUGUUGAUUUUGAGCCCAUUCGAUCACUAGGCAAAUAAUAUCGAAAAAUAAUAAAAUUUAUUUUCUAGAAACUUCAAAUACUCUAGAUCAUGUUUAACGGAGCCGAUCGACGAUUCGAAAGUCACAACAUCGAAAACGAGAUGGAAACACGGAAGGCUCCGUACUUUCGAUAGCAUAGUAACCUCACUUUAUAUAUAUAUAUAUAUAUAUAUAUAUAUAUAUAUAUAUGAUUCUUGCCAAUACCUUCACAGGCCAUAAAGAAGGAAAGGAAUAUUCCCUAUCGGAUCAUCAGAUGCUUAAAAUAUGCUUGUGUGACGAGUUGAGGUGACAUUUUGGAUAUAUUUUUAAUCAAAUUGGGCAACAUUUUGUAUCAUGCUAUGGGCAAAAGAAGAGCACAUCGAAUUUGAAAUCUCAAUAUGUUUGACGCCGUCGUGAAUGCCAGGUAUAUAUGUCUUUUUUUUUUUUUUUCCCCAUUUUUUUUUGCUACGCUUUUAAGGAAAUACCCAUGCGGCUAAUUAAUUAGUGGAAAUUAUUAUAAGGUCUCUCCGUUAAUUAAUAAAUGGAGGACCUUUUUCUCGUAUUAAAAAAUGGAAAGAUUGGUCUCUUACGACUCACAUCAAAUGUCACCCAUUGGAACAAGAAAUCGACCCGAGUGUUUGAUUCUUUUCUUUUCCAUGCUUUAUCAUUGAAAACCCACUAAUUCGGGGGCUAAUUACAACAUUGUUUGUAGGUCCCUAAACAGUUAUUAGUUGUUUCUGCAGUGUUUUCAUAUGAUUUACUAUUCUUAAAACUCUGAAAAUUCAUUUUAACUUUUGCUACUACCAAAACUUUACUUUUGAUUCACAAGUGUUUUAUUUUUAAUGGGUGCAUUAGGGAUGUCAAUGGGUAUGGAACUAUAGAUAUCCGAAAUUUUAUCUGAACCCGAACCCGAACCCAAAUGAAACGGAUAUAUCCGAUGCUAAAUGGAUAUGGAUUCGGAUAUGGAUAUCAAAAAUAGAAACCCGACGGAUAUGAAUUCGAAUAUAGAUUUUGACUGCACCCGACCCGAACUCGAACCCGAUCCGAACCCGAAUUUAUUUUGUAUUAUAUAAUAUAUAUACCCGACCCGAACCCGAACCCGACCCGAACCCGAAUUUAUUUUGUAUUAUAUAUAUAUAUGAUGUUAUAUUUGAAUUUGUAUUUUAAAAAUUUAGAUUUAAUAUAAUGUAUUUUGAAAUACUAAAAAGAAAAAUAAUUGUUUCGGGUUCUAAUUUUCGGGUUCGGGUUCGGGUUCGGGUUUCGGAUUUUUGGUCGGAUUCGGGUUUGGAUAUGAAUUUUUAAAAUCUGUCGGGUUCGGGUUCGGGUCUCAAGUUUGGAGUCGGAUUCGGGUUCGGAUUUUAAAAAAUCGGCCCCGAAUCCGACCUGUUGACAUCUCUAGUGCACAUGCGUGUGUGCGCGCACGCGCGAGCGCAUCUGUGUGUGUGUGUGUCUCUGUGUGUGUGUGUGUGUGUGUGUGUGAGUGAUUCAUUUGAUCAUGUUGAUCAAUUAUUAAUUUUCUCGUUUAACAUUUAUGGAGACCCCUGAGUGAUUCAUUUGAUCAUGUUGAUCAAUUAUUAAUUUUCUCGUUUAACAUUUAUGGAGACCCCUCAACUAUACGCCGUUCUAAAUAAAUGGCGCCCUUUAACUUUCUUCUGUUUAAUUCAUCUUUUCUUAAAUUCCACACUCUUUAGAUUUUUUUUUUUUUUCUCACAGAAAAAAAGACAAGAAAAUCAACAUGGACCACAUCAUUAGUUGAUUCCAGGUUAUGAGGCAAAAUUGCGUUUGUUGUCAACAUCCCAUGGACCCACACUUAUUAGAUUUAUUUGCAAAAUUAAUUAAAUCCUAUAUUCUCAUUUAUUGUCCAAAAUCAAUGCUUAAAAUGUUCUCUUUAAAAUUAAUAUUUCUAAUUUCUCUGUUAAAAAGUUAACUGAACACUUACUAAUUUUCGAAAACCCUUCAAUGAAGUUAAAAAAAAAAAAAGGAAAAAGAAUGAGGCAUAUCAUAUGCUUCUUUAUUAGAAUUUUGCUGAAUACGCAGCUUUGAGAUUCGUAUAGAAAACUUUUAGGUUAAAAUAAAUUUUUUAAAUUUAGAUACUGUCUCAACCAGAAUUCGUUAAAAUUAAAAUAUAUAAUUUUAAAUUCUAAAUUUUAAUUUUUAAAAUUUAAAUUAUAAAUUUUAAAUUGAUAUAUAUUUAAUUUUUAAAAUUUAAAAUUUAAAAUUUUAUAUUUUUAAAUUUAGAUUUGAUCUUAAAUUUAAAAUUUAAAAUUUAAAAUUUAGAACUUUGAAUUUUCGAAGCUGAGAUUUUUAAAUUCAAAUUUUAAUUUUAAAUAUUUGAAAUUUAAGAGUUAUAUAUUUAAAUUUAAAAUAUAAAAUAUAAAAUAUAAAAUUUUAAUUCAAAUAUAAUAAAGAGAGUAAUAUUAUUAUUUUUUAUUUAUAACCACCCACUGUCCUUCUUAUUCCAUUUAUUUCAACCAAAUACUAUUUUGCUUAUACCUGAACUAAAUCCAAUACUCAACCAAACACUAUUUUACUUAUACAUGAACUAGUAGACUCAAUACUCAACCAAACACAAAAUUACUUUAUAUUCAUCUUAUAUUUUAUCUUAUAUCUAUUUUGGAACAAUUAAUUCUUACUUAUAUCCCAUCUAAACGUUUCAGGCAAAGUUUAGAUAUUUUAUGAGAGAUUGUCCGGUCGAUGAAGUAACUAGCCGUGGGCCCGUUGGGCUGACACGCGGACCACAGAUGAAAAAAGUGGGCCCCACAGAUGAGCCCCAAAACAAUGAUGAGAAAACGGCGUCUUCGUUGGCCUAUACAUGAAAGAGCGACCGGUCCGUUCAUUCUCCCCGCAUAUCAUCUCCACCUCCACAUUGAAUCUCACAACUGUACUACAUUACCAAUAACAAAUCAAUCAUUAUUUUUUUUUAUGUAACCCCAUAUAGUUUUGUACUUUCUUAUUUUAGUAUUCUAUGAUUUAAAGUGUAUCAACUUAGUAUUUUGUGAUUUCGCAUUUUCUCAUUUUAGUACUCUGUAAUUUAAAAUGUAUCAAGUUAGUACUCUGUGGUUUUUAUUUUAUAUUAAGUUAGUAUUCUGUAGUUUCUUUUUUUUUUAUUAUCUAUUUCGGAAUAUUUUUUUGCUAAAUUAGUGACAAAGUUAAAACUAAAAGGUAUUAAAAUGAAUAUUUGAUAAACUUAUAUAGAAUAUCUAAAAUUUUUUUUUGUAUAUAAUUUAACUAAAUAUUAAACCACGCGCUAUUAACUUGAUAUAAUUUAAAUUACGGGAUAUUAAAGUUAGAAAAUGUAGUGUAUUUAGAGGUAUUUGAGGUUUUUCCCAUUUGUUAUAAUUAUGAUGUGACCGAUAAUUCUAAUAACGCUAUUUGAUUGGUGAAGUACGCCACGUUGCUAAUAUAAUCACUGCAUUCUAAAAUUUUUCCCACCUCCACCUCUCUCUCUCUCUCUCUCUCUCUCUCUCUCUCUCUCCGUAUUUCUCUACUUCUUCUUCUUCAUCUUCCCCAACUCAUCACUCUCUUUAGCGAAAGCGAAAUCGGCAUCGUCCUCUUCCUCGUCAGCUCCUCCCUCCACCCCCCUUCCCUUUUCUGUGGCUGCGGUUGGCGCCGCGUGCGGGGGACGAACCUUUGUUUUGCCCUUCGCCCGCGCCAGAGGGUGCGCUCCUUCUCUCUCUCUAUAUAUAGACUCGGUGAAAGUUUAGAGAGAGCAGAGAGAGAGAGAGAGAGAGAGAGAGAGAGAGGGUGAGAGGGUGAGGGGUUUAGGAGCAAGGAUUAGGGUUUAGAGAGGACAUGGCGAAGAGUUCGGUGGAGAGGCACCAGUCGAUCGACGCGCAACUGAGGCUCCUCGCGCCGGCGAAGGUGUCGGAGGACGACAAGCUCAUCGAGUACGACGCGCUCCUCGUCGACCGAUUCCUCGACAUCCUCCAGGACCUGCACGGCGAGGCUCUCCGAGAAUUCGUAACCCUCCUAACUCAGAUUUGCUUAAUCGCUCCCUUUUUCUUUUUUUUUAAAAAAAAAAAAAAUGCUAUUGUAGCUUAUUUCUUAAAAUUGUGACGAGAAAUGGGGUUUAGUUGACUAAAGGUCUCAUUUUGGAGGGAAAAAAAGGAAUGCUCUUUUAUUAUAGUGUCAAAACUGUGUAUUUGAACUUUGCACUGUAAUAAGAUUUGGUUUGAAUUCGAAUUUGUGCAUUGUAGGUGCAAGAAUGCUAUGAGUUAUCGGCAACUUAUGAGAGCGCAAGCGAUUUUGCGAAGCUGGACGAGCUAGGGAAAAUGUUGACUAGUUUGAGUCCUGGCGAUUCGAUUGUCGUCGCGGGCUCAUUCUCGCACAUGCUUAAUCUGGCCAAUUUGGCCGAGGAGGUCCAGAUCGCAUUUAGGAGGAGGAACAAGCAGAAGAAGGGUGAUUUGGGCGAUGAGGCCUUAGCUAUUACGGAGUCCGAUAUCGAAGAGACCCUUAAACGGCUUGUUCAAGAUUACAACAAAUCGCCGGAGGAGGUAUUUGAUGCCCUUAAGAACCAGACGGUCGACCUGGUUUUCACUGCUCAUCCAACUCAGUCGGUCAGGAGAUCAGUGCUUCAAAAGCAUGCGAGGUUCGUUGAUUGAUUCUUAAACCCAAACAAACCAAAAAAAAAGGUAUCUUGUCUAGUAAAUUUGAGUUGCAGUAUUUAUUCUUAUGGGGUUGGAGUGAAAAGUCAAGAGGGAGUUUUUUCUAUGGAUAUGGGCUGAUGGAAGUUUAACUUCUAAGAAAGUAAUUUACAAGCUUCUCGUAAUUUGAUAUUGGAAAAGUGACAGUUUGACUACUGGAUGUUGUUUGAUUGCAUGAUCUAGUGGCUUGCACAUGCUAUAAAAGAUUAACGUAAUAAAUUUUUCUUCUUUCCUCUUGGUUUUUUAUUUAUUUUGUCAUUGGGAUAUUGAUCUUGGCUGUAGCAGUUCUUGCCCCUGCUUCUCUGUGCCAUUCCGUUGCUGCAAAUAUACUUCAAACAGCUUUCAAAUGCUGUGCUGCAAAUAAUUUAUAUUUUAUAGAUGAUGGUAUGACAUCUUAUUAUCACAAAUUCUUGGAAUAUUUUCAGGAUAAGGAAUUGUUUGACUCAACUGUGUGCUAAGGACAUCACUGCUGAUGAAAAAUAUGAGCUUGAUGAAGCUCUUCAGAGAGAGGUAAAUUAAUUUUUUUUUUUUCUUCUCUUAAUAUCAUGCAAAUUUGUAAAAUUGCUGGUAUCGUAACUUUUUCCAUUCUCAUUUUUGAGUGACAUUGUAUUAUUGUUCUCCUCCCUGUUCUUCCUUCGCAGAUUCAAGCUGCUUUCAGAACUGAUGAGAUCCGAAGAAUACAACCUGCUCCACAGGAUGAAAUGCGGGCUGGGAUGAGUUACUUUCAUGAAACUAUAUGGAAGGGUGUGCCAAAGUUCUUGCGUCGUGUCGAUACGGCUCUGAAGAACAUUGGGAUUAAUGAACGUCUCCCUUAUAAUGUGCCUCUUAUUCAAUUUUCUUCUUGGAUGGGUGGUGAUCGCGAUGGUACUUGGUUCUUCUCGUUAUAUCAAUUAUAUAUUCUGUUCCAAUGGUUUAGUUGUUCAAAUUUCUCUUUAGCAACAGGACAAGAAAUGUUCCCAUACUUGGUUUCAGCAGUUCACAUCUUGUUAGUUAUGUACAGCUUCCUGAUUAUAUUUGUUAAAUUUGUACAUGACUAAACCUCUUUAGUCUGAUUUAUGGAGCAGCUUUUGUAAUAAUAAUAAAAAAAGAAAACCGCGCCUUUGACAAACGAAAGUUUGAAAAUGAUAUUUUAAACCUCAGUAGCGGAAACUUGAAACUUCUACUUUUGUGGCCAUGGAAAGGCUAUUUAGGAGAAUUUAGUAGAAAGCUAUUGACGAUCCUUUGAAUAGUUAUACUCAAACAACACUUCUAUAGAAGCUUCAGUUUGGGUCAACAUCCCUCAAGUUGGCCUAUUUAAAUCUUGGAGUUAAUAUAUUUGCCUAAAUGUGUUAUUCAGGAAACCCCCGAGUUACUCCUGAGGUUACAAGGGAUGUAUGCUUGCUGGCCAGGAUGAUGGCUGCAAAUUUGUACUAUUCUCAGAUAGAAGAUCUAAUGUUUGAGGUACUGCAACAACCCACCCAUCACCAUCUAAUUUUUUGCUGUUCAUGGAUAAUAAUUUUGAAUGAUUGAAGGUUUUCCGCUUAUGUCUUCAUCCGAAAGUCUACUAACAACAUCUUAUGUUUCUAGCUGUCUAUGUGGCGCUGUAGUGAUGAACUCCAUGUUCGUGCUGAUGAGUUACUCCGAUCCUCAAGGAAAGAUGCUAAACAUUAUAUAGGUAUGCAGGAAUUGUUCUGCCACUGUAACCUCAUGGUCAUCAGUUGUAAUCAUCGUUAUCAUCAUCAUCGCAAUCCAAUUAUUUUCCUGUUAAGGCCAUGACACUCUCAGUAUUGAAUCCUAUAAUUGGAAAAUAUGACGAUGAUUGCUGUGACUUAUGCCACCUCUAUUACCAUUUUACAGACAUGCUUACAAAAUUCAACUGUCACAAAUUCAAUACCUAUCUAUUAUGCUUGUGUUUGAAGUAUAAAAAAUGAAUUUUGCUAACUUAUAUUAAGUAAUCUUUUUGACCCCCAAAAGUUGCUGUUUAUUGUGUUGGUAAUUAUGCUGAUGCUGUAGUAUUGAGGAUGUUAUGCACGCAGAGUUCUGGAAACAAGUCCCAGCAAAUGAACCUUAUCGUGUCAUACUUGAUGAUGUGAGGAGUAAGCUAUAUAACACUCGUGAACGUUCCCGCAAUAUUCUGUCAAACGGAUCUUCUGACAUUCCUUUGGAGGCAACUUUCACCAAUGUUGAGCAGGUUCUUCUUCAUUAAUUUUAUUACCGUCCGCAUAGCCAUAAACAAAAAUUAUAAUGCUGUCAACAGUAUGUCAUACAUUAGUGCAUAGUUUGCUUUUUUUUGCUGCAGACUACUGUUGUAAAUUUCUUCAAAAUUCCCAAUUUCAAUCUAUUUCUAUUCUCAAUUUCAAUGAACUGAUUUCUGCUGAAACUGCACCUUUUGCAAUGAGAUUGCAUCUGAUUUCUGAAGAACUUGUUGUAUUUCUUGUUGCAAAUAGUUUAUCCUCACAUUUAAUAUUUGUUCUUUUCUUAUCCAUUUCGUUAAAAGAUAAAUGUCUAGGUGCUAGAUUGACUGCACACAUGUACUCAAACAUAUGUUUAUGAAAAGGGUUUCUCUCCUUUAUGAUUUUUAAUGCCACUUGCAUUAUUUGCAGUUUCUGGAACCCCUUGAGCUCUGUUACAGAUCACUUUGCUCUUGUGGUGAUCGCGUCAUAGCUGAUGGGAGCCUUCUUGACUUCAUGCGGCAAGUAUCGACCUUCGGCCUCUCUCUUGUGAAGCUGGACAUCAGGCAAGAAUCUGACCGCCACACCGACGUCUUGGAUGCCAUUACCACGCACCUAGGGAUUGGCUCAUACCGUGACUGGUCCGAAGAGAAACGCCAAGAAUGGCUAUUAUCUGAACUUCGAGGCAAGCGCCCCCUUUUCGGACCCGACCUUCCUAAAACUGAGGAGAUUGCCGAUGUUUUAGAUACGUUCCAUGUCAUUGCGGAGCUCCCUGCAGACAAUUUCGGGGCCUAUAUAAUCUCAAUGGCAACUGCAACAUCUGAUGUUCUUGCGGUCGAGCUUCUACAACGUGAGUGCAACGUGAAGCAGCCGUUGAGGGUUGUACCGCUGUUCGAGAAGCUUGCGGAUCUUGAGGCAGGACCUGCAGCCAUGGCCCGGCUUUUCUCAAUCGACUGGUACUUAAAUAGGAUUAACCGAAAGCAGGAGGUCAUGAUUGGAUAUUCUGAUUCUGGCAAGGAUGCCGGCCGGCUUUCUGCAGCGUGGCAGUUGUAUAAAGCUCAAGAGGAGCUCGUACAGGUGGCGAAGCAAUAUGGUGUGAAGUUGACGAUGUUCCAUGGGAAAGGUGGGACUGUGGGGAGAGGUGGCGGGCCGACUCAUCUUGCUAUAUUAUCUCAGCCACCGGAAACUAUAAAUGGGUCUCUUCGUGUGACAGUUCAAGGAGAGGUCAUUGAGCAGUCUUUUGGGGAAGAACGUCUUUGCUUUAAAACACUUCAGAGGUACACUGCUGCCACUCUUGAGCAUGGUAUGCGCCCUCCUACUUCCCCGAAGCCAGAAUGGAGGGCAAUCUUGGAUGAGAUCGCUGUUGUGGCCACUGAGGAAUACCGGUCAGUUGUGUUCAAAGAGCCUCGUUUCGUUGAGUACUUCCGUCUGGUAUGUUGCCAGUUCUAAUGGUCUAGAUUUUGAGUAGUUGUGUUAAUACUGGUACUAUAAACGCCUUUUUUUCGUUUUUUCUUGGAACACUUUGAACUGUUCUUUUCAUAUAUACUUAUCAUAAUUUUCAUUUAAAACUACAUAAAUAUUCACCAAUAGAAAAUUCGGAAAUCUCAGUCAGCCCAAAGUUAUACUUCUGUAAUUUGACUCUUUGAAAAUAGUAGUAUGAGUAUCCACUUGAUUUCAGAACGAUGAGCUUCGUCUUCUAUGUUUGUAGGCUACACCUGAACUAGAAUAUGGCAGGAUGAACAUUGGCAGCCGACCAUCAAAAAGGAAGCCCAGCGGAGGCAUAGAAUCCCUCCGUGCAAUCCCAUGGAUAUUUGCGUGGACACAGACAAGGUUUCACCUUCCCGUGUGGCUUGGCUUCGGUGCAGCAUUCAAACAUAUAUUGCGAAAGGACAGAAGGAAUCUUCGCAUAUUAAAGGAGAUGUACAAUGAGUGGCCAUUUUUCAGAGUCACAUUGGACCUACUUGAGAUGGUUUUCGCCAAGGGAGAUCCAGGAAUAGCUGCUUUAUAUGACAAACUGCUAGUCUCUGAUGAAUUGAAGCCGUUUGGGGAGCAACUGAGAGCCAACUAUGAGGAGACGAAACAGCUUCUUCUUAAGGUGAUCUCUGCACCUUUAUUUAUGUACAUAGGGCUUAUUGCAAUUUCAUUCCGGAAAUUUGUCCUUGAUUUCAAUUUCAUCCUAACACUAUUAAUUGCAAUAAUUUAGUCUCCAAAGUUUUUUUUUUGCGUAGUUAUUAAAAAUUGUCAGCCUAUUGUCUGAGAAGGUUCAUGUCCACACCAUAAUUACACCUUUUCUUUGUUAAUAUGGAAAAUUUUCAUGUACGAAUCAUAAAACCAAAAUUAAGUAAAAAUCUUUAGGGACAAUUUUCUUUUUUGAAUAAAGUUUUUCAGUGGUUUAAACUCUGGGACGAAAUUGAAAUUAAGGCCAAAUUUCAAGGAGUUAUUUUGAAAUUGUCUCUAUACACACAUAUUUAAGGUGAAUGCUAAAUUCCUUUCCGUAUACAGCUCUAAUCUCAUUUCUUUUAUCUUGUUCAUACAGGUUGCAGGCCACACGGAUCUUCUCGAAGGGGACCCUUACUUGAAACAGAGGAUACGCCUGCGUGAGGCCUAUAUAACAACUUUGAACGUCUGCCAAGCUUACACACUGAAGCGGAUUAGAGACCCGAACUUCAAAGUAGAUGUGCGCCCCCCCUUGUCGAAGGAGAUCUUGGAUUCGAACAAGCAGGCCGAACUGGUGAAGCUGAACCCCGCAAGUGAGUACGCCCCCGGACUGGAGGACACCCUCAUCUUGACCAUGAAGGGUAUCGCUGCAGGAUUGAGGAACACUGGUUAGAUCAUUAAAUGUUGGGGUUUUUUUUUUUGUAUAUUACCAGUGAAUGUGUAAUUUCAAUAAGAAAAUGCUGUCUCUGCGAUCGUCCCAGAGAGUGUAUUAUGCAACUUUGCGACUUUCCACUACUUUUAAUUUGUUCUCUAAAGUUGAUGUGUAAUUUUGGCUGGCAGAGUGCUUCUGCAUUGUAAUCUUCUUGAACUAUAAAAUAAUGGGAACUAAUAAUAAACACCAUUCCACAGGUUGGAAUUUGUAUAUUGGUGUCGUUUCCUUCCUAACGAACAAUUUUAUUCACAUCUUUUGUGGAAUUUGUGCUCUUCGGAUUUCAUCUGUUCUUUUCGGUGCGCGGUAAUAUGCAAUGCAAGGUUACUACCUUAACAAAAUCUUUACCUCUUUAAGCCAAUUUUAUUGAUGUUCCUUCAAAAGGUGAUGCAGGAAUGUAGCUACAUGGUAUUUUUGUCUCUCUGUGCCUUUUCUUUUGCUUUCAUUGUAGUGUACAACCUUUUAUUAUUUGUUAUUAUUUCACUACAUGCUCUGAUUCUAUAUAAAAACAUAAAAUUGAUCUAAUACGAAGAGAAAGAAGAAUAAUCUUAAUUAAAGAAAGAGAGGAAAAGUAAUAUUACGAUCCAAGGUUAAUAGAAACAGCGGGUGAGUUAGGCAGCGUGACAUCACGUAUAUCGAUCUUUAACAAUGAGCCAUUCAUAAUUCAGCUGAGCCAAUCCCUGAAAGUUUCAAAUAAAUCUUGUUUAAGACUUAAAAUAUAGACCUGUUCAAAUGGAAGAUAUUUAAUUACUCCCAACAACUAUGCAAUGAAUAUAGUAACUAAGUAAUAUUGUAAAGGGUACUUCCAACUACCCUCCGGAGAGGUUCAGCAUAUACUUAGCAAUGCUUAGAUUCAUAAGUUCUUUUCUUUUCUUUUUUUUUGCCCUUUUUUUUGACACAAUUGAUGCAUAAACAUAUAUUAUUCAAUGUAUCUCCUUGACAAGGACUAUCAAUAAGCCGAACACGAGCGAGUUAGAGUUAGUUCGUGCUUGGCUUGUUUAAUAAACGAGCUAAAUAUGAGCCGUCUCGUAAAAAUAUCAAGCUGAAAAAUUCAGCUCAUGUUUGACUUAUUUAUUAACGAGCCGAACACGACUUGACUUGCGAACAAUAAGUUGAUUGUCAACCAUACUAUUAGAUUAAAAAAAAUUUUAAAAAUAAAAAUUAGAAUCCUAAUCUAAUAAUUGAAAUUCACAAAAUAUAGAUUUUUUUAUAUUUGAGUUAGUCUAAAAUCCAAAUAGUAAAAAUUUAUAAUAUAUACAUAUAUGUGUGUGUGUUUGAGUUAUAUUGAGCCGAACACGAGCUAGCUGACUCUAAUUCGUAUUCGGCUGGUUAAGAUUUCAGGCCAAAAAAUUCAGCUCGUAUUCGACUCGUUUAUUUGAUGAGCGAUCAGUCUCGAAUUCACUUCGAACCGAACACAAAUUGGCUCACAAAGAACGCAUUGGAUUGCCAGUACUAUCAUUGACUAAUUUACCGGGCAUGUAGUAACUAAUAAGUUAAUAAAGAGCAUGAAAAAAUGUUUACAAAUGCAUUAUAAUAUACUAUGUUCGGUAUAAGUUAUCAUUAAAUAGUUUAAAUCUAAUUAUAUACAUGCUCGUGUGUAUGCAUAAGGCAUUACUUAUAUCCUACUUCGUCGUCCAAAAAGAUUGCUAAUGCAAGAGGAGGGCAUAUGGCGUAUUCCGAUUAGAUCGUAUGCAUGUUUUGUGGCACCAUUAUCAGAAUAUCAGCGGCAUGAAAUUUUGGAACAUGGUGCUACUUGUACAUACGCUUGUCUCUCACACUUUGCAUGCCAAUGUGACAGCCGAACGGCUCCCUGGGUCCAGGGUCUCGGCUAACCCACAAAGGACACAAACGUGGAGAUUCCGACGGCUGUCCAAUCACACAAUGCCAUAUCAGAUCAGCAACGCCACGUCGCUUUUCUCCACUUUCCUAACCAGCGUCUAUGUUAUUAUUUUUAUGUUGUUUGUUUUGACAUAACUAGUAUAAUUUGAAAGUUUUUUUUUUUUUUUUUAGAAAUAGGUAGCACGCUAUCUGUUUCGUUUAUCUUAUUUAGAAAUAAAUUUAGCUAGAAAUGUGAAUCAAUUAGGAUUUGAACUUAGGUCUCGGGUACCAACCACCAAGCCCUUUGCCACUUACUCUAAGGACGGUCGGUAGUACAAUCUGAAAGUUAAAUUCAAUUACUUCUUCUGUUUAUUUUGAUAUAACUUAGUGCUGAUAAAAUUAGUUUUCUGAGUUCCAAUAUUUAUUUUGAUAUAAAUAAGUGGAUCUCGUUAUCUCCUAAAUAUAGUAGUAAAUUUAUCGUGAUAAAAUUUGACUUAUUAUAUAAGUAAUUUUUUUAUUAUUAUUUAAAAGUAAUCCUAAUUUAUUAUAAAUAAAAUAAUUCUAUCCUAUUAUAAAGGAAGUAGAAUUUGAUUUUUACUAUGUAAUAAAUUUUUUAUAGGAGAUUGAGUGUGGCAGAAGCCGAGUUCGACACUUUAGAAGAGAAAAUCGAGAGUAGGUGAAGUGGAUCUCUAACGUAACUUAAGUUACAUUAUUAUUUUGACUUAUACCAAAACAAAUAACGAAAAUGAUGAAACUUGAGUUCCAUUAUUCUACUUAUACCAAAAUAAACGGACCCUUAGUUGCUUGGAAGUGAGACAAACAUGGAUUAGUUCUCCAAGAAUAUAUGCUCAUAUUUUUGGGAACAAAAGUCGUUCACCGUUAAUUUAUGGGUACAUUGCCCACGAGUCUCGCAGGAUGCUGAUUCAUUUAAGCGCAUAGUACUCCUCUACCACCUGCUUAAAUAUACAAUAUGAGAGAAUCGAAUUCGUGAUAUAUUCUGACACUAUUUGCAGAUUGUCGACACUAAUCACUAAUUUUAAAAGUUUGAGUUCUUAUAAAAGGAUAAUCAAUGUAUCUAAAGUGCCUAGUCUCCGGUAGAAUUCAACCUCUCACGUUGCCCGCAAGUCAAUAAUGACUCGCCCCGACUUGAUCUCUGCCAUGUAAACAGACUUCUGAUCUAUUUAAACCAUCAUUCUACUUUGUUUAGAGAUUCAUAUCUAUUUCCACAAUAGAGGACUUCAUUGGAUUUGGGAGAACUUUUCGUCUACACCUAUCGCAGAAUUCAUAUCUCUCAUGGACAACACUUACUCGAAAUAAAUAACAUCUUAAAAUUUAGAAACUAAUUGGAUAAAUUCGAGUUUUGGAAUGUGGUUUCGUGUAACUUGAAGAGCUAAACUCGAGUUCGGGUGAAGUGACCACGUAUAGAUGUUUGUUAUAAUGUAUAUGAAAGGAUGACUAAAUCGAACUUACUUUAAUCAAGUCCAAUGUAUCAAACUUAAAUUCGAAUCAAAACUGCGCCGAAUUUAUUUUCCAUUUUCCGUUUUCCAUUUUCUUCGAACUCCUCAGAGCAGAUCCUUCAUGAGCGAUCCUCUGUCCAGUUCUCUCUCUUUUUCUCUCUAAAUUUCUCGAUCUCUUAAUUUUAAGUGUAAAUUUUUAGAUGCUAGGAGUUUAUUGUUUUUUUUUAGAAUUUGAUUUUUAUCAAAUCAAACAAUUGAAGUAUAAGAAUUCAAUUUUCGGUGAAAUCACUUACAUCAUUACAAACAAAGCAUAAAAAUUUAGUGAAAAUUAAUUUCAUCAAAUAUAACUUACAGUUUAAUUAAUUAUAGUUAACUCCCUUUCCUCGCACUUGUCAAGGAGGAAAAGAUCACAAGUCAAGGAAAUAAUAAUAAUAAAAAUAAGCUGAUGUGGAAUCAUUUCAUUGGUUGAAGGUCGCUCUUUUUACGCAAAAGUGGGCGUAAGCUACACCGAAAAUGCCGGUCCAUGCAACUACUACAUUUUUUUUUUUUAAUUGACCGACUACUACUUAGGAACAAAACAAAGUAUCUUCUCAAUUUUAUAUUCACAAAAUAUUUAUUUAAUGAGACCCUUGUAGAUAUAUAUAUGUAUACAUAUGUGGAAAUGCAAUGUUAGCACAGAUUUAUGCAUAGACUAAAAAAAAAAAAUCAAAAAAUCAAAAGUAUUUCUAGUUUUACUCUCUCUAUCUUUCGCUAAGAAGGAGAAUCCAAUAUGACGGUUCGUCUCUUCACUUUCUUUAUAUUCCCUUUUAUUUUUGGAGAUUUUCAUGAAAACUUUUGUUUGUAAAUAGAUUGUAGAGAUGCACGUAAACAUCGACUGUCCUGGAUGCGAGAACAAAGUGAGGAAGGCGCUUGAAAAGCUUGAAGGUACAAAUAUGAUUGUAAAUUACAAUACAUGAUUCUUUGGUUUGGAAUUUGUUUCUUAAAAGAUCAAUCCUAACAUUUUCUUAUUGUACUGCAUGCGCACGUACAUAAGUUGCGCAUCAAUUAUUAUAUAUAUCCCACACGGCCAAUUUGAUUGGCUUGGUUUUUACCUCUAAUAAGUGUUGUUGAGUAAUGUUAUUCGAGAAAACAUUAAUAAUUUCCAUAAAUUACCAUAAAUUGCUUGCUUUUUAUUACUUACUCAAGCUUAUGCUUACGCUCUUGGAUACUAGCCAAAUGCUUAUCUUCAAUUACUCUAUAACCAGAAACUCUAGACUACUUUUCUCCGAAUGAAACAUCUUAUUAUGCUUCUCAAUUAGAAAAAUCAUGUUAUUUUUAAAAAAAACUUAGUUGUUGGAUUGUUGUUAAUCACAUGAGCAUGCAUAUGCGCAGGGGUGCAAAACGUAGACAUAGAUCGCAACAUUCAAAAGGUAACGGUGGUCGGGUGGGCCGACCAGAAGAAGGUGCUGGAUGCGGCGAGGAGCACGGGCCGCAGGGCGGUACUGUGGCCGUACCCUUUCAACCCGGAGUAUCACUUCUACACCCAACGGUACUACCACCACCACCUACCGACUCAGGCUUACCGUAUCGCCUUCAACACCAACUCGAGCUCCUACAACUACCACGUACACGGCUACGACGAUUCCAACCUCUACGGUUACUACCAGGAGCCGGCCUACACCCACGUCGUCAGCGACGAGGCCCGGACCAUGUUCAGCGAUGAUAAUCCUGGUUCUUGUGCAAUUAUGUGAUGAUACCGAACAAACAAAUCUAGAGAUCGAUCAGCUUCCCUACGGAUGGUUAAGAUUUAGUCUAACCAUAUUGAUCAUACAUAUAUAGCGUUAGAAUCUUAAAGCAGUAUGAAUGGUGAAUUAGACGGUUUCACUGUAGUAAAGCUCCCUACAUAAUCUCAGUUCAACGGUGACACAACCUUUGUGUCUGAAUGGUUGUGUUGCAUGCUUAGCUAGGAGAAUUUGUCUUUUUGCUCUUUGGUCAAUGUGAGAACAUAAAAGGGGUGGUGUUUUAGGGACUAUGUUUAAAUGUUCUCAGGUAUAAUUGGACAAGAAGUGUGAAUGCAGAGGAAUCAUAAUAUAUAUAUUUGGCUAGUUGCUGCUCCAAAACCAUUUAAGAUGUAAGUUUUUCCUUCUGUGCGCGUGUGGAUAUGUAAAAACAGUUGCAGCAUAUGUAUAUCCUACACUUGCAGUGUAAAUGCAAGACAACAAUUUGGUGCACUUUUAUUUAUAUGUAAUUCUUGAUAGUACAAUGCUUUAGCGUCUGUUUAUUGUACAGAAACUAGAUUUGGGGUUGAGGUCGAGUUCGGUAAAGCCUAUUUCUCUUCUGUUGUUUGUUGCGUAGUUAUGGAAGUAAAUUUUUUUUUUUUUUAAUUUUGCUGUUUAUUUUGCAGAAAGUGAAUGAUAUGAAAAUUAUAAUUUAUGUAUAACUAAUAAAUAAUUUAAUAAAUAAUAAAUUAUAAUUGUGAGACCCCAGAUAGUCCUAUAUAUAAGAUGUAAUAGGGCUAAACUCUUAACCCGGCUUAAGCAUUUUGGGUGGUGGCUAGACCCAAAAGGUUAAGAGAGUUAAGCGUGCUAGGACGGGAGUAGUCCUAGGAUGGGUGACCCCCUGGGAAGUUGGGGCGUCACAGAUGGUAUCAGAGCCAAUUACCAGCCGGAAGUGUGAGAUGAGUCUCGGCUGAGCCAGGGUCUGGAUGACGGUUCUCACAUCGCCUGGUACUUGUGAGUCUGAGCCUGACGUGGACGUCAGGGCUUAAAGGAGGGGAGAUUGUGAGACCCCAGAUAGUCCUAUAUAUAAGAUAUAAUAGGGCUAAACUCUUAACCCGGCUUAAGCAUUUUAGGUGGUGGCUAGACCCAAGAGGUUAAGAGAGUUAAGCGUGCUAGGACGGGAGUAGUCCUAGGAUGGGUGACCCCCUGGGAAGUUGGGGCGUCACAAUAAUAUUAUAAAUAAAAAUAAUAUAAUUCUAUUUCUAUAUAAUUAAAAAAAUAAUAUAAAACAACUAAAUUAUUUUUAAAAUUAUAAUAAUACAAUAAUUAAAUUGUAAAAUAAAAAUAUAUAAAUAUUUAAUUAAACUAAUCAAAUUUUAUUAUAUUUUAAACAUGCAAACUAAAUAAAAGAGUAAUUAGUGUCAUAAAUAAAUAUAUUUAAUUAUAAAUAGCUAGCAUUAUUUAUUAUACUAUUUAAUUAUUUUUUUUCAUCUUUUUUUUUUAAUCGUAAUUGACUUUUGUACAGGAUGCUGUUUUAGAUAACUCGAAUUUCUACUGUUUCUUUAUUAUGGCGAAACAAAUAACAACAUUGAUUAUUUAACGCUACUUUCAAACCAAACAACCAUCACAAAAUUUCAACAAAGUGAAAUUGUCAUAUCUAUAUAUCUAUAUAUACCAAUUAAUAGCAAUAUAUCCCAUUAAUAACCGAUUGUUCCUAAGAUAAGUGGCAAAGGGCUUGGUGGUUAAUACUCGAGAUCCAAAAUUUGAAUCCUAGUUGAUUCACAUUUCUAGCCAAAUUUAUUUUUAAAUAAAAUAAAUGAAACGGAUAGCAUACUACCUAUCGCUCAAAAAAAAAAUCCCAUUAAUAGUCUCUAUGUUGGAUAAAAAUACAAAAAUAUUUUUAAAAAAUUGUAUCUUAAUAUAAACUUAAUUAAUUGUGGUGCUAUUUGAAUAGAAACUAUGCUACUAUAUUUAUUAUUUAUCAUAUAUUUAUAUGAUUAUAUGAUUUCUUUGCGGUCAGACGCUGUAGAGGAUCUCGACCGUGCAAAUUAAGCAUGAUCGCCGUGACCCACGCAAGUCGCACCGCAGCGAAUGGGUUCGGGUCCCACCUCACUGCUCGCACCUAAAUUUUCCAUCUCGGCUUCAGAGCGCACGACUUAUCCAACCCCCAUCCCCCGCGGAUCCAACGGCUCACACACUCCCCCCGCGGGGUCCAGCUCAAAUCCCGCCGCACUGUCACAUCCUAUAAAUAGUAGUCGCCGCCUCUGCGCCCCUGUUUUGAUUUCGCCCUCUUUUUACGAUUUUACGGUUUUACCCUUUCCUCCUCCUCCUCCUCCUCCUCCUCGCCAAACCCCCCCCCACCCACUCCAACCCCAUCCCCAUCCCCAUCUCUCUCUCUCUCUCUCUCUCUCUCUCACGCGCGCGCGCACACGCACACACUUCCGCUUCGCCUCUCUUGAUCUUGCGAAGCGGGAUCUCGGAUCGGAUCUCUGAUGGCGACGCGGGAGAGCUUCGUCUACAUCGCCAAGCUCGCGGAGCAAGCCGAGCGCUAUGAGGGUGAGGGUUUCCGCGUCUCGGAUCUCCAGAUCUCGUUGCCUUAGGGUUUUGUUCUUUGUGCUUGAUCGGCUUGGUUUUUGAUGGUGCAGAGAUGGUGGACGCGAUGAAGAGCGUGGCGAAGCUCGACGUGGAGCUCACGGUGGAGGAGAGGAACCUGCUCUCGGUCGGGUACAAGAACGUGGUCGGGGCGCGGAGGGCGUCGUGGAGGAUCCUCUCCUUGACCGAGCAAACAGAGGAGGCGAAGGGGAACGAGCAGCACGUGAGGAAGAUCAAGGAGUACCGGCAGAAGGUGGAGUCGGAGCUCUCCAACAUCUGUGACGACAUCAUGACGGUGAUCGACGAGCACCUCAUCCCCUCGUCGACGGCAGUGGAGUCCUCCGUGUUCUACUACAAGAUGUGAGCUAGAUCUAAUGGCUUUGGGGUCGGAUUUCACGAAGGAUUUGGGUGUUGUAUUUUUUUUUGGGGGUGGUGUUUGAUAGUUUUCUAUUUCACUUUCUUCUGUCGUAGGAAGGGCGAUUACUAUCGCUACAUGGCGGAGUUUAAGACUGGGACUGAGAGGAAAGAGGCUGCAGAGCAAUCUCUUAAAGCAUAUGAGGUAUAAGCCAUAAUAUUUGUAGUUCCUGAUCUGCUCUUUCCUUCAUUUUAGCCAGUCUUAGAUGUUUUCAUCUCACAUUUGCAAUUUGCGGCUUGUCUGUUGUUGUUGUUGUUGCUGUUGCGGAUGCAUUACCUUGUGGCGAUGCAACGGAGAUCUUUAGUUUUACUUGCUCAAGUUCUAUUUCUCUGUGUUAUUUGAUUGAUUUUCUUUUGAUAUAUGCUCAGUUUGUAUUAGUGUAAUCUCUUCAAUGUGUUGAUAAUUUUAGUGCUUGUAGACCACUUGAUCUUUCUGAAUCAACUUAAUCACCUUGACAACUUAUUCUGCAGGGAAAGUGCAGUUCAAUCUUUAGCAACUGCCAUACUCUUUUCUUGCUAUUCAAGCGGAUCAAAGAAGUGAUUGUAAAGUAGUGCAUAAUAUACAAUACAUAAUACGUUGGUUAUUAUUUUUGUCUCCCUGUUGGUCUUCUGUAUUGUAUGACGAAAUAGUAACAUAUUUGAGAAGAAAAACAAACUCAGUUUCAAUCUGUGAUGGUCAAUCAAUAGAUAGAUGACAUGCAAAUGCCGAAAAAAUGUUUCAUAGGUGCUAUGGUAGAUGCAACCAGACUUUCAACUUAAAUCAUUAGUAUGCUGAGUUGAAAUAUUUCUUUUCUAUAUGUUUAACCGUCUGAUUUGUUACUUGCAUUCCAGCAUGUAGCUUAUCUAUGGAAAAAACAAUGUUGCUGUUGAAUGGAAAUCACAUUCUAUUUCAGUUAGAGGGCUAUGAAUUGAAUGAUCACCUACAGCUAUUGAAAUACUGAAUUUUCACAGUCUGCUUGCAGGCAAUGUUGCUAUUGAAUGCUCUUGAAAAGUGUUUUGAUUAAGUUCUCUGUUUUUAACUGCCCACAGACUGCUUCCAGCAUGGCAGAGGCAGAUCUCUCUCCCACACACCCAAUCAGAUUGGGUUUGGCUUUGAAUUUCUCUGUCUUCUACUAUGAGAUUAUGAACUCACCUGAAAGGUACAUGGAAUCAACCUCAACUCCAGUCAUAUGUUGUCUACCAGCGUAUUACUGGAGAACGUUGCUAACUUUGUUUAAAUCUCAGGGCUUGCCACCUAGCAAAGCAAGCUUUUGAUGAAGCCAUAUCCGAGCUUGAUACACUGAGUGAAGAAUCUUACAAAGAUAGCACAUUGAUCAUGCAACUUUUGAGGGAUAACCUCACCUUGUGGACCUCUGACAUCCCUGAGGAUGGAGGUAAUAGCAUUUUUCAACAUUGAUUAAUGGUUCAUGCUAGUAUCAAUACAUUGGUUGGUGGUUGUUGCCAGUUGUCGCCGGUUAUAGCGUUUGGACAUACACUGUGACACCUCUAGUAUUUGGAAUACUCUUAUAUAUGAAGUAUGAUAGGACUAAACAUCUUACUCUGGCUAUAGUAUUUUGUGCUAUGGCUAGACCCAAGAGGUUAAGAGGGUUGAGCAUACUAGGGUUAGAGUAGUUAUAGGAUGGGCGACCUCCCUGAAAAGUGGGGCACCACAUACCCAUAGCUCACAUCCAUGUUCAUGAUUAGGCCUUCUAAUUAUCUAUGUGCAGUGUGCACAUAUAAAAGCUAAAGCUAAAUUUACCUUUUUGCACUUUUUUUUUCCUUCAAUGAGAAAUUGUUGUUGCAACAUUUGAUAGUUUAUUCAACCUAUAAUAGGGAGCUCUCAACUUUAUUCAGCAACUAUCCUGAAUAUCCGUAUUAUUGUUUUCAAUUUGGAUUAUCGUUGUAGGACUCUUGUAAAUCAUGAUAUACACAACAAUUCCCUGUCUCUUAUAGUCUACGAUAAGUAUCUAUAAGUUCCAGAGUUCUAUCUAUAUUUGUAGUUUUGUUGUAGAAUAUCUGACAGUUAUAUAGUGGCACAUAAUUGUGAAUUACUUGGAGUACAAUAUUUAAUAGUGUCUGAUACGGUACUUGAUAUGAACACACUUAAGACUUUUUGGUUGGGAGUUUUUGGGGUUGGAAUCGGAAUUGGAAUGAUCGGCACCUAGUGGAACUGUUUGGUUGGAGGGAAUCCCACUUUGAUUGCCAUUCCAAAGUGGAGAGGGACUUGACUAAAUGCACUAUUUUGAACCGGCCUAGAAGGCACUGGUGCAAUCUUGUUCUGAGGUUGAACUGAAAUCAUUCAUUCCAAUUCCUACUUAAGCUGCAAACUAAGGAGGCUUACAAAAUUGGUCAUUUGGGUUGUUUGUGACCCAUUUCAGUUUUGUAUCUUGCACCGAAUUCCAAUCGUGAACAGACUCAUCGUUGAUCUUUUAAUUAAGUUAUAUUUGCUCCAAUGUCAAUUUUUAGUUGCUAGUGAAAAAGAUUGUGGAGUCCGUGCUGUCAUUACUAGCUUGUGAAAGCAUUAAAAGAGUAACCUCAAUUUGUUCCCUAUUGCAUACUUUCAUCGAUGCAGGUGUUUAUUGUGGAUCUUCAAACUUAAAAAAUCAAUUUCAGUUAAUUUCAUAACGAAAGUGAUUUCAAUUAAAGCUGCUUAACUGUUUGUAUUUGAUGUGUAAUAUUCUUUUACCUGAUUGGUACUCUCUCUGGACCCUUAUAGAAGAGGCUCGGGAGAGCACGGGAAAGACUGGUGGAGCUGAAGAUGCUGAGGUGAUUUUCUUUUGAGCUUGCGCAUUUAUUUUUGUUACAGCAAAGAUUAAAUUCCCUCUCUCACAUUUACUUUUUCUUUCGAUAGUAAAUUUGCAGUGAUAUAAAGCAGCUAUGGGGUCUACAGUUAGAAGGAUAAGAUGCUGCAAAUGUUCAUCUUUGCCUUAUCUUGCGGGUUGCUUUGAUUAUUUAGCUUUAUUCACAUGCCUGUUGUAGUGUUCAGUUUAAUGUUGGAGUUGGAUCUCUCAUGGGUUGCAUUUGCAAUCGAUCCUUUUCAUGUGUCUUCGGUCAGAGAGAAAAUGUUGUUAUCAGAGUUAGGGAUUUAUCAUGCGUCCGGGAUGUUGUCUUGAACAAGUGAACUGCUCCAAUGUUAUUUUUCUUUUCAGUUUUUUGGCUUGCAUAGUAUAUUUUUAUUGUGCGAAAGAAGUCAUUGGAGAUUUUGUUAGAUGAAUAUGUAUGUUAUAUGCAAGUUUUACUCUUCCGGCCUUCGCUAAUUACCAUUAUUUGCUGUUGGUUUGUAAUGAGAAAACCUAAAGGUUUGUGAUCCGUUGUCCUUUACCGUGUAAGCAACUUUUGAAGAGUUACGCCCAUGUCUAGGUGAUCUCUGCGACGAGCGCUAUGGUCGACAAGAGGACUAAUCUCACUAAAUUUGGUUAGGCUGAAUGGCAAUUAUACCAUCCAAUGACCCCCACAGUGGAAAUGAUCUCUUACUUAAUUUUUUUUUAAUUUAAUAUUCUUAUCUUUUCUUUUUUCUUUUCCUCUCUUAUUGAAAAAUGUGCAUGCUGCUUUUCUCACUCCCUUAGUUUAAUUUUUAAUUUAAUGCUCUCUUUUUUUCUUUCUUCAAGCAAAAGAUAUGAAUAUUUAAAAUAAUUUUAAACUUAAAUUUCAUAAUUAUAUAUUUUUAAAAAUUUUUAAUUUUUAUUUUUUUACAUUACGAGUAAAAUAUACUAUAUUUGAAAAUUUAAAAGUGCUAUCUUUCUGACUUUAAUUUUAAUUUAAUAUUCUCUUCUCUCUCUCCAAAUAAGUGAUAUAUAUAAAAUUUAACAUUUUAUUCUACUCUGUCAAGUAACUUUAUAUAACGUAUAAUAUAAUAAUUAUGAACUUAAAAAUCACACUCGCUGCAAAGUGUGGAUACAUUGCUAAUAAUAUACUAACUUCCACAAUCUUUCAAUUAACAUAUCUUUCUCAGCGCCGUGUGCUAAAAGACGAAUCAAAUAUUUGGUAUUCACCAUAUAUUAGCAAACAAAAAGAAAAAGGAGAAACAGGCACAACAUUCCAAUGCCCCUAUCCUUAAACCACUCGUUUCCUCUGCUAGGGUGAACAAUAUAGAAAGUACAAUAGAGAUUUAAAAUUUUAAUUUUUGAAAUUAAAAUUUUGGGAAUAAAUAUUAAAAAUUUUAAAAUUAUAUAAUUUUAAAUUUAGAAUUUGAAAUUUGAAAUUUAAAAUUUUAAUAUCCAAAAUUUAAAAUUUUAUAAUAUAAAAUUUUAAAAUCCUAUAUAUAUAUAUAGAGAGAGAGAGAGAGAGAGAGAGAGAGAGAGGCUGGUAUGCUUCUGAAAGCACAGAGCCUUCCGUGCUUCGAAGUUGUUUUCGAUGUAAGGACUUUUAAAUUGACGAUCGACUCCAUUAGACAUAUCUGGAGUAUUUGAAGUACUUAGAAAAUAAAUUUCAUGAUUUUUCGAUAUUAUUUGCCUAGUGAUCGAAAUGGCUCAAAAUCGAAAGCUGAAAAUAAAAAUCUUAUAAAAUGUGAUGAUAUGAUAUUAAAAUUUUAGAUCAAAAAUAUUGACCUUGUUAUAUAUAGUAUAAAAAAAUUUUCAUCAAAAUUUCACGUGAUUUGAAUAUUUUUCCACCGUUAAACUUGUAAACGGCUCAUCAUGGCCAUUAAAAUUAUUAAUUUGAGCCCCUUCGAUCACUAGGCAAAUGAUAUCGAAAAAUCAUGAAAUUUAUUUUUUAGGUAAUUCAAAUACUCUAGAUCUGGUCUAACGGAGCCGAUCGUUAAUUUGAAAGUCCCAACAUCCACUUGAAAACACAGAGGACUUCGUACUGUCAGACGCAUACCAGCCUCUCUCUCUCUCUCUCUCUCUCUCUCUCUCUCUCUCUCUCUAUAUAUAUAUAUAUAUAUAUAAAGAAAGAGAGAGGAGGAGAGGGUGGUUUAUGGUGCACCAGGUGCACUGAAGACAACCACAGAGCAUGUAGCAGCAUAGUAAUAUUAGUCCACGGACAAAACCACCAACUUUAAUAUACAGUAAUAGUAAUAGAUGUGCUUGGUACGUACAAUGUGUUCCAGGCAAAAAGAAUGGGAGGGAGUAGUGCCGUACUGGUGCUUAUUAACGCGUUUGUAGGACGAUUGUCCUCUUUUUGGUCAGAACGUACGUAGGUGGUCAGUUUCACCGUGAAUCCCAUUUAACUUUUGUAUUAUAUAGAAAUUGCUCUGCAUAUAGUAAUCGCACUCAUCACGGUGGAGAAGGGCUUUUGCUCAUGCUGUACCAUUUUAUCAUGGGGGAAGCAGUGGUCUAUAUAUACGUUUUCAAAGUCCGAUUACAUGGAGUCUGAAACUUCGCUAGCUAAAGUUUGUACUUAGCGAUAACUUAAAUUCUACAAAGACACAGCGAAAUUAGCUUCAUUUCGAUGAAUUUAUGAACUCCAAAAUUACCAUCAUGAGCAAUCAAAUAUAGAUUAAUAUCUUCUAAGAUAUAUCUCGUACAUAUAUGUUGAUAGAUUGGCACAAAAAAUAGAUCAAAUAUCAAAUGCCAAACUGAGAACAAAACAUACAUCAAUCGCAAGAAAUCUUCGCCUCUCCCGCCUAUCUGCGAGUCACGGUUGGCUCCAAAUUCACCUCACUUUGCCUUGUCUCACCCUGCGGCGCCAUCGCGAACGACGAGAGCUCUGUAAUUUUCUCACCAGGAGGUAAGAAGUAAGCACUCGCGGCGGGCUCUCUUGCUUUUAUGGGUAUCCCUUGCAUGGGGACUCUCUCUACUAUCUGCUUCCUCAGUAUGUCAUGAAGCCUCCCGAACAGCUUCUGCUUCACCGUCUCGAAUGCUCGGUCGAGAUUUUCAAUCUGCAGUAGUGAUUCAGUGUAGUUAGAUCUUCUGUACGAUGACUUUGAAUUUGUUUACGUAAAAGAUAUCUAAAUACGCUAUCAAUUCAGGAAAAGCAUGCAUCUAUUAAUAGAUUAGGAGCCCAAAGAUUCGCUAAUAACAGACACUCUGAAUUCAGAGGAUAUGUUAUUUCUUUGUCAACAUGGAAAUUAAGCACGAAUUAAUGAAUCAAGACAAGUGAGACAUGUUACCCACAACUGCUAUUAGUUUACAGAACUAAAUUGUACUGGAGAUUUCACAUUUGCUCUGGCAUGUGAAGAGAUUUUAUUUUUUUGUUCUUUUUUAAAGUUGGCAUUUAGGUUGAAUAUAUUGUAGCAUACUGUAUUUCCACAAUAAUUAUUAAGUAAUAUAUUUCGUAAACCUUAAUCAUGGCUACAUCCUCUAUAUUCGAGAAUAUGAUGAUCUGUGUUAUACAAACAGUACAUAUCAGCAUGUCAACAUAUCAAUAGUAUUGUAAGUGAAUUCUUAGAAAUAAGCAAUUGUGAACUUUCAGAUGUUCACUCGCCUGUUCGGUGGCAUUCACAUUGUACAUGAAGAGGCCAUAGUAGAGAUCAAAACUAUCACUUACUGUAUUCUCAGUCUGCAAAAAGGAAAAUAAAUGAAAAGGAGAAAAUGAAUGCAUUCAGUUAGCACUAAUAGAAAAUCAAAGCGAGCUUCAUAUAUUAUGUUAAAUUGUCGAAAACAAAUUAAUCACCAAUUGAAGGAGCGUCUCAUAUCCUUUGGUGUUAAUUGGAGUCGACUCCAAGUUCAAAUGCGAGAGAAUCCUGCGGAAAUGAAUAAACACCAAAUAACACUUUAGACCAUUAGAACAUGCUUAUCUAGUUUUUUAAAAAAAUUUAAUUUUUUUUAUACAAUUAUUUCAAUUUAUUUGAUUUUGGUUCUGAAAAUUUAUUAUCGUUAUCUUUGCGCUACACUUCCAUCUAUUCUUGAUACAUUUUUUUUCUGAAUUCAACUUAACUAAUCAAUUUUUGCGUAAAUGAAAUGAAGAGCCUACAACAAUAUAUAUUAUGCACAAAAAAAAUUUGUUGCAUUGUUCUCGUGCAAUAAUUAAUUUUUUUAUUACCCCUUACAGUACUCAAAUCAAACAAAUUAUAAUUUUCACACAAAAUUACAAAUUAUAUUAUAAAAUUAAUAUUUUUAAAUAUUAAAUACUAUUUCAAAACAUAUUCUAAUAAAAGUGCAAGCUAGUUCCUUCCAAUCGUGUGAGUGAUAAAUUGACUGCCCGCGGCGUGCCGGUCAUGUUCCUCACAGCUCAUCUCCACCAUCCUACAGCCCUGAUGAGAGANUAUUUGUACCUUCCAAUCGUGUGAGUGAUAAAUUGACUGCCCGCGGCGUGCCGGUCAUGUUCCUCACAGCUCAUCUCCACCAUCCUACAGCCCUGAUGAGAGAAUCAAAAAAUAUUUAAAAUAAAAAGAAAAAAAAUCAAGACGUGUGAUUUUGCUAUCACGUUUACAAUUUUUUUUUCAAAAAAAAAGAAUGUUCCCUUUUAAAAUUUCUAAUUUUGAUUUAGUUGUUACAUCAUGGUUCUGAGAAGAAAUAUAUAUAUAUAUAUAUAUAUAUAUUUUUAUUUAUUUAUAUAUAUGUGUGUGUGUGAAUAUACACCAACCUCUUGUUCAAAAAUGUUUAAGAAUUGUGCACAUUUCUCAGCUUGGGGUCCAUUUUGGGAGACUCGAACUUUGUCGUAAACAAAGGGCAAACCUUUCCACCCAUGCUUCCCACUCUCCGGCCCAAACAUUGGGUGAGUGCAAACCACCCCAAACCCAGCUGGUAGAACCUAAACAUUCAUUUACAUGCAAAACACCCAAGAAAAAAAAAAAGAAAUUAAAACAAUCGUUAUUCUUAAAGUACGUAAUAAAAUACUAUUAUCAGAUAGUUUAAAGUUUCGUAGAAAAUAAUCGUUUAUGGAAGUUAUUGUCGAACUCUACAAGCUUUGAUUUGCAGGCUGAUACAAUUCUAAGGCAGCGUUUGGAUGGGGGAUAAGGGGAGGGAUAAUCCCUUAUCCCCUUUAUAUCCAAACGCAAAUUUUAAUCCGAAAAUAGUAGUUCUCGGUUAUCUGAAAUAAGCUGGUAUAACUAUUCUCAUCAACACUUUUAUUUUCUAUAUAUAACUAUCCGCUAUUUUUUUUUAUUCAAUAUUAUUUAUCCAAACGCUAUUUUUCUUAUCCUCGGGAACAACCCAAUUUUCAUUCGAACGCUAUUUUUCUUAUCCCCAUAGCUUGUAUCUAUUUCUGUAAUAGCUAGUUCUUACUUAUACCUGAACCAAACGCUACCUUAAAGGUUUCAAGUUGGUAACCGGAGAGCAUGUUACAUGUUUGCAUGAGCUUACCUCAAGAAACAGGUUCCUGGGAAACUGCUUCACCGACAACACGUCGGCGAAGAUUGUGUCAGGCUUCAGCUUGUGGAGCGGGACGGCGCGGAGGACGCUCUCCGUCGACAAAAUGGAGCUGCAAACGAAGACGAUAUCCGGUUGCUCCUCGCACAUUGCAUCCAUGCUCCUAUGUAUACGUAUACAGUUCGUCAAAGCAACGUUCGUUUGUUGUUAGUCUCCUCAAAAGAUAUACUACAUGCUUAUUAAUUCGGCCAUGUACACGUAUGUUUGAUCUGAAUUCUGAAAUAGCCUUUUUUUUGUUUUAAAUAAAAACGUUACAUAUAUAUUGUAGCACCAAAAGAAGCGGAUUUUAGAGUGUAGGUAUUGAGUGUCUAACUGGAAAAACUGGAUCCCGUGGCGUUCGCAAUACUCGGAAUAGUCCGACCGAGACGUCGCCAACACAAUGUGGCCCUGCCUCUCGAUCCCGUUGGCGAUGAACUGCCCAAAGUUGCCGAAUCCGAUGAUCGCGAUCUUCAACACUGGAGUUUGUUCUUCGUGCCCGGUCUGGGCCGUGUCGUUGCCCAUGACAUUGCAGUGAUUUGCUUUCGCGACGAUACAAUUACUCACGGGCGCGGGCGAAUGCGGGGCCAGUUUAAGCGGUCCGGCGGUGGCGGUGGCGGAAGGGAAUGGGGUUUUCGCGGAGGCGGCGGUGGCGCAUUUUGUGGGGAGAGUUUUACUUGGUGUGGCAGCUAUUCUAGGGAUGGUGUUGUUGAAGUGAACAACAUUGCGGAAAGAAGAAAAGGAGGCCAUUGUUACAGUUCUUUGGCUUUGCUCUUUGCUUGCACCAGUACUUGGAACUUGCUAAGAGCUAUAGCUUUUGCUGUGCACACAAUGGACUCAGCUUUGUGGUAUCCAAUCGGUGGCAUGAUUUAUAUACAUAUAGAGCCACGUGAUUCUUACCUAAUGAGCUUCGUAUUUACCAACAACAACAAUAAUAAUAAUAAUGACAAUAAAUGUAACAGCGAGGGGGGACGUGUCCAAUUUUGGGGAGGGUCGUGUUUCACUCUCGAUUAGUUUAGAACUCUGCGAUACAACGAAUAAAUAAUAUAAAAAAAAAUAAAAAUAAAAAUAAUAUAUAUUUUUAUAAAUUCUUAAGUUAAGACAUAAGAAUAAUAAAAAUUUCAUAUUUUAUUGUUUAUAAAUUAUUCAAAUGUAUAGAUAAUUUUUAUAUUUAAGCUUGACAGUUCAAAAAUAAAUAAAUACAUUACAUACUCACUAAAUAGAUUUUGUGAUCACACUAUAUUAUACAAAUACAUAUAAGUGAGGCAUAAAAAAUUAAUACAAAUAAAAUAAAAGGCAGUUCACAUCAAGAUUGAUAAUAGAUUAAUACAAAUAUCAAUAGCAUUUUCUUAAUGUGAAUACAUUAAUUAAAAAGUGGGUGGGUAGGAAGAUAAAGUAUCAGGCAGAGAUAGGGGUGGAAAAGCGAAAUAUCAAAGAGUGGAGUGAAGAAGAAAUUGCCACGUGCCAAACUCCAUGAGAAAUAAUGUAUAGGUAUAGAUGUACCAACAACGGAGGUUUAGGUUAGUUUCUUCUUUCUAUCUUUUUUUUUUUUUUUGAGAAUAAGGUAGUAUAUAUAUGCUCUCGUUCCAUUCAUUAGGAGGAUGAACUAGGCUACAAAUUGAGAUAGUUGGGCCUCGAUAGUAAAAAAAAAAAAAAAAAAAAAAAAAAAAAAAAAAAAAAACCUAGCAAAGUAAAUUCGGUUGGCUUAAAUAAGCUAGCAUCCUGCCUUGUGGUGGGAGGCCAUGUUGAGCAGAGUAAUAUUCGAAAUGGCGUGAGGCUGAGUGAGUCGAGUUAUAUUCGAAGUGGCGUGAGGUUGGUUGGGCCGAGUCACAAUCGAGACAUGAAGGAGCUGUAUCUGUACGCUUUAAGUGAAUUGAUUGCUUAUUUUUAACAGUUCAAAUUUUUGAGAUUGCUGCUUAGCGCCAACAAUCUGACAAAUCCCAAGUGUGCCUAAGCGAGAAUAUCUCCGUGCCUAAGACACAUGCUGGUGUUUAGGUUAGUUUCAAAAGGGAAAGAAGGACUUUUGGGGUUUCUUGAGAAAAUAGUUGCACAGUCCUAAUUGCUAGUAAUAUUUAAAAGGAUAAAUAUAUAAUAAAAAUAUUAUCAUUUUAUUAACUAACUGCUAAAAACACAUAGAAAAUUAAUGGUAAUGAAUUAGAGAGACAAAUAUAUAUGAUCACAUAAAGUAUGCAGCAAUACAUUUAUAUUUUGAUACAAGACCAUGUAUAAAAUUAACCCUAAUUUAAAACCGGUUAUUAAUCUAGUUUUUUUCCAAACUAUGUGCCUGAACACAACCCGAAUUUUAAUUCCGACAAAAAAAACGAAAAUGCUUGUCCAGAGCAGAUUUUUUGGACAAAGUUUUUUGUUUGAAUUCAUUUAUUUAACAAACUAGGCCGAAUUGGAAAAUUGAGUCACGCUAUAUAUUUUGCCACUCCUUCGUAGGGUGCAUAUAAUUCUAAAUUUCUACAUUAUUCGAAAAUAAUUUGAUCGUGGGACAUUCCCAUGCUGGGAAGCUCCAUCGACAUGUAUAUUAUUUAUUUAUUUAUGGCCUCCAUAGUGUGCUCAUGUGCUCCAUGCAUGUGCCUUUUCUCUUAUAAAAAUUGGUCACGUACGUUGGUCUUGUUUUAAACUUAAAUAACAAGCUCUAUUGUUGCAUCAUAACAGCUUAAUUUUUUAGUUUCAUUAUUGAGAAAAAUACUAUUCUAAUUACUGAUUUGAUUAGGAUAAUUAUAUACUUCAUAGUUAGUUACAGUAAAACCUUUGUUACGUUCAAUCUUAUUUUAUUAAUUAUAAAUAAGUGAUCGAUAUAAGGUGAUUGAGUAUUAGGCAUAGUCAUGUUGAUAAAUUAAUUCACACCUUAACAACAAUUGAUCAAUACUUAACCAUUAAUUAAAUUAAAUAACUUUUUCUUUUCUUAAUGAAAUAUUUAAUUUAGAAUUAGAGGAUGUACAGUGAAAAUUAAUUUAUAAAACUGAAUAACCAACGUAUAUUCACGAGUCGAAAUCCAUGUACAUGGCAACAAAAUACAUUAGUGAACUUUUUUAAACUGCAAUUAAGUUUGAUCAGAGCUUACUUUUAUUUAACAGGGAUUAGGACCUUUAUAUAAUACAUGCAAAAUAACUAUUUACUAAAUAUUAAACAAGGUGGAAAAGGAAGAAAAUAAUGAGCUAAUAUUGCAACGUGCCUCAGCACAAACUACGAAAAGUUGACAUAAAUUUGUCGUUCAUAACCCAUAUGGACUUUUAUUUACUUCUUUUAUUUAUUAACUUGUCCAUCUCUGUCGCGUUUGAUUUGAUAUAAUAAUAAAUCAAAAAAUAUUCUUAAUUUUAAAAAUAAUUAUUAUUUAUUAUCUGUAAAACAAUUUCAUAUAAACUUUUUUUUUUUUACAAAUUUAAUAAAAAAAAGAGUUGUAUUUUAGUUUUUUUUGCUUUUGUGCAUCGAAUAAUGAGAACUUGAUGAAAUAAAAAAAGCGGCGCACGAAGCGGCACACGCAGUCCGCAAGAUGACCCGCGGAUCUCGUGAACCGCGUGAGGUUGGCCACUCGAUUUUGUUGUGAACAUUGAGCGGCUUCUAAUACAAAUAUUAUAAAGUAAUUUUAUUUUUAUUAUAAAUAUAUAUGUACAGUAUAUUUUAUUAUAUAGGAUAAUUUUAUAUUAAGCUAUUGUAUAAUAUUAAAAUAAAUAAAUGUGUGUGCAUAUAUAUAUAUAUAUAUAACAAUAUUAUAAGUAGUGUGAUAAAUAUUUAAUUUAUGUAAAUAACAUUUAAUAUUUAAUAUAAAAUUUAAUAAAUAAUAGAUAAUUCAAGAGGAAUAAUAUAAGAUAAUUGUUUCUUUUCUUUUUCAUUUCCAUUUUUUUUUUUGAGAGAGAUAGGUAGGAAGCACGUUACCCGCUUCGUUUAUUUCAUUUAGAAAUAAAUUUAGCUAGAAAUUUGAAUCAACUAGGAUUCGAACUUGGGUCCUCGAGUACCAACCACCAAGUCUUUUGCCACUUGUUCUAGAGACGGUCGGUUUUUCAUUUCCAUUUUCUCCCGUACAAUUAAACAAGCAUUAUGAAAAAAUUGUUAUUUUUUCUUACAAAUGAAGCACCGGAUAUCAUAAAAUUAUUUUUUUUACUAAAAAUUAUUUUUUAUAAUUUUUCGUGGCACCAAGCAGUUUCUAACCCUUACUCGAAUUUGCUUAAACAUAAAGAUUGGUCUACUAAAUUAUUAGUCAUAAGCCAUUGAAAUGAGGAUUUUAAUAAUAUUAAAGUGUGAUUAUACGAUUUUAAAUAUGGGACAGGGCAUCAUUCCUUUCUAAAAUAAUUUUGUAGCAGGUUAGUAGUAAUACAAUUAAUUAAAUGGAAAGUUGAGUCAUGAUUGGGUCCCCAGAUUCAAUCACAUGGGGGGUUUCAGGGAUAUGCAUAGCGUCUUGAUUGUAAAGUCAAUCACUGUUAAUAUAUUGAUUCUGCAUUUGGUGCAAAGAUACAAAAAUGUGCAAUGGAAAAUGCAAUUAUUUUUCUUUCCUUUUUUUUUAAACCGAAACUUAAGUAUUUAUAAACUCAGGAAAACUUUGUUGCACUGAUGGAUCAUAUCAAUGAAUAUAAUGAUUUAAACAUACAUUUUAGCUAUCAAAGUAGACAAGGAUAUUAGCAGCUGAGGAGCUUCGGCUAUUCGCUAACGAAUGGUUAAAUUUGCAUUCCAGUUCUAAUCUUUCUAAAAUUUUUAAAUUUUGCACAUAGGCUUUAUUCCGAACAAUUUUAAAAAUUAUUAUAUGUACUAAUGCAUUUGCAUAUAUGCAUUACAAGAAAAGCUCAAUAUAAGGACGCUCUUUAGACAACGCUUGAGAGAAACGUUCCCCGGCGCCCCUACAAUAUAAUAAAUACCGGUGCUUCAAAAAACGUUAUCAUAUAAACCCUCCAUCUUAUCAAAGCAAUUUAUAAAAUAAUAAACUUUACUAUUAGUUUUUUUCAAUGCUUUAAGGCGUCAAGAUUUCAAAAAAUUUUGAUAUUUUAAAGCAUUGUAAUUGGCGUAAGUGUCGAUAUAUGAAUGACAACUCUUAAUUUAUCGACGCUUUAAUGGAUGCUUUUAAAUAUGACACUAGACUAUAUUGAGGUGUUUCUAAGCAUCUUAAAAAAAAAUUCUUAAAUGUUAUUUUUCUUUUAGUGAUGUAUGAACCAUGAUAUCUUCGGUGUUUCAUCUUGUCUUGUACUUUCAAUCAAAUCAUUUAAUAUUUAGAAAGAAACAAAUUGUCAUGAAAUAAGUGAUGGAGAAAAAUCAUUUGACUAGAAUUUGCAUUUUGUUGUGAAAUUUGUAUAUGGUUUGAAUUUAAGUGAUCAGAUAACUCUUAAUUUGUGAAAUUUGUAUAUGGUUUUUAAGUUUUAAAAUUUGAUCUCUAAAAAUUUUGAUCUUUUUGCAGAGUAUUUAACGUAUCAGGAUCACGUGUUAGCAUCCAUUUUAAUUAAGUACGUCAAUUGUCUCCAAUAAUGCAAUUUUAUUAUCAAACAUGAUUCAGUGCUGCACAGCAACGAGUUCCACGCGCGUUUUCGAUUUUCCCCUUCACUAGAUCAACCUGCCUUUUCAGCAAAAAUAAUUAAAAAAAAAUAAAUUUAGUGGAAAAUAUAAAUUAACUAAAUUUUGAGUUUGAAAUCUCGGAUACUAAUUAACUAUCAAACUUUUCGUCAUUUGUGCUAGGAAUAGUCAGUGUCACGUUCAGUUAUUGUUUGUGCAAAAUGCAGGCAUAGUCUUUGUAAUAUUUUGAUAUAUGUAUAUGUAAGGACUUUCAGUCCUUUUAAAAAAUAUAUAUAUAUAUAUAGUCCCUGUAAUAUUUAUAUAUAGCAGUUUAGCCCUUUUGUCCAAAAAAAAUGAAAAGAAAAAUAAUCUCAAUACCAGCAAUUUGGAGGUUUUUGAAUCCUAUAUUUUUGAACAUGAAUAUAUUAAUUAGUUCCUGAAAUUUUAUACAUGCAAAUAGGGCUAAUUUAUUCCACUUUUAUUGCUAGUUAUCAAAAUGUUCUAGUUUUUAUAUGCCACUCUAUCUUUUGAUUUCGAAAUGAUUUGUUUAUUUUACAUUAUUCCACACAAAUUUAAAAUACUAUUUUGGGCAAUGAUUGAAUUAAUUUAAGACUAAAGACAAACUUUUAUGCAAUAUAUUUAAUAGAAAUGUGACCCUUGAGGAACCAAAUAAUUAAAUUAAUUUUAUAAACCAAAUUGUUAAAAUGAGAAUAAGGUGACCAAACAUACCUACUUUUGAUGCUUCGAAGAAUUUGAAAAGUUUAAAAGCACUUUGAAACUUAUUUUCCGUAGUAAUAUUAAAUAAUAAUAGACCUCCAUGCUUUUUUAUUAAGAGAAAGUUUAUUCACAAAAACGGUCGGUCAUGCACCCAAGAUUAAUUGUAAUAUAGCUUUACUAAUAUGCAACUAAACUCUAGUGUUUCCGAUCCACAAAAAAUAGAUUCGUCAAUUCUGAUAAAAUUAGUUAUCCAAUUAGAUGUCAUAGGCUAACGUUACGAUCGACACGAGCGAUGCUAUUUGUAUAUUUCUAGACUUGAUGUAAGAUUUACAUCUCAUUCAUUCAAAAACUCAUAUAAUCUCUUUGAUUUUAUAAAUUUAAUUAUUUUUAACUAAAAUAUAAAUAAAGUUUUAUAAAACUCUGAAAUAUUAUUAUUGUAAAAUAUAUACUUGUGUAUAGACCUGGCAAACGAACAGAUUGGGUAACCCGCGGGCGGGUUAUUGUAUCCACGGGUUACUUGGGCAUGGAUAAAAUUUAUCCACAAAUUUUUGGGUAGCCAACAUCAUUACCCAUACCCACCCGCGGGUGGACGGGUGGGUAUGCGGGUUACCUGUAAUUUUUUUUCUUUUUUUCUCUUAUAUUUUUUAAAUGCAAUAUAUAUAUAUAUAUAAGUUUUAAAAUAUAGCAUAACUUAUUAUUUAAAAUAUCAUAACAUACAAUAAAAAUAUUUAAAGUCUCAUAGCUUAAAAAUUUCGUAAUAUAAAAGACGUGAUAAAAAAUUAGAGUUAGAAUUUGUAGGAUGAGUAAAUAAAAAUAUAUAUAUUUUAAUUAAAAAAUAUAUUUUGUAAUUAAAAAAUAUAUGUACGGGUACCCGUGGGUACCCGCGGGUUAUCCAAAAUGCCCACAGCUUAAUGGGUAUCCACCCGUUUUACCCGUAACUUUUUGGGUUGAAAAAGUUGGUAUCCAUACCCGUAAAUUUACGGAUAAUUCGCGGGCACCAGCGGAUAUAGGUCGAGAUUGCCAGGUUUAUUUGUGUAUGAGUGUGCUGAUAGGAUUUUUUUUUAUUUAUAAAUUUUUCAUGCAUCAAUUUUAAGAAUUAAAAGGGACAAUAAUUUGAUGGGCUACAGCAUUUUGAAAAUGUGCAAUUAUUUUUGCCAUGUGCGCAUUGGCGACUGACAACUGUGACAAUAAUUAUAUGUCAGGUGUGAACGGUUCUCUCAACAUAACAUUUGUCAAAAUCGUACGUGAGGAAUCGACGACACGAAGCAUUAUUCAACAAUACAACAACAACAACAACAAUAAUAAAGUUCAACUGUUAUAUACUCUGGGCCAAUUUGCAUAAAAAAUUUAUUUAUUUUAGACUUUUGCAAAAUCGGACCAUCAUUUUUAUUUUUGCAGAUUCGGUCCGCUUUUUCAGCAAACUGACUAAAAUGCCCUUAUACCUUUUUCUCUUUCCUCUUUCUCUCUCCUCUUCGUUCUCUCGUUCUUUUUUUUUUUUUUCGCCGAAAAAAAAAAAGCGAAGGCCGGAGCACUGUCAGACGGGCUCUCUUCUUCUUCUUUUUCCUGCAGAAGCAAUUUUUUUUUUUUUCUUUUUCUUCUUCUUCUUCCUCCUGCUGGAGCUUUUUUUUUUUUUUUUCCCUCUUCUUCUUCUUCUUCUUCUUUUUCUUCCUAUAAGAGCACGGAGCGCGCCGGCCUCGCCACGGAGCCCGACCGCUCGACCCCGACGCCCCGCUCAAGUCGGGGAAGCUCUACUUCCUCGUCGACCUCCGCCGCGCCGACCUCAAGCCCGACCACCGCCGCGAGGGCGCAACCGGCGCCGGCGCCGGCGCCGCGCGUUCCUACUAGUUGCCCGAGGAAGGCCGCGCGUCGAACUACGAGCCCGACCGCUCGACCCCGACGCCCCGCUCAAGCCGGGGAAGCUCUACUUUCUCCCCCACGCCGUCCCCGAGCCCGACCACGGCCGCGUGAUUUCACCAUUACACCAUUAAUGGUGUAAUGGUGUAAUUAUACCAUUAAUGGUGUAACCAUUACACCAUUAAUGAUGUAAUUUCACCAUUAAUGGUGUAAUGGCGCACCAUUACACCAUUACGAAGAAACCGGCCAGCCGGGACAGCGAGCGCCCGUGCGAGGCCGCCGGGUCGACAUGCGCCUCCUCCACGGCGACUGCGACGGAGAGGGAGGCGUUGGCGUGCACCGGCCGACCUCGAGCUCGGCUGACCCCGACCUCCCCCGCGCCUCCGCUCGACCCCGAUGCCCGCAGGCCGCCGCGUGCACGCCAACGCCUCCGUGCACGCCAACAUGACCUCUUACCCACUUUAACACCUAUCAGCAGAUUAAUUAACAAUUGGUACCACAGAAAAUUCACAAAAAACCCAUUGAAUAACAAAAAGAAAAAGAUGGAAAAACAAAAUGGGGAGAAUAAAGCGUGCUGCUCCAGACACAGGAGGUGAACGUCGCGCUCCUCGGCUUCCGCCGCCGCUUCCGCAGCUUCGCCGACUGCGUCGCCCGCACCAUGUGCGACGAGGGCGCCUUCUCCCUCUAGCCCGGCUCUUCGCUGUCGCGCCCAUUACACCAUUAAUGGUGUAACCAUUAAUGGUGUAAUGGUGCACCAUUACACCAUUAAUGGUGUAACCAUUGCACCAUUAAUGAUGUAAUUACACCAUUAUACCAUUAAUGGUGUAAUGGUGCACCAUUACACCAUUACGACGAAGAAGAAGCAGCCGCAGCGCGUCCGCGUCGUCGUCGUCGUCGUCGUCGACAAUGUCUGUGGUGGGUGGGUUGGAGUGCGUGGUGUGCGUGGGGUGCUCGCGCUGGGCGUGGAAGCGCCUCAACUACGUCGGCGCCUACGACAGCGAGUCGUGGCCCCUGUCUCGCCGCGCGCGGCCGCCCUGCCUCGCCCGCGCGCCGAGUGUCCCGCCACGCCGAACAGCGUGCGCGCGCCGAAAGCGUCCGCGCACCGAAGCGUGGCCCUCGCCGCGCCGCAGCGUGCGCUCGCGUGUGCCCCGCGUGCCCUCGCGCGCAGCGUGCGCCAGCGCGCCAGCUCCUCGCCGCCUGCGCGCUCUCCGCCGUUCGAUGUUUGUCUCUCGCCGCCACGACAGACGGGCGAGUUCUCAUCGAGAGAAGGAGCUUCUCCCGCAGAGUAAGCUGUUGAAUUAGUCGAUAAUGAGUGAGUGGUAAGCACCGAGCCAUGCCUAAUCUUUUUUUAUUUUUCAUCGGUUUUACUUAAAACCGGUUUUUUUUUUCAUUCGGUAGAUGGCAUGAAUAAUAUAGAUGAUUAUUUUUUUAUUUUCUAUUGCCUGGGUCUUUGUUUCGUGCUUGUUUCGUGCAUUUGAUGUAGGGCAGUCGGAAUUAAAGGAAUGGUGUUUUGUGAAUUUUCUGUGGGUACCAAUUGUUAAUUAAUCUGCUUGAUAGGUUUAAAGUUGGAGAGGUCAUGGCGUGGCGUUGCCACGGAGGCGUGGCGGUGCACGCGGGCGACUUGGCGGCAUCGUCACGGUCCAGCGGAGGCGCGGGGGAGGUCUGCGGGAUCUGGCCGUGGCUAUUCAACGCCUCCCUCUCCGUGGUAAGUGGGCGAGUGCCGGCCGCGUGUACAGAAUAAAAGGAAGAGAUGAAGAAGAAGAAGAAGAAAGAGUUGGUUUGUGGCCGAGAAAAAAGUGGGCGAACGAGGAAAAAAAAAAAAGGUCCGCAGGGAGGAGAGAAGAAGAAGAAAAAGAAAAAAGAGAAAAAAAAAAUACUCGCCUGCAGGAAAGAAGAGAGGGAAAGCCGUCGCCUGGCGGUGUCCGGCCUUCGCUUUUUUUCGGCGAAAAAAAAAAAAAAGAACGAGAGAACGAAGAGGAGAGAGAAAGAGGAAAGAGAAAAAGGUACAAGGGCAUUUUGGUCAGUUUGCUGAAAAAGCGGACCGAAUCUGCAAAAACGAAAAAGGUGGCCCGAUUUUGCAAAAACCUAAAAUAAGUGGAUUUUUUAUGCAAAUUGGCCUAUACUCUUUUUUUUUAAUACUCUUUUAACUUUUCAAGAUAUUUUAAAUAUAUUUAUAAAAUUAAAUUCUAUUAGUUAAUUUUUAACGACAAACGUUAUUUUUAUAAAAUUAUUAUUUUAUUCUUUUAAAUAUAUCUUUUUAUUAUCACCCGCUUUUAUUAUUUAUUUUUAAGUUAGGGGCAAAAAAAAGUGUUUUAAUUUUUUACCUUUUCAAAUAUAUUUUUUACUAUUGCUAAUUUUUCUUAUUUGCUCUUCAGUUAAGGUCACAAGAGUUAUUUUAAUUUUUUAAAUUUUGGUGGAAAUUUAAUCCCGAUUUAACUCAAGAUAACAUAAUGGGUACUAAUAGCGGAGAUAUUUUUGAUGAACGAAAAAAUAUACAAGAGGUAUAUUUAAAAUAAAAAAAAAGUAUAUUAGAUAUUUUAGAAGUUUUUAAAAAUAUACUAAAUAUUCUCCAUAAUAAUAAUAAUAAUAUAAUAAUAAUAAUAAUGGAGAGAUACUAGUUCAUGUCACAUUCACCUAUCGGUUAGUAGAACAAAGAAAAAAAAUCUAGAAUUAAUGCACCUGGAUUUGUCCCUUUGAAUUAAUACUUCACGUCAUGAUUAAUAAAAAAUUAUUUUUAUUAUAUUUAUUUUUAAAUAGAGAGAUAUGAUUGAAUUGUUAUUGAUGAUAUGAUGCAAAUAUCAUACGGUAAACUUGUAGAGCAAGAGAGUACACGCCUGUCACGGAACUCUCACUACAAUGGAGCAACUAGUUCAUGUGCCUUGUGUAUAUUUUUUAUGGAAUCAAUUUCAUAUGGUUUUUAUAUAAAAGUACAGGAGUAAUAAAUAAAUUUUUAUAAAUUUUAUAUGAUCAUAUUUAUUUUUUAAAAAAUAUAUAGUUUAUAAAUAUAUUUUUAUAAUUAUUCUGGAAUAUCUUUUGUACAAUAACUAUAUUUUUUUUCUUACAAAUACGUCUUUCUAAAGAAAAAUUCUAGAAUACAAUGGGUAUAUUGGUGACGUGGCGUCACAAACCAAUCAAAUAACUCAUUUUAAAGAUAUAUGUUCCAUCAUGAUUGUAAAAAAAUAUUUUUAUUAUAUUUUUGUUUAAAAAAAAAAUGAUUAGUUUGUUAUUAAUGACGUGGUGCAAGCGUGACAGUGUAGAACUUCUCCUUUCUAAGAGCUUUUAUUCCUCCAAAAAUUUAUUUUGUUUCUUUCUAUUACGACGCCUUUGCCGCCGACCGGCGACGACGCAGCAUACGAGGCCAAGAUCGCCACAAUCAUUUUCUACGGUAGGUCUCGUCACAAUCAUAAAUAAAAAAUAAAAAAAAUGACAAUGCUCAACAGUAUAAUAAAAAUUAUAAUAUAUAUAUAUAUAUAGUGAGGCUACUAUCUCUAUCGGAAGCACGGAGCCUUCCGUGCUUCCAGCUCGUUUUCGAUUUGCGACUUCGAAUCGCUCGAUCGGCUCCGUUAAACUUGAUCUAGAGUAUUUGGAGUACCUAGAAAAUAAAUUUUAUUAUUUUUCGUAUCAUUUGCUGUGAUCGAAUGGGCUCGAAAUCAAAUUUUAAUGGCCGUAUGUAACUGUUUGACAAGUUUAACGGUGUAGAAAUAUCCAAAUCACGUGAAAUUUUGAUAGAAAAUUCUUUAUACUAUAUAAAACAAGAUCAAUAUCUUUGAUUUAAAAUUUUAAUGUCAUAUUAUUACAUUUUGUAAGAUUUUUAUUUUCAGCCGUUGAUUUUGAGCCCCUUUGUUCACUAGGCAAAUGAUAUCGUAAAAUUAUAAAAUUUAUUUUCUAGGUACUUCAAAUACUCUAGAUCAAGUUUAACGGAGCCGAUCGAUGAUUCGAAAGUCGCAACAUCGAAAACGAGCUGGAAGCACGGAAGGUUCCAUACUUCCGAUAGUAUAGUAUCUAUAAUAUAUAAGUACGAGUGCUCCAAUACUCAUAAUAGUAUAGUAAUCACGGCCUAUAUAUAUAUAUAUAUAUUGUAUUAUCUUUUAUCAAACUGUGAUUAAUUUUUUUUGUACUCAUAUUUAUUCAUAUUUUUGUAACACAAAAAUAUAUUGAAAACGAACGAAUUUCUUUAGAAACAAAUUUGAUAAGUUAAGUUUUGUAUAAAGUUACUUGUUAUUUUGUUCCUUUGCAGGAAGUCCUAUGCAAUUAUUUCUUUCAUAUAUCACAAUAAAUUUUAAUGGUCAACCCUUUAGAAAUUAGACUUUUAUAUAAUCUAACGAAUGAGAAUCUACAAGUUUUUGUAAAUUUAUUAGUAAUAUAUCAAUAAGUAACCGUAGGGUAGGUGCAGCAUAUAAAAUGUAUUUGUACAUUCGGCAGCGUCGUGCGUUUUGGAUUUGUUGGUUUUAUAAUAACAUAGAGAAAAUCUUUUGUUUGAUUUAGUAGGUAAACCAUACAUAUUAAAUUUGGCCUAUUUGAUCGAUAUUAUUACUAAUAUUCAAUGAAUCUUAAUGUCACGAGAUGAUUUCACUCAUUUUCAUACUGAGCAAAUAACAACAUAUGUACCUAUUAUCUCGAGCCCAAGUGCAAAGUAUUUAGUGGUUGGUAUUCAAAGUCUGAAGUUUGAAUCCUAGUUGAUUCACAUCUUCAGCUAAAUUUAUUUCUAAAACAGAUAAAGCGGAUAAUAUACUAUCUUUCUCUCUCUAAAAAAAAGUGUUAUUAACUUAUUUACUAGUGUCGAAUCAAUUCAAUUGAAUUUGGUCGAAUUUAAUUAAUAUGUUAAUUUCAUACAGGUCCUUGGAAAUAUAGUGAAUUACAAAUAUAUCUCUAUAAACUUUAAUUUUUAGGAAAAACUUCAAAAAACCCCAUGUGGUUUCGCACUUUUUCGUUUUAGUGCCAUGUGGUUUAAAAUGUAUCAAGUUAGUACCCUGUGAUUUCGCACUUUCUCACUUUAGUACCUUGUGGUUUGAAGUGUAUCAAGUUAGUACUUUGUGGUUUUAUUUUUAUAUCAAGUUAGUACCCUGUGGUUUUAUUUUUGUAUCAAAUUAAUACUCCGUGGUUUUAUUUUUCUUUUAAUGAAAUCUUAAACCACAGGGUACUAAAGUGAGAAAGUGCGAAACCACAGAGUACUAACUUGAUACACUUUAAACCACAGGGUACUAAAGUGAGAAAGUGCAAAACCACAGGGUACUACUACUAACUUGAUACACUUAAACCAUAGGAUACUAAAGUGAGAAAAAGUGAAACCACAAGAGGGUAUUUGAAGUUUUCCCUAAUUUUUAUAUGUUGUUCUUAUAAAAGUCCUAAUAUUUUUAAAUAUAUCUCUCUGAUUUGUUACUAUUAAAAACUGUUUAUUUUAUAAGUGAAAUAAUCUUUUUGCCAUCACAAAUAUAUCCCUUCAAAAGUCCCAACUGUUAAUUGAAAAAAGGUGAAAAUGUCAAUCCACCUCAUUAACUAACUAAGGUUAAAUAUUUUAUCUAUGAUUAACUAUUUUUUUCUAAUGGAUCCUAACGGCAGAGAUAUAUUUAAAAACAUCAAGACUUUUGCAGAGACAAUAUGUGAAAAUUGAACUUUGUAGGGAUAUAUUUGCAAUUUAUGAUGUUUGCAAGGAUUUGUAUGAAAUUAACCUUUAAUUAAUCAACAAUAAAAAAAUCAGCAAAUUUUAUUAUCAACUCCAAUUAAACUUUGCCACCUGGCAUAAAAAAUAAAUAAAUGAUUUUUGUUCUCUCAUAUCUUUAUAAUUUAAAAUUACUAUAUUAUUUUUUAUUUGAUAUUUGUAAACUCUCAACCUAGCUCAUGUUCGGGUCAUUUAAUAAACUAGCAAACAUUAGCCUGCUCCAUGUUGCUCGUGUUCAGCUCUUUUAUAGCCCUAAGCCAUGUAUGGAAAGAAUGCAUGCAGCUAUGAAGCCACAAAUUGAAAUAAUCCCAUAUUUGGAUAUUAACAUUUCAAAGAGUUCGCGGUACCAUAUUCGACACCUUUCUUAACUUUUGAAUUCCAAAUAUUUUGAUAGAAUAAAAAAAAAUCGUGUCUGGACUCGAAAUAUUUUGAUGGAUAUAUUGAAUAAUUAACUGAAAAAAAAACAAAAUAAAAAUAAAGGGUCUGCUAGAACUUUGAUUUCUGAACCUCAUGCUCAUAUGCUUCAUAAAAUUAUGUAAUACAAUCAUUUUGUUUCAAAAGUUUUUUUUUUUUUUUUUUUUUUUUUUUGAAAAAUAGGUAGCAAGCUACCUGCUUCAUUCAUUAAGCAAAAUGAAUUAGGCGUACAAGAUGGAAGCAGCUACGGCCUCCGAAACGAGUGGGCAAAAAAAUAUAAAAAAAAAAACAAAAACAAAAGAAAAAUAGAAAAAUAAACGAAAAAUAAAAAUAAGAAAACUAAACAACAUGUCUGGACUCGAAAUAUUUUGAUGGAUAUAUUGAAUAAUUAACUGAAAAAAAAAAACAAAAUAAAAAUAAAGAGUCUACUAGAACUUUGAUUUCUGAACCUCAUGCUCAUAUGCUUCAUAAAAUUAUGUAAUACAAUCAUUUUGUUUCAAAAGUUUUAAUUAUCUAAUACGUGACAUGUGUUGCACGGUGAGCCCAAUUAUAAAGAUAACUACGCCCAAAUUGUGGCCCAGUGUCCCACAGGCCCAAAAACCAGAAAUAUUCUGGGUCCAUCGCACGGCCCAGUUUCUUUUACCUGGAAAUCAGAGGGAUAGAAAAGGGAGAUGGGCUCCCGAGGCUUUGGGCCUGGCAAGGCCCAUCUCAGGGCACGACGGCACGGGUCUCUAUUUGCGAAAGCACAAGCGGCUCAAAGACCGUGAGUCAGUUCCCCAGAUAACAGCCACUGAGCUAGGCCAACAGUUUUAUUCAGCUGUAUUAAUUUUAUAUCGGAAAGGUGAUAGAAAAGCAAUUUUUGAUAACUACGUGCGAAAGUAAUCGACAGAAACAUUGAGGCUAAAAAAUUCCAAGUACUGAUUGCAAGCUCUAAUCGUAAUUUCAUAGAUCCAAUGUCGUUCUGAUCUAAUAAUAAUAAUAAUCACUACAAUAGAAUUAGGUUUUAGGGACACAUGUUUGGGACACUUUUGAGUAAGUGUCCCAUUUAUGCUAAAAUUAAAAAAAACAUCUAUUAAUGCCAAAUAUAAAGUCCAAUCCAAUCAAAAAUAAAAGAUUACUCUGCUCAACCCACCAUACCCAGUCUAUUUGGCCCGAUUACAAACAGAAAAGAAAAAAAAAAAAAGAAAAAUCAAUUACCAUCUUUUCUUUUCUCUUCACUCAAUCCAUUGAAAUUCUAGACGAAGAGCCUUUCCUGUUGUCCUCUUCCGCUACCGUAGCCAACGAGAUAGAAUUUCGACGGUUGCUAAAUGCUUAAAUAAGUUUUGGUAAAUUAGCAGCACUCUUUUAAGUUAUAACGACACUCUUUAACUGUCACUAUAUACCUAGCGAUCUCACAUAUAGCAACACUUUUUAAAAGUGUCGGUAAUUUUGACUAGCAGCACUUUUUGAUAUGUACCUAGAUUUAAAAGUGUCGCUAUAGACCGUUUUUAUUGUAGUGAAUACACUUAUGUAAGUUCGCCGUCGGUUUUAAAUUAUAUAUAUAUGCUUGAUAAAACUGGAUCACAUGCAUGAUCAUAUAACUCUGUACAAGAAGAUUUACCAAAAUUUGUGUAUGUACAUAAAUUUCGACAGCAGGAGCACCAAGCACAUACGCAAAAUACACAGAAGUUGAGAUACAUGCAUGGAAAUGUCAUUGUACUAUUUGUUAUGACUACUCUGUGAUUAUUGGUUACUAGAUUGACUUUGUUCAGUAACAUCGCAUCAUCGGAGCCAGGCUCGAGCCUCCUUCGGACCUGGGUUGAUUUUUGAUAUCCAUCACUCGACAACGCAUGUUAUUUCAUUUACUUUUGUUCUACUGUCUUUUUCAGUGCUUUUACUAUCAUCAUGCGUAGGAUGGUUCAUCUGAUCUCUAUUAUAUAUUUAUAAAAAAAUUUUGGUAUGGUAAAAAGAAAAUAAUAUAAAAAAUCCCUCUCCACAAUUACAGCCUUAAUCAUAGCUUAUGGUACGUAUAUUAACAGCUGUGUUGUACCUUACAUGCAUCAGAAACAUGCUCAAGCUUGAGGCCCUCAACAGAGCACAUAUCCUCUCAUAAGAUUCCUCUGCAAGCAUAUGAAACUAAUGCCUUAUAUUAAAGAUUACGGGCAUAAAAUCUGUAAGUGUGGGCACUAACAAAUGCCAUAGAAUUUAUUCCAUGUACCUAACUGGGGACCUGUAAGGGGUGAUGGCCCAGAGGAAGCAAAGCAAUCUCUAGCCUACACACUUGGUCCUUUCUUAAUGUCCUCAGCUGUUCUUAUGGCCACAGCUGGAACCAUGCUUUGGGUGCACAAAAAGCUCCCCCAUCAUUUCCCCAACCUUUGCUUUUGCUUUCGCGAAAACUUCAAAAUGCACAUUUUUAUACUGUAGUAUAGUAUAACAUAUUUGCAGCUUACUAUCCUUGCGGUUCUUUUAGCGUAUCAUUUUACUUUAUAUUGUUUUAAUUUUUGUUUCGUGUAAGGAGUGAUACUGUUCGUGCGUCAAAACUAUUAGUUCUGUAUUGGGUGUCAGUAGGAUUGCAGUUAAAAUCUCGCUCGGUACAUGAUGCCAAGGGAAUUUUUUUAUUUUUUAUUUUAAUGGGUAUGGAUAGGGAUUGAACAUUUGAACACAUGUAUCUUAAGGUGCCGAGGAGGCAUAUCAACAAAUCUCCCCUUUUUUAUUUGCCUUUAUUGUGAUCUUCAUGGGAGGAUGCACUAGAACUUUGAAUAGAUCAUGUCUAAAAAGGGAGCCUUUAUUGUGUACCAUGCUCUUUGUUCUCUUUACUCUUCCGUGGUCUAUUGGAACCAUGGUGCCUGUUUUUUUUUUUUUUUUUUUUUUUUUUUUUUUUUUUUUUUUUUUUUUCUUGGAUAAGGAUAGACCUGGCAAACAGGCGGGUUUCUUGGACAUGUUUAAAAUUUACUUACAAAUUUUUGGAUGGUCAACAUUUUUAUCCAUAUCCGCCCGCAGGUGGGCGGGUGGGUAUGCGGGUUACCCGUAAUUUUUCUUUUUUUGCUCUUAUAUUUUUUAAAUUUAAAACACAUAUAUAAAUUUUAAAAUCAUAAUAUAACUCAUUGUUUAAAAUAUCAUAGCAUACAAUAAAAAUAUUUAAAGUUUUAAAAUAAAAAUAUUUCAUAAUAUAAAAGACACGCAAUAAAAAAUUAGGAUUAGAAUUUUUAGGAUGGAUAAAUAAAAAAUAUAUUAAUUAAAAAAUAUAUUUUGUAAUUAAAAAAUAUAUGUGCGAGUACCAGUGCGUACAUAUAGGUUACCCAAAAUGCCCACUGCUUAAUAGGUACACAUCCGUUUUAUCUGUAAUUUUUUAAAUUGAAAAAAUCGGUACUCAUACCCGCAAAUUUAUGGGUAACCCGUGUGUAUCCGCAGAUUUGGGUCAAGAUUGCCAGGUCUUGAUAAGGACCAGGUUUUGAUAAGGACAAUGACACGGGACCAUGGCCUAGGCCUAGUAAUAGUUCUUAGACCUCACAUGAAUCCUAGAAUUUUGUUUGAGCUUUUUGUGUUAUAUUUUUCUUUUUUAAUAUACGAAAAACAAAAAUUACAGACAUUUAUAUCGAGAUAAAAUUCUAAAGGGCCCUGAUCAAAACCACAUAAAAAAGUCCUAAAUUAUGCAUCAUGUGUUCGCGAAUGCUAAAUCAUGCACUUAUAGUUGCUUACAAUUUGUGACAGUUUCUAAAAUAGUUGUCCUUAAAGUAUGCAUUUUAUAUAGUGUUGUGUUUUUUUAAAAAAAAAUACUCGUUCAAUAUUUCCAGACCAUUUUGGAAUGACGAUGUUUAAAUACACUGCCUUCGUAUUUUGGAGGGUUUAAAAAGUGGAAAGAGUAUUACAACUUCAUUCCACUAAUGAUAUAAAAUGAAAACAGAAGCUAUCACGUAAGAGGCAAAUUAUUAGAUGUGCCUCCAAAUUUAAUUAUCGAGUUUAAUUUUGUGCUCCUAAUUUGCUGACAGUUUUGUUGUACAAUAAAUUUUGAAUAAAUAUUUGUGAAAAAAAUAUAGAUGUCCGUAGUGGGUGGCAAAGACUCAAGCCCGUCGGCUCGAGCCUGUAACCUCGCGGUACGGAUCAGAUUCGAUAAUAAAGAAACCUGUUAAAAAAUGCCUUUCUUUUUUUGCUUUUGAGGCGAUACAGUGGAUUGUAACUCCACAAUAUUGUAUUGACUUUUUCAUAGUGAAUUUCUCUCCUUUUUUACCCUUGAUUUUUUUUUUCCUGAAUGUAAAUAUUUUUUUUGAGAGAAGAUUUUCUACGUAAAAUUUUGUGUUCUAUUUUAUUUACUGUUUUGUAAUUUGUUUACUGUAUGAUCACCGUCCUCUGUUUCUAUUUUGUACACUUGUCGUAAUAAAAGUGCUGCUCGCUACUCCCUCCGAUAGUUUCAUAACAUUGGGAUAGAGGGAGAUAGCAAAGCAUUUAUACAAUGUUUUAAUUUUGUAUUGUAGGCGAGUUUGUAAACACAAUUUCCACACCCUAAAGAUGUGUAUAGCGAAUUUUGCAGGUGAUCUCAACUCGAAAUGUGCUCGUUUUGCGCUUCCACAAUUUAAUGCCAAUUCCCAGGAAGAAACAGAUAUUUGUCAAUAUAUUAACUGUUUCAAAUUAAAUUCCUUGUUUAGAGAGAUAACCUCAUGUGCUAUAAUUAAUGAUAUAUAUUUUUUCUUUUUAUCUUCUUAAGCCCCACAAUAUAUCAGUGUAAUAUUAUUACACAAUUUCUGCUCAAAAAUAGUGUAAUGUCACAACCAGCUCAUACUAGCUAUCAUAUGACACUACAUAGAUUUUGUACAGUGAAAUAGGUCACUCAUGGAGCCCCACAUUUUCGUAAGUUCAAUUCUCCGCUUAUUAUGCACAAUUUGUUUAUAUCUGUUAAUUCUGAAUUUUACAUCACAAGUUACUUGAAGAGGACUAUAAAUUUACAUAUUCAUUCUUUAAAAAAGUUGAAUUAAUUCAAUGUGAGCACCAUUUUCAGAAGCAAACUAAGCUAUUCAUGUUAUAUUCAAAAGAAACUUCCAUUGCAUGAAAGGAACCAGUGUAAUUAGACACAAGAAAGGAAGAGAGAAAGAGAGGGGGCAAAAAAAGGAAGCAAAAAAACCAAUAAAAGAGAGAGAGAGAGAGAGUAAAUUAAAAGAACCUCUAUGUUUCCAUCUUUGGCAACUGCACUUAGCAACUAAACUUUGGAGACCUCCUCUUUUCAAAACCUACUUACUUUGCUUUCUUUUUUCUGAAAUUUAACUACAUGAACUUUUUCCCUCACAUUUCAAAUUGCCCAAGCCUAUUAUCAGACAACCUUGUUUUGUAUGCAGAUCUCUUGUACUCGCACCAUGUGAACUCCCUGUAGAGGCUCUGCUUCCCUUCUUCUAUCAACAGCGGCAAUGGCGCCAGCCUCUCUCUCGGCGACGGUCCCCCGAAGUAUAUCAUCGACACCCGCGAUUGCGCACUGUUUGCCAGAACCCGGUGUUUUACGCUCCUGAAUCUUCCAUUUGUCAGAACCUGUAGCCCAUAGAAUUAAAAAGCCAUUGGAUUAGUAUUAUUAUUCACACACCCACAGAAAAAGAGUAAACCUGUGUGCAGUUACUGCAUGUUACUGUGUGAUACUAACAUGCAUAUGCUUACUAGUAGUUGGAGGGUUUUGAACCACAUUCAUUUUCUAGUCCUCAGUGGACUAUGACUUAAAAGGAGACUUAUUUAGCAGCCACCAAAGUGUUGGUGUCUAAAUUGAUUCCAAUUCCCAAAUAUGAAUCCACGACUUGGCUUCAUAGACAAAGAUGUAUUCCAAGGUUCUAGAAGGAAAGGAAGGGUCAAAAGGAGUAAAUAAUACCUACAACAAGGUCUUAUCAUAAGAACAAAUAUUUAGAAAUAAUGGUUUUGAUACCUUUUACUUCUUCUAAUAGCAACCAUGGUGAAAUUAUUGUGAGAAGGGGCUCAAAAUCAGCUGCUUUUUUUACCUGCAAUGAAUCGCCAACAUUGAUGAAGAAAGAGCUUUGAUCAGGAGGAACAGAGACCCAACUCCCAUCCCUCAGUGAAAUCUCCAAUCCUGAGGUGUUGUUGGACCUCAGCAAAGAUAUAAUCUGGGGGUCAGUGUGUUCUCCAAACCCAGUCAAGCCACAAUCCAGGCCUUGAAGGUGUGGGCAUGGCGGGUAGUGGUUGAGCCGCAACAUCGAGUCGCUCUCCGAAUCCGUGACCAAUUUGCUGAACACAUUCUUUGGUUGAAUUUUCAGGCUCUCCGCCAUUAAUUCUAACACCUCACAAGCUAGUUUUCUCACAGCAGUGAUGUACUCAUUCAAGACCGAGCUGCGGCAAAAAGUUUAAAGUUAAAGUUUAAUCGUAAGAAACUAAUGGAAAUAGUUGGCUAGUGAUCUUCAUACUUUGUUUGAGCAAAAUUAACUAGUACAAUUUGGUGAUUCGAUUUAGCCAGAGAUCGAGACAGCGCAUGCAUGUAAUAUCGGAUGCGGGAAUUGAACUUUCAACGUUUUAUUAUCCAAAGAAUCGAUCAUAUAGAAAAUGUGUCAGACAUAGUUUUUUUUUUUUUUUUUUUUGGUUACUGAACAGAAGAAUAUAAGUGGAUUAUACCAAAAACCAAGCAUUUGUUCUGCGGAAACAGAGGAAGUAUAUGUAAUGAAAUGAUUCUUACCAGAACAAGCUUGCUGAGGGUUCCUUAAGAAAGGAUAAUGAGGAAUGAGAAAUAGGCUUUGAUGUGAUCUCCAAAAGGAUGUACUCCACCCAGCCCAGAUCACCAUUUCCCCCGAUUUUCUUACUCCCGUAGCCGAAAGGCCCUGGGGAAGAAGCAGAGAGCUCCUUCUCGACCUGUGGCAAUGAGAAGAACCUCAAUGCUUCGUCCUCCAACUUAGCCAUGAGCUCCAUUGGGAUCCCAUGGUUGGUCACCUUGAAGAACCCGAGCUCCUCGCACGCGCCGAUGAGCCGCGCUUUCGACUCGGGAUCGGAGAGGUCGAUGACCGGGACAUCGGAGAAGAAGUUGGUGGGUUUGUGCACCACUGGGAGAGAGAUUUGCUCUAGCUCUCCGUGCGCCAGCACCACCAUGGUUGUUGUUGAGGUAAAAGAAGGAAACAGGGGGAAAACAGGGGAAAAACAGAGGAAGGGGCUUGAUAUUGGUGGUGAAUGAGAGCAAAAGCGGUGCAUUGGAUGUGUAUUUAUAAAGAGAGAACCGCCUCGUAUGGAAAAAAGAGAGAAAAUAAAAUGAAGUGGGACAGAGAAAAACAGAGUGGUCUCUGAGCAGGGGUUUCAUACAAAAUGGAAAAAUUGAUGGUCCACUUCUUGUAGAGUAAAAAUCCACCUGUUUACAAGUGAGUGGUGGGGGUGUAUUUGUAAUAAAUGGAUUGUAAUCCAAGUAUCGUUCAAUUUUUUUAGGGUAUCUAUCUCAAUAUAGCUGUUGCGCCGUUCGUACAACACACACUCAUUAGCCUUUAAUUCUAUCUCAUAUUUGAUUCACAUUUUCGGCGCAAGUGGCAAAAUAACUUGAUGGUUGGUAUUCGAGACCCAAGUUCGAAUCCUAGUUGAUUCACAUUUCUAGCUAAAUUUAUUUUUUAAUAAAAUAAAUGAAGCAGGUAGCGUGCUAUCUAUCUCUAAAAAAAAAAAAAAAUUCUAUCUCAUAUUUGAAUCUAUAUAUAAAACUAAUGCGGCUUUCUUUUUCGUAUUUAAAAUUUUGGACUUGCUUAUUGAAAAUAUAAAUUGGGUGAAAAAUAAACAAAUUUAUGGUGUACUAUUUGACGCAAGCAAUAAUUUCCUCACAAAUUGUAUGCCUAAAAGGAAACACUUAUUAAAUAUUUCUUAAUGUUUGGAAUAGGUCAAGCGAAAAUCUAAAAUAAAAUACUAUUAAAAAUUUAGAAUAAGAAUACUAAUAUCUAAUGUAUCUGAUGGUUAUAGGGUUUGGAUUGCUUCGACCUGGAUCCGACCCAUUACAAUAAUCCGAACUAAUAAAUGCAAGAUUUAUUUCUUGUUUUGCAUUUUUUUAAAAUUGAACAAUACUAGGAUUACAAUCCAUUUAUUACUAGACCAUCCAAAGACCAAAUUUCAUUCACUAUUCAUAUUAACUUCUUUUAUUAUUAUUAUUUAUUAUAUUAAAAUUUUAAAAAUAAGGUUAUCUUUCCAACUACUUUUCGGUUGUAGCUAGCAUUUUUCUGAAAAAAUCUAAGAUAACAAAUCUCCGGCAACAAAGUUUGAGAACUCAAAGAUAACUUGAUCCAUAUAUGAAUGUGUAUUUAAUUAUAUCUGAUUAGACAUAUUGAUUUCGGCGAGUUCCUUCACUCGAACUCCUACUUCCAUUGUAUUAAAAAUUUUUAUCUUAUUGAAUCUUAUAGGUACAACUCUUGUCGGUACUAGUGCCAUUCUUCCGUCUUCUAUGCAAACAACUUUUGCCACCCCAAUGCCUCUACAAUCGCACAACGUCGAGCUCCCCCAUGGUCUUCUCAAGCUUUCAAGUCUUUCGUCGGGAUUACUGGCCUCGACUACUUUCUGCUUUACUGACUUUACCACCGACUCUUGUCAUGCCUCUUGACGCACUAUAGUAUUUUUUUUUUUUUUUUCUGUUACUUAUAUUAAUGAAAGUGAUAAGCAUUCGCAAUCUAUGAAUGUUGGGCUAAUAAAUGCACGCAACCAUCACUUUAGUAAUUCGCACCGUCAUUUCCUGAGAUUGAGAGGGAUUUUCUUCAUGUAGUGGAGGCACAAAGACUAAAUUGAGGGCUGCUGCUUCUUCUCAUCUAUAAGGGGAUGGGGACAUCUUGGCCCUGAGAGAAAUUAUUUCCUGCACCCGAUGCACCACGUCAGCUGUACAUAGGAUGCAUUAAUCUAUCUCUUUUUCUUUACUUUCAGGAUCGAUCUGUCCGACAUUCGAGGCUGCCUAAUAUUAUUAAGUCAAAAAGAGCCAGAAAAAAAGUUGAAAAUUAUGUUCGAAUUAAACAUGUGGGAAUCUGCAGAACAUGCCGUUGAGUCUGAUAAUUUUUACUUCUCAAGCAAGAAACACGAUGCGGUGCAUCGAGCCUAGGCAAUAGUUUCUCAUCCCUGGAUAUUUUUGCCUCCCCAUAUUCAAUUGGACGGCUAGUGGGCCUCAAGGAGUUGUUAGAUACACUAUUUAUUUAUAGUAAUGAUGAUAAGUAAUGCUAAUGCUUUUAGAUAAAUUUUAAUAUUUAUUUGUAACUUUAAUUUGCAUACGCCGCCGUAUUUACGAAUAGAUCAGUAUUAUCACCUGCUAAGUAAAACAUUUAACUAUUCAAUAUUAAGGCCGUAAAAAUGGACGUGAUUUAGAAAGUUAAUUAAGUAAAACUGUUUCAUAAGAGAAGUACGUACUUUUCAUGUUGACACUAGGGAUAAUUCACUAACUAUUGAUAAUCCACCACAAGAUACUUCAACUUGUCACCAAUCAUAAGUAAAAGGAGAAAUGAAGCAUUUGUAGAUUUUUUUUUUUAUUUUUCCUCCAAAUCAUGCUUGUAAUGGGGAAACAAUGGCUUAGGACAAGUAUUCCUCCAACACUUGUUAAGAUAUAUUAUAUUAAAUAUAAAAAGUUAGAUGGAUUCAAAAAAUUUAUUAUUUUCACACCGCGUAGCCUGCAUUAUCAAUCCUAAUUUUGUGAAUCUUAACAAGUGCGUAAAGCACCCGAGAAAGAACACAUAAAGAAACAUCGGUCGCAAUGUUCUUUUUCUUGUUUUCCUUUUUUCUGCGUACUUUUGGGAUCACCAAUAUGUGCGACACAGAUGUCGUACGAAAGAGCACAUCGAGUGCGCGAAAUAGCAGCAACCCUAGCCGCCGAUUAUAUUUAGGUGUGACACGCGAAGUCCAACUUGAUUACGAGCUUUAACUAACUCUACCGAAGAUAAUGUAGUCAAUGAUGAACAACAACAUCUUAAGCAUCCACCGAAAAUGGCAUUAAAAAUCGUGGCAUCCUAGCACUAUCGUGCCGAAAGAAGUACAAAUUGGCGUGUCGAAUUAGAAAUGCCCGCGUUCUAAGGAGUCGUGCUAAAUGCAUGCAUCUAAAUAUAUAAGUAGCAUUUCUAGAAGAAAAGUGACGCGCAUAUUUCUUUAAUGUUCGUAUUCGAACUCGUAAAGCAUUACCCUAUUAUUUUUCUAUUUUAGUUCGGCGGUGGCAUAUAUGUCUAUGUGCUCUGCAUUUAUUUGACUAAUUACGUGUGUAAAUAUAACUUUGAAUUGAACGACGAGAGAUAUCAAGGAGUGUUUUGGAUACAUUAACUUUGCUGGGUUUGGAAUUUACUAUAAACCAAACUUUGAUGAGCGCCAAUGAAACUAUCAUAUAUAUAGAGAGAUAGUUCACCUAAUAUAUACUGUAGAUAAUAAAUUAAUAUUAUUUACUAGCACCGACUAUAUAUAUUCCUAACGUGAGUGACAAAGGGUUUGAUGAUUGAUAUCCGAAGUCCCAAGUUUGAAUCCUAAUUAAUUCGCAUUUCUAAAUAAAAUAAACAAAGAUGAUAGCAUGCUGUCUAUCUCUCUCUCAAAAUAAAAAUAUUUACUAUCAACUUUUUUAUCCUUAGAUUAUUAUUAUUCCAGCAACUCUCACUAAAUUCGAAGCAUCUAAUAGUAAAAAAGUUGAUAAUAAAUAUUAUUUUCUAUACUAUCAAUAAUAUUUUGCCUCCGCCAUAUAUCUUUAUGUAUAGGUCGAUAUCUGAAGCACAUUAAUUUGUGGAUUUCGUACGUGCUUGGGACUAAUGAGACAUUUGGUUGGUGGGAGUGAGGUAAGGUUACAAUUAAGAAUCCCAGAUAUAACUCCUUUCAAGUUGAAGCAUCAUCACUCAUCACUUGUGAUAAUCUAUGUAAGAUAAUAUAAUCAAAGAAGGUAAAGUGUUCGGUAAUCUUUAUUAUGCAAAUUAUAUAUAAGUUACCUAUUCAUCAAGAACACGUGGAUGGUUCAUGAAAUAUAAAUUACAUGAAAAGUAUGAAAUCGGUUGGCACAAUUCUGAAUCGCUUCUUCGCUUUAGAAGUAAAUAAAAAGAUUGAACUUUACUAAUUUUAUGUUAUCUGCAUCUAAAAUUUUAUAGAAAAAAAAAAAUAAAAAAGAAAAACUAAUUAGACUAAUUAAAAGUCCCAUUCGGGCGUAAUGGCCCACCUUGACUUCGAGUCACAUUGAUGGAAUCUUUGAAUUUUUUUUCUAAUAAUUUUUUAAAUGAUUAUUCUUUUUUUCCCCAAAAAAUAUUAUAAAUUCCUGUCUCAAUUGCAGAUUCCUAUAAAAAUCACCCAGUAGUAAUGCAUGGAAAGGGCCCACGAUUGCAACAAGCACCGCAUGGAGGGUUAUUAAUUUUACCUGUAAAUAGUGCACCACGUAAGCCAUAGACUCUAUAAGAGAUCCCCACAUUCUUUUCUUGGUUAAAAGUUAUUUAAAAAUAAAAAAUAAAAAAUGGUUGUAUACUUAGACCGGUAUAAGAGUUUUAGUAGACUCUACAAAAAACGAUAAUCGUAAAAUAUUUUGACAUCAAUUUUGAAGGUUCAUUUGCUCUAAUAAAAAUCACAUAAUAAUCUCUAACUAUGAAUUGUAAUUCAAAUUAAAUUAAUCUUCAAUUCAACUUACAUAAAAAGUUAAUCAAAAUGAUUAAUAUGAAAAAAUGAUUGAGAAAAAUAAUAAAGAUUGAAGGGCCUUUUUCAAAUAUAGCAUGUACUUGAGUAGCUUGAUAUUUUUAACUAUUAAUUUUUGUAAACUAGUAAUUAUGAAAAGAAUAACAUCUGUGCUUUAGUCUAGAUUUUUUUAAAAAAAUAAGUUUAGAUCUUUAUUAUCAGAACCUUCAUUAGCUAGUCACUUAUAUUAAUUUUUAAUAAAAUAAAAACUAAAUUAUUUAAUUUUUGAACGCGCACGUGGGAAUCGAACUCUUAAUCAUUUGAUUAAUUGUGUAGAUGGUCAUGAUAUGUGAUUCAAUGUGAUCAUAAUUUUAUAAAUUUUACUGGUCUCUAUAAUUCCAAGCUAAAUUUAUACAAUAGAUAAAAUAAAUGAUUGUUAUUCUUACAACGUAAAAACGAAAAAGUAGAAAUUUCAUAAAAAAAAAAAAAGUAAGGUACCAUCUAAAACGGUGGUCCAUAGCUGACGUGGCUGUAAAGGCAAAGGUAAAGGUACACGCGGUCCACAAUAAUUGACGUCGGCAACCUAUCCCAACAGAGAUCGUGCCUUGGAAAAAUUCUAGAAUGCAAUUCGGGUAUAUUGAUGACGUGGCAUAAUAAAUCAAUCAAAUAUUUUUUUUAGAGAUAUAUGUUUCGUUAUGAUUAUAAAAAAAUAUUUUUAUGAUACUUUUGUUUGAAAAGAAGAAAUAUAAUUGGUUUGUUACUAAUGACGUGGUGCAAGCGUGACAUUGUAGAAUUUCUCGUCCGUUGGGCCCUUUUAACUGACGUGAUGUUAUCAAAGGGACUCACCGGGAAAAAUAAUUAGGAGCUGUUUAGUUGCAGUAAUUACAUAAUCAAAUUCAUUGUUUGGUCUAGCGUAGUUAAGUCUAAUUAUUACAGAUAAAAAUAUACAUCGAGAUUCAAAUACUAUAGCUGGAACUAUAUUCAAAUUAACUAUAGUUACAACUGCAGCAAUCAACGAGAAUUCGAUAAAAAUAUAUAUAAUAUAUAUAUAUAUAAUAUAUAUAUUAUAUAUAUAUAUAUAUAUAUAUAUAUAUAUAAUUAUAUAUAAUAUAAUUAGAUUACUAUAUCUAUUAAGUACCUGACUUUGAUACAUAGUCUUGUUUUCGAUUUAGGGUAUCAAAAUUAACGAUCACACCGGUAAAAUGACUGAUUUUAGGGUAUAUGAAGUUUCAGGAAUAAAAUUUUAGUUUUUUUUCGAAAUUCUUUACUUAGUAAAUAAAUUAAUGCAAAUGAGGUGGAAAUUGAAAUAAUCUUUAAAAUUUGAGUAUAGUAGACUUUUAAAUUCAAAAUCAAAGAAUUGUUAAACGCUUAACUGAUCGUUUACAAAAUAUUUUCUAUCAAAAAUUUGAAGAAAUUUUAGAAUUCUUCUACACCGUUAAAUCAAACAUCGCUCCAUAGUUAGCCUUGAAAAUUGACAAUUUUGAUAAAUGGUUUGAUCAUAAAGUAACAGUCGAAAAAAAUAUAAAAUUUUAUUUCUAAAAACUUUAAAUACCCUAAAUCAGUUUUAACGGUGUGGAUCGUUGAUUUGAACACCCUAGGAUUGAAAAUGAGACUAUAGUACCGUAGCCCCGGUACUAUAGAUAGUAUAGGAGACUAGCUCUCUCUCUCUCUCUCUCUCUCUCUCUCUAUAUAUAUAUAUAUAUUCUCUCUCUCUCUAUAUAUAUAUAUAUAGUAGGGCUACUAUACUCUUAUGAGUAUAGAGCCUUUCGUGCUCAUAAGUUGUUUUCGAUGUUGGGGCUCCCAAAUCGACGAUCCACAUUGUUAAACAUUAUCUAGAAUAUUUAAAACUUCUAGAAAAUAAAUUUCGUAAUUUUUCGAAAUCAUUAUAAAGUCCAUCAAGCGGAUAUAAAAUGAAUGGCAAAAUCGAACGAUGUCCAAAAAAUGGAUGAUCGGAUCCUUCAAUUUAAGAUUAGGGUUAUUAAUCUUUAUCUAAGUAAUGAAUAUAAUUUUCUAUCAAAAAUUCAAACUAUUCUGAUUCUUUUACACCGUUAAACUAGCAAGUAUCACAUACCGGUCGUUAAAAAUUAUCAAUUUUGUGAGUUUUUGAUCAUAAGGUAAAUGAUAUCGAAAAAUUAUAAAAUUUGAUUUCUAAAAGUUUUAAAUGCUCUAGAUAAUGUUUAACAGUCUGAAUCGUCGAUUCAGAAGCUCUAUUAUUGAAAACAAUUUAUGAGUGCGAAUGCGAUCGUACUCAUAACAAUAUAGUAGCCGGACUAUAUAUANGAGAGAGAGAGAGAUAUAGAGAGAGAGAGAGAGAGAGAGAGAGAGAGAGAGAGAGAGUGUUGAGUUGGAAUACUAUCGGUAGUAAACGGGCUCCAUUGCCACCAAUUUAUUUUCGAUGAUGGAGCCUCCAAAUCGACGAUCGGUACCGUUGAAAAUAAUUUAUACCACUUUAAGUAUCUAGAAAUCAAAUUUCAUGCUUUUCUAAUAUUGUUUUCUCGUUCAUCAAGUGAGCGCAAAAAUGAAUAUUCUCUAAAAAGUAAUGAUAGGAUUUUGUAAUCAAGAUCGAGAGUAUAGAUUUUGUUCUAAAUAGUUUAAAGAAUUUUCUAACCAAAAUUCAAUUGAUUAGGAUAGCUUUACACAGUUAAACGAGAAAACGCCUCAUAUCAACCAUUAAAAUUAUAAAUUUUAAAACCCUUUAAUCAUUAGGUCAAUGAUAUCGAAAAGAUUUGAAAUCUAGAUAUUUCAAGUGAUAUAUAUCAUGUUCAACGGUGCCGAUCGUCCAUUUGAAGGCUCUAUCAUCGAAAAUAAAUGAGUGGUACCGGAGCCCAUUUACUAUCGAUAGUAUUCUAGCAAAACUAUUAUAUAUUUAGAGAAGAGAGAGAGAGUGACUUAGAAUACUUUAAAGUCAGAUGGAUGGUGCUUGUGAGUUUUUAACCUUUGAUAGAAAAUUAGGGUGGAUGAGUGUAAGCUGGGUGGUUGGGUGGUAAGCGGAAUGGUGUUUCAUCCAAGGGGCUAAUUAUAAUUGUCAGGAGUAAUCCAAGGGCUAAAAACCUAAUAGCACCAAAGAGUGAUACUGUGUUAAAAUAUUCUAGCCUCAAUUUAUAUAUAAUAUAAUAUAUUAUAUUAUAUAUAUAUAUAUAUAUAUAUGAUUACCAUUCUCAACCAGAAAAACUAAGGCCCCAUGUGGCCCCAAAACCGACCAUAUGUCCAGAGCUUCAAGGUUUCUAUUUAAACGUGACAGUUGCCGAUCACACAAUGGCCACUCAGUAAAAUAUGCCUACCACAUAACAGAAUAGAGCCAGCUUUAUCCAGAAAAUAGCGGUGAGAGAGAUCUAAGUACAGAGAUGAGUAUAGAGAUAGGAGCAGAGAGAAGAGGAGAGAGGAAUCAAAUCACACUAUGAAAAGAGUACCUAGUCAAGGACACGAAUUUAUGAGCAUGUUUCUUUAUAUUUUAUAUUUUUCUUUUUAAAACAAAUCUAUUGAUGAUGAGCGACACUCAGGCUACUGAGAACCAAGCAAGCAAGCUCUAUCAAAUCAAUUGCCAUUAUCAUCCUUGUUCGAAUAAAUGCAUGCCGCCUCCAUAUAACUAUUUAGUGUUUAAAGUCGUUGUUAUUAUCUAGUGUUUAUUUCUGAACAAUUUAUUUUUGGUGUAGUUUUAUCAGGGAGCUCAAAAAAAAAACCCGUAUCUUCUUGAUUUUAAUAAAUUAGAAAAACAAAGAGUUCUUGACUGAAAUAGAAGUCUCUGAAAACUCACAAAAAAAACGGUUUUGCUUGUUUGAUCUAUUGUACUUUUGAAGUAUUUUUUAUACUGAAAUAACAAAUCAAGUACUUACCAAAUAAAGUUUACACUUUCUUUGUAACCCGAAAUGCAGAAUAAAAUAAAUUUGAAAUUUUGCUUCAACUAUCCUUCAAUAUUAUAAAAGUGAUAAUAUUAAAAAAAAUUAAUAUUAUCAUAGCGCAAACGGCAAAGGACUUCAGUGGUCGUUCCUAAAUUGUUACAAAAAGGUUGAACCUAACUAUAUUGUUCUUCAUUUUACUUUUUCUCAAAACAAAAUAAUAUUAAUUUUAGAAUAAUUCUACUAAGGAGCAUUAUUAUCUAAUUUAGUUGAACUCAAAACAAUAAUCAGUUAAAAGUUUUAGGCUUAUUCAUACAAGUCUGGGAAGAAUCAUCCUUUCUUAUAGGAAGCCGCACAUGUAAGCCCAAAGAGGUAAACUUAAGAAUAUAAAGAAGUUUUUUUUUGCUUUUUCUUAAGAAUUGUAGAUAUAUCUUUAAUGACUAAUGUAAUAAUAAGUAACGAUAUUAGCCGACGCUCCUAGCCAAGUCGCAAGGGCUUGUAGUUGCGCCCGCAGUUCCAAGUUCGAAUCUAGUUGAUUCACCAUUUCCAGUCAUGUUUAUUAUUAAUAAAAUAAACGACGGGGUAGCAUAUUAUCAUCUCUUAAAAAAAAGUAACGUGAUAUUCGGUUAAGUAUAAUAUAACUAUUCCUACCAUUUUUUCUAUUAUUUUCUUUUUCACUUCCUCAAGCAUGUAUGCACCUUCCCAUAAUUCCAAAAAGAACUAGUUGAUUAUAAAAUAAAUGGUAUGAAGACCCCCUAAACAUAUUCAAUUCUUAAAAUAAACCAAUGCUUAUCGUGUUAAAGUUAUCUGCGUUCAAAUUAACAUAACCAAUAAUUUACGUUACCACACCAUCAAAGAUUCAUGUCAUAUGAAAUAUUUAAUGCUAUCACAAAAAGAGACUACAAAGAGUAUAUCCAAGAUCUAAAACGCAUUCCAUAUUCCCCUCAGAAUCAUAAUUGUCAAUACUUCCAAAUUAAAGUAAAUUCCUCGCUAUCAAUCACGAAAGAAAACUUUGUAAUAAUUGUUCGACAAGUAUUCGUGUCCACAUCUAAGUAGGUACCAAGUAAAAAUGCUUUAAUUAGGCUCAUUUGUAAAAUUAUAUUAUUGACCUUCUAGCAUAGGUUUAUACGGUUUGAUGUGACAAUGACAAUAUGAAUUUCUUUAAUUCUGUCAUUGGGCUGAUUUAAAUGUAUCUACAAAAUCAAAAUAUCUAGUUUCCCAUGCUGACAAGAUUCAGUACCACGCCAAAAAUUCUACUUUACUAUAGCGUACAUUCGGUCCCUUAUCAACUUUUUUAUAAAUAUAUUACUAAUGUGAGAGAGGAUGGUAGCAUUGUACCACUUCGUUUAUUUCAUUCAAAAACAAACUAUACGCUAGAAAAUUAAAUCAACAAGAUUCGAACUUGAAUCUCGAUAACCAAACCAUCAAACCCUUUGCCAUUAUGCUAAUAAACUAAAUUUUUUGAAACACUUAUGAACAUUAAAACGAGAAAUGUAAGCUUAAUUUUUACAUGAACAUAGUUUUCUUUCUUUGAGAAAGGUAGCCCUCUACCGGCUCAUUCAUUAAAAAGUGAACUAAGCCUACUGAGUGAGACAUCGCAAGACUCAAGACGAAAAAAAAAAGUCUAAUUUAUAAAAUUAACCAGAACAUGUCUUCCCGCUAAUGGAAUGAAGCUUGCUCCACUGACUUGUAGUUGAUUAACUUUAAUUCAUUCGAGGAUUUGCUGUGGUCAUGCUAAGACGCACCGUUUUUGCUUCCCAAAAAACCACAACAGGUCAAUUAGCUCCGAUUUAGCCCGAGGGCUUGGAAAUUCUAUCUGAAACCCUUCUGUUUUCAUAUGGUCCGAUGACCAAUAGCACUUCCUCGCCAUAGUCUCUUAUGCUCACAUCUUCCAAGUCGUUACCACUAGAAAUCCUGAGACACCACUGGGUGAACAAGUGAUCAAUGACUCUUCUUCUGUCCUGCAUACACACAUAUGGUGUUGCCCGACCCAUCCCUCUUUUAGAGAUUCCCACAGUAGGGUUCUUUCUCUAGGAUACGAGCCAGCAGAACAUCUUCACUUUGAGGAGGGAUACGAAGUUUAAAUCUUUUUGCUCAGUCGAAGUCCUUUUACCCCGUCACCACAACAAGGAGUAGGUUAUUAUUGGAAAAAUCCAGUCAGGACGUCAACGCCAGUGCACACUGUCAGCGGCCCUUCCUAGUUUUGAAAUUUGACACCCGCGCCAUAAGUAAUGAAAUCUACAUUUAAUCCUAAUCAAUAUUGGCCGCGCAUCCCCAAUACUUACUGCGCAGUUCCAUCCGUUGUCCCCAGCACUCAUGAUUGUCAGAUUAUUACUGGUCAUAGCUGAAACCUCUGAAAAUGACAUUUGUAACGUAGUGUCUCCACCAACGGUAAUAAGUAUUUUCAUCCAACAAAUAGGGAUGGGUCUUACAAUGCUUAGACCACUGUGAGACCUGAUCAAUCUUUUUGUGCCUCCACACAAAACCCAGAUACAUAGGAACCCGUUCCAAGUCCCCUCUCAUUCAGCGUACCUCAGUAGACAGAGAGAAGAGAGAGAGAACGAGAGGUAGCCACCUGCUUUAGGAAAUCAUGUGCUCCAACUGAACACCUGGAGUGGCCCGAACAUGUGCCAGCAAUAUCUUAGUCCCUGGCGGCCCUUCCGCAGUCUCUCCUUUCGCUCUCUCCUUCAUUAAGUUAGCUGCCUGCACCCUGCACCCAUUCCCGUAGAUGCCGCACAUCUCACCUAGCUCAUUUUAUCUCUUAUUAUCACUUCUAUACAUUUAAAAUUUAUUAGACAUUCACAUCAAUUAUCUAAAUAAUUAUUUUAGAUCCUUUGAUCACAUGAUAAAUGAUAACAAAAAAAAUUAUUAAAAUUUUUUAAUUUCUAAAUAGUUCUAAUAACAUAUAUAUUCGUAUGAAAGCGAUCGCCGAAUCUGAUUAUUCUAUAUUAAAAAAUAAUAUUACAAUAUGCAGGUCUUGUUACUUUCGAAGCGUUAGAGGCACUCUCUCUCUCUCUCCCUCUCUCUCUUUAUAUAUAUAUAUAUAGUAGAGCCAAUACUAUAUACUUCAAAUAUUGUAAUUAAUAAUUUUCUGAGACUUUUACGACCGUCCUUAAGCAAGUCCGCAAAGGCUUGGUGUGUUGGUAACCUGAGACCCAAGUCUUGAAUCCUAGUUGAUUCACUUCCAGCUAAGUUUAUUUCAAAAUGAAUAAACGAACGGGUAGCGUGCUACCUAUUUCUCAAAAAAAGAAAAAUAAAGUUUCUGCUUUUUUGACAUUAAUUAAAAAUGUAUGAUUGGAUAAUAUAUUCCACUAGGGUUGGGGCAAUCUUCUAGAAGUUACAGCUCCCUCUAGCAUAAUAGUUUAAUCCCAAGGACUUAAAAUGAUCAAAGAGUUUAUCAAGCAUUAAAACUGGAAGCAUCACAGAAGGUGCUGCUUCCAAAAAGCAAUAUAGUCGGACUCUCUCUCUAUAUAUAUUCUCUCUUUCUUCCUUACACAUAUAUACAAAAGGGCAAUUGCUAUAUAUCCUAAAAGCUUACCGACUUUUAUUUUACCCUUCUAAGAAGGUAAUAUUAAAAUCACCUUUUACGUUCAACCUAUUUUAAAAUACCCCUAGAGUUAAAUCUGUUAUAAAAUCUGUAUCUAUAUAAAAUUAUUAGUUUUUUGCCAUUUCAAAUAUAUCAUUCACAAUCCACCGACUUUUCUUAUUUGUCCGCAAGUCAGAUGACCAAAAAAUAUUUGACUUUUGUCUUUUCAAAUAUACCCUCUACGUUACCAAAUUAUUUAUUUGCCUUAAGAAGGGACAAAAUUGGCAUUUAAUUUUUUAACUUGAUAAUAUUUUAAUCACAUUAACCAAGUAACUUAACAGGGAUAACAUAUAGAGUAUUUUCAAUAAGGUGGAGGAUAUUUUAUAAGAAGAAAACAAAAAGGGGUAAACAUCGAGAUAUUCUCAAGGACGUUAGAUCGUAUAUAUGGGCAAUUAUUCCCUAUUAACAACUAAUCAUUAUACUAUUAUGAAUACGAAUCAUUUAUAUUCAAAAUUUUUUUUUUAAUAGAAUUUUGAAUUACGAUGCAUACUGUUAUAAAUGAUUAUAUUUAGAGAUUUAAUUAAAAUAAUUUUUUAUAUUUUUUGAUUUAUUAUCUGGUCUAAAAAUAAUUUUGUAAAAGAAGUAGCAAGCUACCAUUUUAUUUUUUAGAAAUUGAAUUAAUAAGGAGUGUAAAACAAUUAUGCUAUCUAACUGUUGGCACCUCGGUGGUAUUGCACCAAAACUCUGCCAGUUCGCUAAGCAGUUUUACCAUGAAUUGACAAUUUAACAGCUAAUAGGAAUGCCGCUAGUUUAAGCGAUUGGUAAGAAAUAAGAAUCAGUUGAUUUUAUGUAAAUCAUAUAAUUCACAUAUCUUGAUCUGAUCAAUCACUAUAACUUAUCUUAGAGCUUGUACAUUUUUUAAUUUCACUUAUAUCGUGCUGUAUGAAUUUUAUUAUAAUUUAAAUUUAUAAAAUUUAUUUAUAGCACUCAAAUGCAUAUUUCGAUGUUUAGCAGUAUGAUGAUCGAAUCAGUAAUUCUAUUAUUGAAAAUAACUUAUAAGUAUAAAGUCGCUUUUAUUAUAAGACAUUAUAUAAAAUUUCUGACUAGUUUAAAUGUCUCGUAGAAUAACGUUAACUCUGUGAUCGUCGAUCCGGAAGCCUUAUAUCGAAAUACAACCUAAAAAAAAAAUAACUUAGAUUAUGAGUGACCAUCGUACUGAUAGAGUAUAGUAGCCCGACUCUCUCUUUUUUUCCCGCUCUCACCAAUGAUGAUAUUUUAAAGCAUAAGAGCUUAUUCUUAUAUUAUAUAUUAUAUUAUAUUGAUAUAUAUAUUAAUUAUAAUAUAUAUAAUAUAAAUAUAAUAAAGAGAAAGAAAGUUUGGUGCCAAAUAUUGAAUAGAUAAAUUGUUGACUUUCCACCCUUUAAAUGCUAGUAGCGUUGUCGCUGAACAAAGGGAAUAACCGUUUCUCUUUAUUCCAAAAGUUAUUUUGGUGUUUGAGAGUAAAUAGUUUUUAGAUUUCGAAAUAGAUAAUAACCUGUAUAAACUGGAACUACUUCCACCUUUUCCUCGACUAAGUUUGUUCCUAAUCGUGAGAACAAAGUUAAUUAAAAUUUAAUUUAAUUUUAAUUAUGUAUGAAAUCGAUUAAAUUAUCUAAUUAAAAUAUUUAAACCAUUAUCCAUUGCCUAGAAUUAAUAUAUAUAAUUAAUAAUUAAUUCAUAUUUAUUCUAUUUAAUUAUUAAUAAUUUAAUGUAUCAUUUAUAAACUAAUAUUAUAUAUUGACAAUCAAUAUAUGUUUAGUAAUCUAAUUAAUUUCUCUCUCUCUCUCUCUCUCUCUCUCUCUCUAUAUAUAUAUAUAUAUAUAUAUAUAAAAAGAGAGAGAGAGAGAGAGAGUGAGAGAGAGUUGAUAAGUUCAAUGUGAGAUAAUAUAAUAACUAUCCAUCAACAUAAUACUUUAAAAAAAAUAUUUAUAAGUUUUUUACUCUUCAGAGGUAUUUAAUUGAAUAUCAUGUAAAUUUCAUAUAUUGAUUAAUUCUGCAACAGAAGAGUGUUUUUAAUUUUAUAUUUUUAAGAUAUGUGGAGAUAUUUAUUUAGUGCAAUACUACUUGCACAUCUAUUUAUAGAAUGUAAUUUUUAGACCACACUUACCUAAAGGAUAUUAUUUUAUAAUUAGUCCUACCUAAUUUUUUGAUGCUAAAAACUUAAACUGGGUUUAUCAACUUUAGCAUAAAUAACAUAUAAAAUUUAUAUGUAAUAACAAGUGUAUAGAUAGCUUUAUUUAUUUGGUAAGAAAAUUGGUAUUGCCCAAACGAUUCUUGAUAUUGUCAACUCAGAAAAAUCUAAAUUAUCAAGACGUACAAUAUAUCUGUUCUCGCUAUAUCAAAACUAUCUAUCUAUCUAUCUAUUACAAUAUUAAUUCCCGAUUAAAUAUUAUAAAUCUUGUUUUAGAUUGCAAUAUUAAAUAUUAUAUAUAUCUGUUCCUCGGAAGGAGUGGGGCCCUCAAGGAAUAAAACUAUUAUUGGAGAUCAGCUCCUGUCAGUUAUACCAUAUAUUAAUUUUUAUUUCCAUUCAAUAAUUCAUUGAAUAUUUUUGAAAAAAAUUUCAAAUAUCACUUCUAUGAUUUUGAAGUGUACCGAUUUACUAUCCGUGGUUUUAUUUUUUCCUUUUUAUUAUUUCUUUCACUAUUUUUUUUUAGUUAAAUCAGUAAUAAAAUUAAAAUUAAAAUAUAUUAAAGUGAAUAUUCAAUAAACCAAGUUGGUGCAUCUGAAUUUUUUUGCAUAUAAUUUAAUAAAUAUUAACGAAAAAACUGAAAAAAAAAGAAAAAUAAAACUAAAGAAUAUUAAAUUGAUACCCUUUAAUUAUAGGGUACUAAAGUGACCACAAACGAAGCUCUCCCUACUGGAAUUUUAAUUUUUUUUUUUUUCUCCCACCGCAGGCUUACAUAGCGAGCGCUAGGGAUGCAAACGGGGCGGAUCCGGGGACAGGAGAGUUUCCCCACCUCCCGCUUCAUUUUUUAUCUGGACGGGACGGAUUCGGGGCGAGUUACUUUUCAUUUUAUUUUUGGCUCCCACUUACCGCUCCAUUCGGGGCGGAUCGGGGCGGAAGCGGGGCGGGAGCGGAUUUUUAAAGGAUCGGGAUAGAUUGAAGGAAGAAAAGAGUCUCCCGCCUCCCGCUCCAUUUACUUGGCGGAUCGAAGCAGAUUCGGGACGGGUUAUAUUUUUCUAUAUUUUUUAUUCCCACUUAUCACUCUAUUCGGAACAGAUUGGGACGAAGCUCUACCAACCCGGAUCCAUUUGCAUCCCUAGCGAGCGCAGGUGGGUGGGGUCCCAGGAUGUUCCCGCGCGAGGGAGCCGAUACGUGGCUGGGCCAGUUGCGCCAAAGCGAUCGUGAGGUCGGCAUGGAGAUGGGGCGGUGACGUGGCCGCGUCCGGCGCCUCCCGUCUUUGUCUGGCUUAUUUUAUUAUUGGGCCAACAGAUGACGUGCGCCGAUUCGAUGGAGGCAGAUAUUCGAGGAGGUUGCCACCGUUUCGUUGGACGUAGUGCACCACGUCAGCCCUGAACCGCAGUAUUUCGUUCGACACCUCUUAUUUGAAAUUUGAAAAUUUUUUAUUAUUUUUUAUUAGAAUUGUUUUUUGAAUAGUUUAUUUUGAGACGGUUCGUUUUAUAGUCAAAUAAUGUCGAAAAAGUAUAUAAAAUUUUAUUUCUAAAUACUUCAAAUAGCGUUGAUUAUAUCUAACAAAUCUGAUUGUUCAUUUGAAUUAAUGUUUUAUCAUCAAGAAUAAAUUAUUAAUAUCAAGAGUUUCGUACUGUUAGUUCAACCAGACUAUUAUUAAUAGUAUGCAAAUUAUUAUACUUUUUCACCAUUGGAAUAUCACUAUUCCAUCAACUUCCACUACACACUAAGACUACGUCUUAUUCAGAUAUAAAUAAGAAUUACUUAUUCCAGAGAUAUGUAUAAGUUCACGUACAAGCAGGAACUUGACCAAAUUUGCAUUUGCAUGAAAAUUGGAUUGUUUCUGAAGAUAAGAUAAAUAGUGUUUGGAUGGUUAGAUUGAAACAAGAGGAAUAAGAGUUAUAAUUUUAAAUUAAAAAUACUUUAUCUAAUUAAUUAACCUCAAAAUAUUAAGUAAAAAUAAUUUAACAAAUUGAGAAAUUUUUUACUUAUGAAUAUUGUAUGAGACAAUGAAUAUAUAUUAACCAAUUAAUUAAAUAUAAAGUAUAAUUUAAAUUUUUAAUUAGUUAGUAAAUUAUUUUAGUUAGAUAACUAGUAAACAAAAUUAAUUAGAUUACUAAACAUAUUAUUGAUUGAUCAAUAUAAAUAUUAGUUUAUAAAUAAAUACAUUAAAUUAUUAAUAAUUAAUUAUAAAUAAUAUAUUAAUUAAUUAAUUAAUUAUCUAAGCAAUGGAUAAUGAUUUAAAUAUUUUAAUUAGAUAAUUUAAAUAUUUAAUACCAUAAUUAAAAUUAAAAUUAAAUUUUAAUUAAUCUUGUUCUCACUUAGGAACAAACUUGUUCGAGGAAAAAAGGUGGAACAGUAGUUCCAGUCUUAUACCAGGUUAUAUUAUCUUAUUUCAGAAAUCUAAAAACUAUUACUCUCAAACACCAAAUAUAACUUUUGGAAAUAAAA
This 96359-nucleotide long non-coding RNA is filed under the name Ananas comosus (pineapple). Its description in RNAcentral is "long non-coding RNA (ACOM_LNC015982)". The record is from RNAcentral. Lineage: Eukaryota; Viridiplantae; Streptophyta; Magnoliopsida; Poales; Bromeliaceae.